RNAcentral lists this long non-coding RNA (149398 nucleotides) under Triticum aestivum (bread wheat). Its description in RNAcentral is "long non-coding RNA (TAES_LNC018444)". Lineage: Eukaryota; Viridiplantae; Streptophyta; Magnoliopsida; Poales; Poaceae. The record is from RNAcentral.
UCCAUGGAAGUGCAUUGCGUUCUACACAGCACCAGAUCCUGGAGCAAACUUUUGCAGUAGCAAAAUCAUCCAUUUCACUCAUACGAGGCGAACCUUGCGGCUUACAUGAUGUGUUAUCAAGGUCUCAAAAUCCCUAGCCAAUGAAGAGGAAGAAGAAGCUCCAUUGCACUACCAGAGCUAGAUCUAGAGCUAGCUAGAAGAACACUCAGAAAAAGAAGAGAAAAGAAGAAAUUACAGCCCUAAUUCCCACAAGACAGCAGGUCCUAAAAAUUGCUGAGCUGCAGUAGAAAAUGCGGCGGAAUCCCCGUCCUGCCCUCCGCCAACCCCAUGUGACCUCCCUAUGUACAGCAUCCACGCAGGGGCAGAUCGGUCAGAGCGCAGCAGCUGGCAUUUUGCUCUGCUGGUUCACCGAUUUGCCUUUGCCAGGGGGCAAAUUUUCCAUCACGCCCUCCAUGGUAGCCGAACGAGGACGGUGAGACGGGGGAGAAGGGCUGGAAGGCCUCUAGUAGUAGAGCGCGGAGUCGUCGUCGUCGGUGGCCUGGGAGCCGGGGUCGGAGAGGCCGAGGAGGAGGCGGCGGAAGUCGGCGGCGGCGCAGGGGAUGCGGAGCGCGCCUGGGUGGCCGUAGCCGUACUCCUGCGCGGCGCGCCGGAGCAGGGCCUUGAACGCCGGCUGGCCCAGGAGCUCGGCCCGCACGGCGAAGCGCUCCUCGGGGCCGCCCUCCUCUCCGACGCACACCGGCACGUACCCCUCCGGCACCCGCGCGCCCUUGCCGAGCCUCCGCGCGCCGAAGAAUGAGGACGAGGGAGAGGAGACUGCGGAGGAGCCCUUCGCCGCAGCGUCGGGCCGAAGCGGCUGGUACGCGGCGGAUGCGCAGGCGUCGGCCGCGGCAACGCGGGAGAGCCGCCUGAGCAGGCGCUUCAUGUCGCUGCUGCUUCGGUUGACGCCGGAGACCUCGAGGCUUAGAAGCGGAGGCCGGGAGGCGACGGCGGCGGCGGGUUCUUGGCGAGGGAGGACACUAGAGGUGAGAGGACACAAGGCGUUUGUACUGAGGCGGCCAUGGUGGCUCCUUCUUAUAUAACGGCAGAGCUGCAAGUUGUGCGUUACACAGGCCCUCUUGUCAUUAUUUUUCUCGGUUGGCAUUUACAAAUCCUUUGCUUGGAAUGGAAUGUAUCACCUCUGUUCCGAUUACAAGACAUUUUAUAUAUUUUAAUACAUAAACUACAUACGAGGUAAAAUUAGAGAUUAAAGACAAUAAAACGCGUCUAUAUACAUCUGAUUCAAAAUUCUUUUAGAAUAUCUUAUACUAGUUCGAAACCAAGGGAGUAGAAUUUAUUUAGCCAGCCUUCUUCAGCUACAGGACGUUGCUUUCCUCAUUUCAAAAUUUGGACCCAUUUCAUACAAAAUCUAGACAACUUCGCAACAGCGAAACUAUAAUUGCUUAUGAAUAACGUCUUGUUCCAACUUAAAAUUAUGACAAAUAGUUGGGGAUACUUCAUUUUUCAAACAGGUGCACUCCCCCCGAUCCAUUUUACUUGCCGCAGUUCUAGUAUAACUUUAUCCAUAUUACUGUCGCAGCUUUAGUACAACUUUUGUACAAAAGUUGUACUAAACCGUCGUCAAGUAAUAUGGAUCAGAGGAGAGGGAGUGGUAUAUUUUCAUAUUUUUGGAGAAUACUUGGCACCCCACAACUAAGCUUGCAAUUUAGUAACAACAAAAUGGUGCUACUAAAUAAACUAAGCUGUUAUUUUUUUAGAACUAGAGUAUACACAUUAAAAAAAUAUGUGCCUCAAAAUGCACUUCCUCCGUCCGGGUUUAUCAAGCACCCUCGUAUCUGGCCCUGACCGCAUAUUUAAUUUUGUAAAAUAUUAGUGACAUGCCAAAAAAACAUAUUACCGUAUGCGGAUCGAAAUGAAUUGUCAGUGGCACUAUUUUAACUACAUACGUACUUUGUUACACAAAUGUAUGUCUAAACUUCAGUUUUAAAUGUGAGGGGGCCUAAUAAAAGCGAACGGAGGAAGCACGUGUUCAUUCAGUUACCAUGUGAGAGCUGGGAUGGAGUGUGUACCUAUACAUGUGUGCAUAGCCAGGCAGGGAUUUUCUUCUUCUUUGUCCAGUGACCAUGUGAGAGCUGGGGGCAUGGAGUGUGCACCUAUGCGUGUGCGCGUGGCCUGGCUGGGAUUUCUUUUUUCUUUUAAGGCAAGCAGAGAGAAUUGAAUGGGCUGGCGAGGUACAAGUGCGGGUACAGUUGGAGUACGCGACAGGUACAAGCGGCAAGAAGCCGGUGGGGUGGGCUCGGCAGCGCCUUAACCCGCACCCGGUUUUGCUCCGACCGAUCGGAUUGAUUCGGGCUCGCGCCGGGACCGGCCCGUCCGGCCUGUUCCGUAGUCCCUUUCGUACGGCGCGCGUGGAGGUGAGAGAGUGAGGAGGUGAGCGAGAUUUGGCUGUCGUCGUGGAGCCCACCUACUGACCUGGCACAUGGAGGAGAGAGAGAGAGACAAAGCAAGUGAUUAGUACUAGGACUAUAAUUUGAAGAGAAAGUGAGAAUCAAGUGAUUGCACUAGACUGUUGGAGUGCUCAACUGUUGUCAACCCGUAGCACUAGUAUUAUCUUUUCCCACUCGAAUUUUCUCAGUGAUAACACAAAAUGGUAGAGACUCUAGAAAUACUAUGUGCCAUCGUAUAUGAUUAAGAAAAAAGGACCAUGCUACCAGGCACUAGCAUGUUAGAGCAUCUCCAGCCGCGCCCCCAAAGGCCUUUUUUUCGCCGGUUCGGGCCGAAAUUGGCGCCGGCGGACCCAUGCCUAACCCGGCCCGCUGGGGGGCGCUUGGGGAGCCGGCCAAAUCUUUUUGGCGCGAAAAUAGGCGGGCCCUCCUUGACAGCAACCCGGCUCUUCUCGUCGCUCCGUCGUCCUCAUCGCAUCGGUUCCCGCGAGGGAAACAAUGCCAAAGCUGCCGCGCGCUGCUGCGCCGGUCAACCUCCUCCAUUGAUGCCUCACGGGUGGCGCAGUGAAGACGGGGCGACGCGCGUCCCUCACCCGCCACGCGUACACACGGCGGCCACGCGAGCGCCGCCUAUAUAAGCCGCCCCCUCCCGCACUGGUGAACCACGCACAGACCUCGCUCUCCACCGCCAACGCCCCCGUUCCUCCCUCUCUUCUCACCGUUUCCAGUUCACCCAAUGGCGGAGCGCUACCCAGGAGAUGGCGCGGCGGCGAACGGCUUCGGCCGCCGCCACCUUCACGAGGACGAAGCCCGGCUUCUCUAUGAGGCCGAGUACCCGGUCCCGCCGGACAUGCGGGUGCCCGGUGUUGGGGAACGUAGUAAUUUCAAAAAAAAAUCUACGCACACGCAAGAUCAUGGUGAUGCAUAGCAACGAGAGGGAGAGUGUUGUCCACAUACCCUCGUAGACCGUAAGCGGAAGCGUUAUGACAAUGCGGUUGAUGUAGUCGUACGUCUUCACGAUCGACCGAUCCUAGUACCGAACGUACGACACCUCCGCGAUCUGCACACGUUCAGCUAGGUGACGUCCCACGAACUCACGAUCCAGUAGAGCUUGGAGGGAGAGCUUCGUCAUCACGACGGCGUGAUGAUGGUGAUGAUGAAGCUACCGGCGCAGGGCUUCGCUAAACACUACGACGAUAUGACCGAGGUGGAUUAUGGAGGAGGGGGGCACCGCACACGGCUUGGAACAAUCAACUUGUGUGUCCUAGGGUGCCCCCUGCCCCCGUAUAUAAAGGAGCAAGGGGGGAGGCCGGCCGGCCCUUGGUGCGCCCAAGGAGAGGAGGAAUCCUCCUCCUAGUAGGAGUAGGAUUCAUCCUUUCCUAGUCCUAGUAGGAAGGGGGAAGGGGGAAGGAAGGAGAGGGAAAGAGGGGCCGCGCCCCCUUCCCCUAGUCCUAUUCGGACUCCCCUUGGGGGGGGGGAGGGUGCGCCACCUCCUGGGCUGCUGCCCUCUCUCUCCCCUAUGGCCCACUAAGGCCCAAUACUUCCCCGGGGGGUUCCGGUAACCCCUCCGGCACUCCAGUUUUCUCUGAAAUCACCCGAAACACUUCCGGUGUCCGAAUAUAGCCGUCCAAUAUAUCGAUAUUUAUGUCUCAACCAUUUCGAGACUCCUCGUCAUGUCCUUGAUCAUAUCCGGGACUCCGAACUACCCUCGGUACAUCAAAACACAUAAACUCAUAAUACCGAUCGUCACCGAACGUUAAGCGUGCGGACCCUACGGGUUCGAGAACUAUGUAGACAUGACCGAGGCUCAUCUCCGGUCAAUAAUCAAUAGCGGAACCUGGAUGCUCAUACUGGCUCCUACAUAUUCUACGAAGAUCUUUAUCGGUCAAACCGCAUAACAACAUACGUUGUUCCCUUUGUCAUCGGUAUGUUACUUGCCCGAGAUUCGAUCUUCGCUAUCUCAAUACCUAGUUCAAUCUCGUUACCAGCAAGUCUCUUUACUCCUUCUGUAAUGCAUCAUCCCGUAACUAACUCAUUAGUCAUAUUGCUUGCAAGGCUUAUAGUGAUGUGCAUUACCGAGAGGGCCCAGAGAUACCUCUCCGACAAUCAGAGUGACAAAUCCUAAUCUCGAUCUAUGCCAACUCAACAAGUACCAUAGGAGACACCUGUAGAGCACCUUUAUAAUCACCCAGUUACGUUGUGACGUUUGGUAGCACACAAAGUGUUUCUCUGGUAUUCGGGAGUUGCAUAAUCUCAUAGUCAUAGGAACAUGUAUAAGUCAUGAAGAAAGCAAUAACAACAUACUAAACGAUCAAGUGCUAAGCUAACAGAAUAGGUCAAGUCAAUCACAUCAUUCUCUAAUGAUGUGAACCCAUAAAUCAAAUGACAAUUCAUGUCUAUGGCUAGGAAACUUAACCAUCUUUGUUUCAACGAGCUAGUCAAGUAGAGGCAUACUAGUGACACUCUGUUUGUCUAUGUAUUCACACAUCUACUAAGUUUCCGGUUAAUACAAUUCUAGCAUGAAUAAUAAACAUUUAUCAUGAUAUAAGGAAAUAUAAAUAACAACUUUAUUAUUGCCUCUAGGGCAUAUUUCCUUCAGUCUCCCACUUGCACUAGAGUCAAUAAUCUAGAUUACAUAGUAAUGAUUCUAACACCCAUGGAGUCUUGGUGCUGAUCAUGUUUUGCUCGUGAGAGAGGCUUAGUCAACGGUUCUGCAACAUUCAGAUCCAUAUGUAUCUUGCAAAUCUCUAUGUCUUCCUCCUUGACUUGAUCGCAGAUGGAAUUGAAGCGUUUCUUGAUGUGCUUGGUUCUCUUGUGAAAUCUGGAUUCCUUUGCCAAGGCAAUUGCACCAGUAUUGUCACAAAAUAUUUUCAUUGGACCCGAUGCACUAGGUAUGACACCUAGAUCGGAUAUGAACUCCUUCAUCCCGACUCCUUCAUUUGCUACUUCCAAAGCAGCUAUGUACUCCACUUCACACGUAGACCCCGCUGUCGGUGUCAAAACCGGCGGAUCUCGGGUAGGGGGUCCCGAACUGUGCGUCUAAGGCGGAUGGUAACAGGAGGCGGGGGACAGAAUGUCUACCCAGGUUCGGGCCCUCUCGAUGGAGGUAAUACCCUACUUCCUGCUUGAUUGAUCUUGAUGAUAUGAGUAUUACAUGAGUUGAUCUACCACGAGAUCGUAGAGGCUAAACCCUAGAAGCUAGCCUAUGAUUAUGAUUGUUCUUGUCCUACGGACUAAACCCUCCGGUUUAUAUAGACACCGGAGGGUGCUAGGGUUACACAGAGUCAGUUACAAGGGAGGAGAUCUACAUAUCCGAAUCGCCAAGCUUGCCUUCCACGCAAAGGAGAAUCCCACCCGGACACGGGACAAAGUCUUCAAUCUUGUAUCUUCAUAGUCCAACAGUCCGCCCAAAGUAUAUAGUCCGGCUGUCCGAGGACCUCCUAAUCCAGGACUCCCUCAGUAGCCCCUGAACCAGGCUUCAAUGACGAUAAGUCCAGCGCGCAAAUUGUCUUCGACAUUGCAAGGCGGGUUCCUCCUCCGAAUACCCCAUAGGAGAUUUUGAACAUGAGGAUCGUGUCCGGCUCUGCAAAACAAAUUCCACAUACCACCGUAGAGAGUACAAUAUCCCACAAAUCUAAUCUGUUGACAAAUUUCAUAGCGUGAUAUCCUGACGUGGCCUUGUCAUUAUGAACCGUUUUUCCCUGCCUGCUACUGCACGUGUUGCGAGGCGGUUUUAUUGGCACGUCUUGUCGAAGCAGAGAUCGUGUUCCCCUUAUCACGGGAUUCUAAUCAAUACGGGUGGGGGUAAGCCAAUCGUGCUUGCUAGUAUGACUCCUCGAUUUUAGGCAAGUUCCAAACGGCCACGCGGGGGGCGCUUGAUAUUCGCCCCUUUUAUAAAGGGGCCAAGCCCUGUCCUUUUCUUCUCACACUCGAUCCUUCCCUUCCCCCACCUCGAGUUCCAACACCCAAGGCUCAGGCUAAGUGCUUCGGAACUUCAAUCAUGUCCGGAUCCAACCUUCAAGGCCGGUGGAUGGCCUCCUCUGUCACAGAGGAGGACAUCAAGAAGCUAAGAGAAGCCAGGUAUCUGACCGCCAAAAUCUCACACAGGCUGCCUGCUCAAGGGCAGGUCAUCCCCACUCCCAAACCCAACGAGAGUGUCGUAUUUGUUUCCCACUUCCUCCGAGGGCUAGGCUUUUGUCUUGAUCCCUUUGUUAGGGGGCUUAUGUUCUAUUACGGGCUCGAUUUCCAUGAUGUAGCUCCGGAUUCCAUCCUUCACAUCUCGUCAUUUAUCGUUGUGUGUGAGGCCUUCCUCCGCAUCACCCCAAACUUCGGCUUAUGGCUCAAGACCUUCAACGUGAAGCCGAAGAUGAUCGGUGGGCGACACGCAGAAUGCGGAGGUGCCAUAAUAAGCAAAGGCGCCGAUGCUCCAUGGACAAAGGGUUCCUUCCCGGAGAUGUCCAACUUAUGGCAGCGGGAGUGGUUUUACAUCACAGCUCCCCGAAGUACUAAGUGGGUAGCCGCCUCCGCCUUCCGUUCGGGCCCCCUGCCACAACUGGCGUCAUGGGUCAACAAGGGGCUGGACUGGGGGCCAGUUAAUGACGUGCUGACAUUGCAAAGUCGCAUCCGAGAUCUCGACAAGAGAGAUGUCAGUCUUGUCAAGGUAAUGCAAGUUAUGCUAGUUCGUCUGGUCCUGCCAUGCCAACGUCGAUCUCUCCGUAUGUGGGAGUUCAACCCAGAAGGACCGUGAACUAUUCAACAAUUCUUCGGCAUGACGCUCGAAGAGAUGUAUGGAUUGUUCUUCGGAUCACGAAUAGAGUGUCCGGACACCACCGAGGAUGCGGGUCUCAACUGCAAUCAUCCAGAUGCCCACGUAAGUAAUCCUGCGGCCGAACAUGCUGUCUUUUUAUUUGUCACAACAUCAUUCUGAAAAAAUCGCUCUUGGCCAGGACUGGAUAAAAAAGGCGAAGAUGAUCAGGUGUUCGGCCCCCCUUCCCGAAGGCUCACCGGAUCCUGUACUAGCCAGGAUGCUUGAGCACGCACCUUAUCAAGUGCCCUCAGGGGAAGAUAAAGGGAGGAAUAAAGAAGCCGAAAGCGGGCCUCACACAUUACUCAUCCAAACCGGGGGAAUUAGUGUCUCCACGAAGGAGGAUAAUCGGGGAGAAGAAUCUAGAAUCCCCUCUCCCCAAGGAAGGAAAAGGACCACCUCUGAAGACUUGGAAACGAGGGUUUCUCAACGAGGGAAGAAACCUUCGCCAGGGGGCCCUGCCCCGGAGGGCAUCCUUACCGCCAGGACUGGGCAUUCGGUUAGACCGAACCGGACGGUUCGGUGCUUCGGUUUGUCCUUAAAUUCGGUUUCCUAGAUUUACUAAAUGUUCGGUCCUUAAAAAAAGCAGUAACCGAGACCACGGUGCACCGACAAUUCGGUUCAGUAUUCGGUUAUAACCGAAGAGCACUGAAAUCAGGAUAAGCAUUGGUUACGAAGCACAAAUCGGGAUUCAAUCCAUCAGAAAAGAAAAAUAAAUCGGGAGUCAGAAAAAGAGCGAGAAACAACCGGACAUUGUGGUUGGAAUCCUCAGGUAUAACCGCUGGCUGUGAUGGUUGAAGCCAUGACGUCGUCGGUCGCUGUCGCUUGGGAGCCAGGGGCGCCGCGCCGCCGUCGUAUGGGAGCCAUGCGCACGGCCGCCGCCAUCUCGUGGGAGCUAGGGGCGCCGCGCCGCCGUCUCGUGGGAGCCACGGCCCAUGGCCGCCCCGCGCCGAGUGGGAGGCAUGUGCAUCUUCGGCUGCCGCUGUGUGGGAACAUGGCCGCUGCCGCCAGCCGCCGCCGUCGAGUGGGAGCCAUGGGUAGAGCAAGCAAAUGGAUGCGGCGGUGCUGUGUGAAGAUUAAAGCUCGUUUGGGGAUAAGGUGUGGGCGUGUGGCGUUGUGUUGCUUGGGUUGAGAAAAAGGCUAGAAAAGCUGCAUAUGGAUUGGGCUAUUGGGCUUUGUUAUGAUGGGCUUCAUACAAUAUUUCGAUCAGUUCGGGAAUUCGGUCAACCUGGUCCCACGACCGAAUGCACCGAAGUAAUUUCGGAUUUUGAAUUUUGCCAACCGAACAAACAAUCCCUGGUUCGGUCCUCGGGUUUUUCGGCUUCGGUCCAGGUUAUUUCGGCUCCGGUGUUCGGUCCUCGGUUUUUUGCCCACCCCUACUUACCGCACAGUGCCCGCAAGGGGAUGAGCCCUCCAUCGAGCUGUAAGUGAACAAGAGUACUUUUGGUAAGUAUAUCCUGCUUCAUCUCCGAGGACAAUAACCGAGUCGUAUGUCUUGCAGUCCGGAUCGUAGCCCUUCUCGACAGAGUUCGUCUUCGGGGGAUCUUCUUCCGGAGAUGACGGAGAGCGAAACGCCCCCCUGUCUCCUCUCCCUGCCUCAUGGGGCGGACGACCCUGAGGUGUCGUCACGGAGGAUUUCUCCUGAUCCGCCAAGGCCAAAAGGUAACCCUUCGGCCACCCGAAGUCCGGAGUAUUCGUCUCCUAAGGAGAGCAACAGAAAGAGUCCGGGACUGUCCGGUGCACAAUCGGACGCACUGAUGGGUCUUCUGGAGCAAGCGGCUAUCUCAGAGGCGCAUCGUACUUUAAUGGGUACGGUGGUUGAGAGGAUUUCAUCCGCCAAAAGUGGGUUGCAUGAAGCUUUUACGAGCCUGCUAAGAGGCUCUGAGGUACGCAAAGUAACAUAUAUAUUUUUUGACGGUACCGCACACGCUAGGUGUGCUCUAUACAGAUAGUAGCCCCUGAGACUCUGGUUGCUGUCCAAAGGCGGCAAACAGAGGAUCAUAGUCCCAGGAAUGAUCGCGCUGCUUACAUGUGCAGGCGGCUGAGGGUCUGGUGGCUGGCCGGACUGCUGAUUUUGCCGAACUGAAGCGGCAGGUUGACGCGGCAGAUGCCGACAUCGCGCUUGUGAACAAGCGGCUUGACAAGGCACAGGGUAUGUAUUUUCGGGUGGUCAACAAAUAUUAAGAGGAGCAUGAUGCUAGUAUCUAUAAUAUAUUGUGACUGCAGAUGGAGCUGCCGUCGUGGAGACCCUUCGGGCAGAACUUGCCCGAGCCAAGGAAGAAGCCAGGAGAAGUGAUGCGGCCGCCCUAAAGGCGGUCGAAGAGUUAAGAGCCGAACAGGCUGCUCAUCGCCAGAGCGAAGAUAAAAUAGCCAACAUGGCUGUUGAGCUGAAAGAUGCCGCCGGCCGAUAUGAGCUUCUUGAAAAGGAAAGCCAAGCGAAAGCGGCUGACCUGAAGAAAGCCAUGGAAGCAGCCAAGGAAACCCGCUCUAAAAUCAGAGCGGCGAAGGAGGAGCUCCGUCAAGCCGGAGAUAUCGCGGCUGGGAACCCCUUUUUGUUGCGGACGAAGUUCGGAGAUCCGAAGUAUGCCCCUCUUGGUCAAUUAUGGAGUGCUGCAGACGCGUACUUGGACUUGGCAAUGAGUGCUACUGAUGCGACUGAGUUUUUCAAAGAUCAGAAUGAUCAUGAAGUGGAAAGGUUGUUCUGGUCGCAGUUCAGUGCUCCAACGCGUCCGCUGCUGUUAAAUGAACAAAUGACCGAGUGGGCCGAGCUCCAUAGGUUGUCCGAACUUGCCAUGAGGUCUGUCGUGGAUCAUCUUUGACCGAAGGGACCAAGGCCGAAUAGUUAUUUUGGUUUAGUGCAACGAUUCCUUGGUGUUGUGCCGCAUAUCGACGCUGUAAAGAGGUUGGCGUGCAUAGAGGGUGUGCGGAUGGCUCUUGCCCGUGUUAAGACAUACUGGGCAGAGAUGGAGGCCACCGCUAUUGCAACCCGAGGUCCGGCCAUAGGCCAGGUCCCUGCUGAGCACUAUUUUGAAGAAGUCCUAGAAGGCUCUAGUUUAAUAGAGGCUCAGUGCUCGAAGAGUAUCAUGUUCGAGUGAUAUUUGUCCCAAUUGUAAAAACAAUGCUAUUUGGAUUAUAAAGGCUGUGUUUAUACUUUUGCCUGAAAGUAUUAUGAUGCCUCCUGUGAGGCCGUUUAUGUAUGUAGAUAACCUGAAAGUUUGUAGUCGUCGGCUUCAGCCACCACGCACAUGAUGCGGGGGUGUUCGGAAAAGCGCGUGUUCACACUUGAUCCAACGUCUUGGUCCAUUAAGGAGGUGAUAGCGCGGCGAACAAGGCAAUCGGACUAUAUAGCUUUAACACUUUCACUUAGACAUAGGAGUUUGACGGCGGGGCUACUAUAUAGCCCCUGGUACUUCCGCGCUCAUCCGAAUACGGUGCGCUUACAUACAUGACCGGGAAACCGGCCCUUCGUUAAUGCGGAGGAAUCGCAAAGAUUCCGCUGAGUCAUCGAGUGGUUGACCAGUCUCGCGCUUUAUCAUGAUAGUCAGUUUUCGGCUUUCUCUACUGAGGUGCUCAUCCAGAUGAACCAGGGCACAACCGCAGUAGUUCUCCCGGUGCCACCGUAGCCGAUAGAGCGGAACGUAAGGUAGCAAAACACGGGAGCCGGGCAAACCCAACUAUUGACCAAAGACAUGAUUCGGAGCUGAUGCAUAUAAGUCCAAACUCGCGACGCCGAACACUCCCUAAGGUAUUCGGACUUUACAACAUAUUCUGGGCUGAGUAACGCCCCCGAUAAUGAGCCCUGAUUUUCCAGGUACGUGCAUUAGUCUGAUGUGAUGAAAUGCCAAUAACGCCAGCAUCCCUCUCGGUUGUGUUGAUUAUUCGGAGGGUGUGAAGCAACAAGAGACAGUAAAAAUGUUUACACAGGGUCUUAAUCUAAAAAGAAACCUUUGAUCGGGGCCCUGCUACACGUCUGCGCCUGUGUCUCCGUUGUGCCGUAUCCUGGAAGGGUGUAGCACGAUGAUCAUCUGUAAAAGAGAAAAACCCAGGUGAAAUUCUUCGUGCGAAAAAUUGGUUAUUCUUAAUGAACCAUUAAAAUGCAAUCUAAAUAGGGUCAAGCCGAACGGUAGCCCUUUUUACAUGCGGGAAGCCCCUAGCACCACCUAUGGGGGUAUAUCCGCCGACCCAAUCUCAGGUUUAUCUGAGCUGUUACAGCUAGUGGUGCACCGGACUCGUCUAACCGUGUCCGCGGUCUUGACGACCGAUCAUUUAUUCUGGUUGGAGAGGCCGUUCAGUGUUCGGCUGCUAGAGCCGCCACACAUUCCUCCGUACUUAAGGAGCGCUCUGUGUUUCCGUUAACUAUGAUGAUGCCACGUGCACCGGGCAUCUUAAGCUUAAGAUAAGCGUAAUGCGGUACUGCAUUAAAACGAGCGAAGGUCGUUCUUCCGAGUAGUGCGUGAUAGCCGCUUCGGAAUGGAGCGAUGUCGAAGGUUAAUUCUUCGCUUCGGAAGUUGUCGGGAGAACCGAAUACAACCUAUAAUACUAGAGAGCCCGUGCAGCAGGCCUCUGGGCCUGGUAUUACUCCUUUAAAGGUAGUAUUGCUUUGGUGGAUUCUUGUCGGGUCUAUGCGCAUUUUGCGGACGGUGUCCUGAUAUAUCAGAUUAAGACUACUGCCGCCGUCCAUAAGGACUCGGGUGAGAUGGUAUCCGUCAAUUAUUGGGUCUAGCACCAAGGCAGCCGAUCCUCCGUGCCGGAUACUAGUCGGGUGAUUCCUGUGAUCAAAAGUGAUCGAGCAGGCCGACCAAGGGUUGAACUUGGGGGUGACGGGCUCCACGGCGUAUACGAUCAUGUUCACAGUUUUGACCUCUGGUGGGAACUUUUUCUGUCCCCCAGUGUUCGGCUGGCGAGGCUCAUCCUCGUCUUCACUUGGUGUCUCCCUCCCCUUGUGUUCGGCGUUUAGCUUGCCGGCCUGCUUGAAGACCCUACAUUCUCUAUUGGUGUGAUUUGCGGGUUUGUCGGAGGUGCCAUGAAUCUGACAUAAUCUGUCUAGAAUCUUGUUUAGGCUGGACGCUCCAUCUCUGCUGCCUUUAAAUGGCUUUUUCCGUUGACCGGGUCGAGAGCCCCUGAAUCCGGCGUUUACAGCCGUGUUGUCUGGGUUGUCCUCAUUGUUUUGACGCUUGCUUUUAUUGCGUCGCGGUUUCCCAUUGCCAUCCCUGACUUCGGAUGUGCCUGGGUUGUUGGUGCCGCUACGGGCCAGCCAACUGUCCAGCACCUCAUCGGUGAAGCAUAGGGGGUGCGUGGCACCCCUGUAUUUGGAUGUGUCAUGGCAUUCUGACGGUUGUAGUGUUCGGUUUUGAUUCCGAGCUGCUAUUCGGUCAGUAUAGUCGUUUGGGCGGCCAUGGUUCUGUGCGGGAGCGCGCUUCCUAGAUCCGUAGAUGGCCCUGGCCAAACCAGCUUUUUUGUGCAGGUCUUCACGUAAAUCGUGUGCGACAUCGUUAGCCGCCCUGUCACGGCCACGGGGUGGUCGAUCCGGCUGAUCGGCCGUUUUAUUUUUCGGCUGAAUGGGCUCUAAAGCCUCGUCGUCGAAUUCAGGCAGCAGCUUGCGCUUUGGAAAGCUCUUUGUGUGGCGACUGCCACCGUACUUUUCCUCAGUGUCAAGCACUUUGUUCCAUCUGCUAUUGAGCGUAUUCUACGCGGCCUUAAGCCUUUGCUUCUGCUUUUUCAGGCUCCUCGCGGUGGCAAUAAGCCUUCUAUGGAGCUUCUCUUGUUCCAAGUGCCUUUCCGGGAUGAUGUGUGCAUCGUCGUCCGGACUGUUCUCCUCUCCGGAGACAGGUUGAUGAGCUUUACCCUCGUCGUCGCCGCGAUCGGACAACGGUUCUGUACUAUGUUCGCCGUCCGCUGGCUCAUCCUGCUCCAUCGCUAGGUCCAUGUGGUCGUCGUUUCCUUUGGAGUUGACCGGGGCAUUAUUCUUUCUUGCGCUGUUAUCGCUAUUUUUGCUGAGGCGGGAUUUAGAGCGGCGCCUACGUCGUCGCUUUGGUUGCUUCUCGAGGGGAUUAUCUGUAACACCCUGAGGAUCAUGCUACAGUAACUCUCUGUGAUUAAGCUAAUCAUGUUGCUAAACAGGGCUUGAUCACAUUGGAAUCACACUUCUUUUCAAACUCCUAAUUCAAACUUCAAUUAAAAUUAAAGUGGAAAAAUAAAAGUUUUCAAAAAUUUAAACAAAAAUGUUCGGUGGGUGCCAAAUAAUACACUGGUAAUUAUGGUGGAGAAAACACAUUUUUAUAAAAUACCUAAAUACUUUUAAAUGAAAUAAAACAGAAAAGAAAAUAAACAAAUAAAAAGAAAAUGCAAAAGAACACAGAACAAAGAAUAAAGAAAAAAAAAGGAAAAGGAGANNNNNNNNNNNNNNNNNNNNNNNNNNNNNNNNNNNNNNNNNNNNNNNNNNNNNNNNNNNNNNNNNNNNNNNNNNNNNNNNNNNNNNNNNNNNNNNNNNNNNNNNNNNNNNNNNNNNNNNNNNNNNNNNNNNNNNNNNNNNNNNNNNNNNNNNNNNNNNNNNNNNNNNNNNNNNNNNNNNNNNNNNNNNNNNNNNNNNNNNNNNNNNNNNNNNNNCCUCUCCCACUCGCCCUCCCCUUCCCUGUUCCCCCGACCGGGGUCGGAACAGGGGCCGGUCCCCGCCGCACCACCUCGCCGGCGACGGGGAGGAUAAGGACGCCAGCACCCCCCGCCUCCUCGGGCCCCUCUCCCACUCACCCCCGCUCACCUCUCGGUCCCCGCGCCUCUCUCUUGGCCCCCGAUCCGCGCCGCUCUUUCCUUCCCCACGCCCGACGCGGUCGCCGCCGUUCUCCGUCGUUCACACGGCCACCGUGCCCACCUCGCCGCCCCACGGUGUCUCCAAGGACCGACGUCGCCCGCGGCUUCGUCUGGUGCAGCCCGUUGGAGACCGGAGCCCCUACAACGAGCACACCGAGCUCGUCUUCAACUUCGGACGCCGGCGACCCCCUUCUUCCCCGGCGCCGACCUGCUGCUCCUAAGCCUCUCACCGGCCUCCGUGAGCCGCGCGAUGAGCCUCUCCCCCCUCCUCCCCUGUCCUUUCUCUCUCGCGCGCCCCCUAGCUGCUUCCCCACGCGCGCCCGAACGCCGCGCCGCGGAGCUCGCCGCCGGCAAGGCUCCGGUGACCUUUUGGUCACGGGCUCAAGCCCGUUGCACUCCCCACCGCGCGUAGAUGCCCCCCAGCCCCUCCGCUUGCUCGAUAGCCCGCCGUAGCCUCAUUUCCGUCGGGCACCCGUGCGCGCCGCCGCCUCCGCCGCUCGCCGGCGCGGAUUCCGGCCAAGUCCGGCGAAGCCCCGGCCACCACUGGAUGCGGCGCUGCGAGCUCCUUCGAAUGGGCCUAGCCCCGCUCCCCCCCGAGCCCCGUAGCGCGAUUCCGGCCAACUCCGGCAAGGGGCCGCCGCUGUUUUGGUCGCCAGAGUCGCUCCGGCGCCGGCCGCCGACGUGGCUGGCCUGGGGCCACCCCAGGGCCACUGCCAGUGGGCCCCGUGGGUCCCAGUUGACUGGGUUGACCCAGUCAACUGCUGACUGGGCAGGCCCAGCCACUGACAUGCGGGCCCCGCCGCAAAAUUAAAAAAAAAAAGAAAAGAAAAAUGUUUUUUAUAAUUAAACUAAUUAAUUAAUCUAAUCACUCACUGACAGGUGGGCCCAGUAGUUAAUUAACUAAAAAUUAAUUAGUUUAAUCUUCUGUUAGCCCACUAUCUAUGACAGGUGGGGCCCACUGGUCAGUUUGACCUGGUCAGCCGCUCUGUUGACCUGCUGACAUCAGCAUUGCCUCAUGCUGACGUCAUAAUUCAUUUUUGCUUAGUUCAAAAAAAAUUCCAGAAAUUCAAAUAAACUUUGAAAAUUCAUAUCUUUUAAACCAUAACUCGGAUGAAAAUGUUUUCUAUAUGAAAGUUGCUCAGAACGACGAGACGAAUCCGAAUACGCAAUCCGUUUGUCCACCACACCUCCCUAACCUAUCGAACUAGCAACUUUCCCCCUCCGGUCCGUCUGUCCGAAAACGCGAAACAUCGGGAAUACCUCCCGGAUGUUCCCCCCCUUCACCGGUACCACCUACUGUCGCGUUAGGACACACCUAGCACCGCUCAUUGUCAUGUCACGCAUCGUCAUGCUUAUGUUUGCAUUGUAUUUACUGUUUCUUCCCCCCUCUUCUCUCCGGUAGACUACGAGACCGACACUGCUGCUGCCCAGUUCGACUACGGAGUUGACGACCCCUCCUACUUGCCAGAGCAACCAGGCAAGCCCCCCCCUUGAUCACCAGAUAUCGCCUAUUCUUCUCUAUACUGCUUGCAUUAGAGUAGUGUAGCAUGUUACUACUUUCCGAUAUCCUAUCCUGAUGCAUAUCCUAUCCUUGCUACUACUGUUGUUACCUUUACCUGCAAUCCGACAUGCUUAGUAUAGGAUGCUAGUUUUCCAUCAGUGGCUCUACAUUCUUGUCCGUCUGCUGUGCUAUACUAUCGGGCCGUGAUCACCUGGGCGGUGAUCACGGGUAUAUACUUAUAUACUAUAUACAUGGCACAUGAGAUGACUAAAGUCGGGUCGGCUCGUAGGAGUACCCGCGAGUGGAUCUUUGUGGCGGAGCGACAGGGCAGGUUGAGACUGCCUAGGUGAGAGGUGGGCCUGGCCCUGGUCGGCGUUCGCGGUUACUUAACACGCUUAACGAGAUCUUGGUAUUUGAUCUGAGUCUGGCCAUUUGGUCUAUACGCACUAACCAUCUACGUGGGAGUAGUUAUGGGUAUCCCGACGUCGUGGUAUCAGCCGAAGCUCUUUUGACGUCAGCAACUGAGUGGCGCGCGCCGCAUUGGACCGUAAGCUCGCGCUUGUAUUAAGGGGGCUAGGUCUGCUUCCGGCCGCGUACGCAACGUGCAGGUGUGCAUAGGCGAUGGGCCCAGACCCCUGCGCGCCUAGGUGGGGCUGCGACGUGUUGAUCUUACGAGGCCGGGCAUGACCCAAGAAAGUGUGUCCGGCCAAUUGGGAUCGAGCGUGUUGGGUUAUGUGGUGCACCCCUGCAGGGAAGUUUAUCUAUUCGAAUAGCCGUGUCCCUCGGUAAAAGGACGACCCGGAGUUGUACCUUGACCUUAUGACAACUAGAACUGGAUACUGAAUAAAAUACACCCCUUCCAAGUGCCAGAUACAACCCGGUGAUCGCUCUCUAACAGGGCGACGAGGAGGGGAUCGCCGGGUAGGAUUAUGCUAUGCGAUGCUACUUGGAGUACUUCAUUCUACUCUCUUCUACAUGCUGCAAGAUGGAGAUGACCAGAAGCGUAGUCUUCGACAGGACUAGCUAUCCCCCUUUUAUUCUGGCAUUCUGCAGUUCAGUCCACUGAUAUGCCCCUUUACACAUAUACCCAUGCAUUUGUAGUAUAGCUCCUUGCUUACGAGUACUUUGGAUGAGUACUCACGGUUGCUUCUCUCCCUCUUUCCCCCUUUCCUAUCUAUCUGGUUGUCGCAACCAGAUGUUGGAGUCCAGGAGCCAGACGCCACCGUCGAUGACGACACCUACGACACUGGAGGUGCCUACUACUACGCGCAGGCUGUUGACGACGACCAGGAGUAGUUAGGAGGAUCCCAGGCAGGAGGCCUCCGCCUCGUUCGAUCUGUACCCCCAGUUUGUGCUAGCCUUCUUAAGGCAAACUUGUUUAACUUAUGUCUGUACUCAGAUAUUGUUGCUUCCGCUGACUCGUCUGUGAUCGAGCACUUGUAUUCGAGCCCUCGAGGCCCCUGGCUUGUAUUAUGAUGCUUGUAUGACUUAUUUAUGUUUUAGAGUUGUGUUGUGAUAUCUUCCCGUGAGUCCCUGAUCUUGGUCGUACACAUUUGGGUGCAUGAUUAGUGUACGGUCAAAUCGGGGGCGUCACAAGUUGGUAUCAGAGCCGACUGCCUGUAGGAAUCCCCCUUUCCACACUCCUUGGCCGAAGUCGAGGCUAGACAUUACAAAACUUUUACUAACAUGGUUGUGUGUCUUACGUGCCCACGUCGCCAUUGGGUGGUACUAGUAUCUUUUACUCCUCGACCUUUACUCUGGGACUCUGAACUCUCUUCUACUCGGGUUAAACGAAAUUACUAACUUUAACACUAGGAUCCCGUGACCGCAUUCACCCCAAAGUUGGAUAAGCCAUAGUUGUUUCUUAGAAUAGUAUUUGGAACAAUUCACACACUGUCAUUUGACUCCUUUGAAACGUCUUUGCUUUCAGAUGGAACCCACGAGGCAGGUCGUUCGCCACACGACGGCCAUUGGUGCCUCAGGAUCACCUGCGGUGCUAGCUGAGAUGAUGACCUAUCUGGGUUAUCGCUGGCACCCUGAGUACACCGUCUACGAGGAGUACCAGGACUUUAACCAGGAGCAGUACCGUGCCAUCGUCCACCUCUACUCUCGGGAGUACGACUCCACUACUGUGCUGUACACCGCACAUGGUGUUGGUGUGACCAUCGAUAUGGCUGUCCACGAUGCUGCCUAUGCUGCUCUGACACGUCUUCGUGGAGAGUAUCAGGAUUUGGACACCUCCCCUUUCAGGCACAUUGCUAUCGCAUCUGAUGUUGGUGCGGAGGGAUACUAUACUGCUGCCUACUCCACUGUCACCCGAGAGCCCUUCUACCAUCAGCACCUGGUUCUGCAUGCUGAUGGGCUGGAUCGAGCUAACCGAGCUCUUCGCCACGAGAUGUACACCACCCGUCAGCACCUUUACCGUGCUCUGACGCUGCUGCACCCCUUUGUCCGAUCUGGACAGGUACCGCGUACUGCGAUCUACCCAGCCAGGACCGUGAUGCCCCACGGUGUCGGUUGGCCAGAGGUGGGAGGCUACUCUCCCGCACUUGGCCCUCUUCUGCCACCUGAGCGUCGGGCUCUACACCUGAGUAUCCGCGGCCCCCAGUCUACUGAUGUCGAGGGCUAUCCGUUGCCUCACUACCAGCUGCCGGGCUACGAUUACCUCCACAGUACCUCUUGGGACUGAUGUAGGCUUGCUUGUAGUAUUAGAUGCAGUCGCCGUGAGCCUGUGUGCCGCCUAUGAUGUUUUAGUCUAUGUACUGAACUCUAUGCAUGACCCCUUUUGUAAGUUAUGCCGACUACUAUGUAGUAGCUGUCGUGCUCCUUUCAUUAUGCAUGUUUCAUCAUGAAUGAUUCUUGUCAUUGCAAAUUUCUCAUUGCUGAACUACCCCUGUUAUAUAUUAGCAGGAUGGUUAGACCAGGUGGUCGUGGUCGUGGUGGCGAUGCCCCACCACCACCUGAGUACAUGGCUGGUAUGAUCCAACAGUUUGAACUGAACCGCCAGUUCAUGGAAAAUAUGAUGGCUCAGUUUCCUCGCCCCAAUAUGAACCAGCAGCCAGCCCAAGUGACUCUUCAAGAUUUCAUACGCCUCAACCCAACCAUCUACCGCAGCUCAACUCAGCCUCUGGAUGCUGAUGACUGGCUCCGUGACAUCACCUAUGAGAUGGAGUCUGCUGAUGUAGCCCCUGCCAGCUAUGUCACUUUUGCUUCCUUCUUCUUGAAGGGACCCGCAGCUCAAUGGUGGGACAGCCACAGGUGUACUCUGCCAGCUGGAACAAUCAUCACCUGGCCAGACUUCCAAGCAGCUUUCCGUGCCCGCUUCAUUCCUCAAGGAGUCAUGGACCGGAAGAAGCGUGAGUUCCGCAACCUCACCCAAGGCAACAAAACUGUUGAAGCUUAUCAGCGGGAGUUUCUAGACUUGUCCCGCUAUGCUGAAGAGGACAUUGCAACUGAUGCACGCAGACAGGAGAAAUUCCGUGAUGGCCUUCAAGCUGACAUCAAGCUCGCACUUCUAGUGCAUGACUUUGCUGAUUUCGCCACCUUGGUGAACAAGGCCAUCAAUGUCGAAACUGGUCUGCAGGAAUACCAGAGCUCUCACAGGCGCAACCGUGACACGGGCUCAUCUUCGGGCCCGCCCGCACAGAAGCGUAAGAUAUGGAUCCCGAACAGCAUGUACCGUCCAAAUGCAUCUGCCCCAAGGCAGACAUAUGCUGCACCUCGUCUGCCUCCUCCACCAUCUAGGCAGUCAAGACUUCCAGCUCCACCAUCCCAAGCUCCUGUUCCCACUCCCAAUAAUGGUCUGUGCUACAAGUGUGGACAACCAGGUCACCGUGCCAGGGACUGCCAUCAGAAUCAGAAUCAACUGGCCCUUCCAGCAACUGGCCGUGGUAACAAUCAGCCCCGCAACAACAAUGCUAAGUCUUAUGGUCGUGCUCAUGCCAACCACGUUGAUCUCAACGAAGCUCAAGACCAGCCUGCUACUGUGAUGGGUACACUCCUCGUAAAUUCAGUACCAGCAUCCGUUUUAUUUGAUUCAGGUGCAUCGCAUUCAUUCAUGUCAGAAGAUUUUGCAUACAAGCACGACGUUAAAUGUGAGGAGAUGAACACCUCUGUAUUGGUCAAAACCCCCGUGGGACAGUGUCAAACCUCCUUGGUUGGCAUCGAUGUCCCCGUGGAAAUCGAAGGGCUGGAAUUCUAUGCCUCUCCCAUUAUCCUGAAGACGUCUAACAUCGACCUCAUUUUGGGUAUGGAUUGGUUGAAAGCGCAUACUGCUUCUAUAGUUUGCGCCACUAAGACCGUCCAUCUGCUACACCCUUCAGAUGAAAUAGUUGCUUACCAAGCUCAUCUGGUGCAAAAUGCCGAGGCAAGGCUCUAUGCAUUAAAUGCAUUGAACGCUGCACCACUCGAGGGCAUUGAAAACAUUCCCGUCGUGCGUGAAUUCCUCGACGUCUUCCCUGAAGAACUUCCAGGGAUUCCCCCUGCUAGAGCUGUCGAAUUCAUCAUCGACUUGAAACCAGGCACCACUCCUAUAGCCAAGUGACCCUACAAAAUGCCGCCGCAUGAACUCCUUGAGCUUAAGGAGGAAAUCGACAAAUCUCUUCGCAAAGGAUUCAUUCGCCCAAGUUGCUCUCCUUGGGGAGCACCUUCUCUCUUUGUCAAGAAGAAGGAUGGGACAAACCAGUUAGUUCAAGACUACCGUCCUAUAAACCAAGCUACCAUUCAGAAUAAAUACCCUCUUCCUCGGAUCAAUGAUCUGUAUGAUCAACUGGCGGGUUCGUCAGUGUUCUCUAAGCUCGACUUGAGGUUGGGCUACCACCAGAUCCGUGUUCGCGAAGAGGAUAUCCCAAAGACCGCCUUCGUGACUCGCUAUGGUUCAUACGAGUACACCGUCAUGUCUUUCGGUUUAACCAAUGCUCCAGCCACCUUCUCUCGUCUGAUGAACUAUAUAUUCAUGGAUUACCUCGACAAGUUCGUCGUGGUUUAUCUGGAUGAUAUCCUGGUAUUUUCCAAGAACGAAGAAGAACAUGCUGAACAUCUUCGACUUGUGCUGGAAAAGCUACGAGAGCAUCAACUAUAUGCCAAGUUCUCCAAAUGUGAAUUCUGGCUACCAGAAGUAACCUAUCUUGGGCAUGUCAUCUCUAAGGAUGGUAUUGCCGUCAACCCCGAGCGAGUUCAGGCUAUUCUUGAUUGGACUCCUCCCAAGAACGUUAAGCAAGUCAGAAGUUUUCUCGGUCUCGCCAGCUAUUGCCGUCGAUUUGUCGAGAACUUCUCCAAGAUCGCCAGGCCGCUGACUAACCUGUUACAUAAGGGCGUCAAGUUCCAAUGGACAGACAAAUGUCAGGAAAGUUUCCAGGCACUCAAAGACAAGUUGACUUCUGCUCCAGUUCUAGCUCCACCUGAUACUAAGAAGGACUUUGUCAUUUACUGCGACGCUUCCCGUCAAGGAUUAGGCUGUGUCCUAAUGCAAGACCGCAAAGUGAUUCCUUAUGCCUCUCGGCAAUUGCGCCCUCACGAAGAGAACUACCCAGUUCACGACCUCGAACUUGCUGCUGUCAUUCAUGCGCUGAAGCAGUGGCGACAUUACCUUCUCGGUAAUCGUUGCGAGAUCUUCACUGACCACCAAAGUCUGAAGUAUCUGUUUACUCAGCCAGAUCUGAACCUCCGUCAGCAGAGAUGGAUGGAGCUUGUUGCAGACUUUGACUUGGGUAUUUCCUAUACGCCAGGCAAGGCUAAUGUAAUGGCUGAUGCCUUGAGCCGCAAGUCUUACUGCAACCACCUCCAGGUUCAUAAAGUUCAGCCCUCGCUUGUUGAAGAAUUCAGGAAGCUGAACCUCCAUAUUGUUCCUCCGGGUGCACUCGCUCCCCCUCCUAAGGAGUUUGGCAAGGUGAACCUCCACGUUGUUACCCAGGGUUCCCUCAAUACCCUAGUUGCUAAACCAGAUCUUGUGGAUAGCAUCAAAAGGCUACAGAAGUAUGACUCUGAAGCCCACAAGAUUAAGCGCUACCUCGCAGAAGGAAAGCCCUCAUUCUUCACCAUUGCUGAAGAUGGCACCUUAUACUUCAAGGGCCGCCUAGUGGUGCCAUGUGCAGAGAAAAAACCUGGAUAUGACACAGGAAGUUAUGAAAGAAGCUCAUGAUACGCCUCUAUGUAUCCAUCCUGGUAGUACAAAGAUGUACCAAGACAUCCGUCAGAGAUUCUGGUGGUCUAAUAUGAAGCAAGCCAUUUCUCGUUAUGUUGCUGAGUGUGACGUUUGCCGUCGUAUCAAAGCAGAACAUCAAAGGCCUGCUGGAACUCUGCAACCUAUCUCUAUUCCUGAAUGGAAAUGGGACCAUGUUGAGAUGGACUUCGUCACUGGAUUUCCCAAAUCACAGAAAGGUAAUGAUGCUAUUCUUGUCGUCAUUGACCGGCUUUCCAAAGUUGCACAUUUCCUGGCAGUCAAAGAAACGAUCACUGCUAGCCAGUUGGCAACGCUCUAUAUGUCCAGGAUUGUUUCACUCCAUGGUACUCCAUUGGUUAUCAGCUCAGACCGUGGCAGCUUAUUCACUUCAAGAUUCUGGGCAAGUUUCCAGGAAGCUAUGGGAACUCAUCUGUCAUUCAGUACUGCGUUUCACCCUCAAUCGCAAGGGCAAGUUGAACGCGUCAACCAAGUUCUCGAAGACAUGCUUCGAGCUUGCGUUAUUUCCUUCGGCAAGAAAUGGGAGGAAUCUCUCCCGUAUGCUGAGUUCUCUUAUAAUAAUAGCUAUCAAGCUAGUCUGAAGAUGGCCCCCUUCGAAGUGUUAUAUGGACGAAAGUGCCGAACCCCUCUGAACUGGUCAGAAACUGGGGAACGUCCACUCUUCGGUCCGGAUAUUAUCCAAGAUGCCGAAGAACAAGUCCGCAUUAUUCGCGAGAAUCUCAAGACUGCUCAGUCACGUCAUAAGAGUCAGUAUGACCGUCAUCAUAAGGACAUGGUCUAUCAACCUGGCGAAAAGGCUUAUCUUCGAGUCACACCUAUGAAGGGUGCUCACCGCUUCGGGAUCAAGGGCAAACUAGCUCCUCGCUAUAUUGGCCCGUUCACUAUUCUCGAAAGGCGUGGAGAAGUGGCAUACCAACUGGAGCUACCGCCGAACCUUUCUCAGGUUCACGAUGUGUUCCAUGUGUCACAGCUCCGCCGUUGCUUCAAAGGAUCCAAUCCGAGCUGUGGAUCAUGAAGUGCUCGAAUUGCAGCAAGACCUCUCCUAUAAGGAGCAUCCGGUCCGCAUUCUCGACCAAGCUGAACGCCGCACACGUCAGAAGGCGAUCAAGUUUCUCAAAGUCCAGUGGUCGCACCAUUCUGAAGAUGAGGCCACUUGGGAACGAGAGGAUCGUCUGCGCGAAGAAUACCCCGCACUGUUUCCUUCUACCUCCUAAAUCUCGGGACGAGAUUUCUUGUAGUGGAGGAGAUUUGUAACACCCUGAGGAUCAAGCUACAGUAACUCUCUGUGAUUAAGCUAAUCAUGUUGCUAAACAGGGCUUGAUCACAUUGGAAUCACACUUCUUUUCAAACUCCUAAUUCAAACUUCAAUUAAAAUUAAAGUGGAAAAUAAAAGUUUUCAAAAAUUUAAACAAAAAUGUUCGGUGGGUGCCAAAUAAUACACUGGUAAUUAUGGUGGAGAAAACACAUUUUUAUAAAAUACCUAAAUACUUUUAAAUGAAAUAAAACAGAAAAGAAAAUAAACAAAUAAAAAGAAAAUGCAAAAGAACACAGACAANNNNNNNNNNNNNNNNNNNNNNNNNNNNNNNNNNNNNNNNNNNNNNNNNNNNNNNNNNNNNNNNNNNNNNNNNNNNNNNNNNNNNNNNNNNNNNNNNNNNNNNNNNNNNNNNNNNNNNNNNNNNNNNNNNNNNNNNNNNNNNNNNNNNNNNNNNNNNNNNNNNNNNNNNNNNNNNNNNNNNNNNNNNNNNNNNNNNNNNNNNNNNNNNNNNNNNNNNNNNNNNNNNNNNNNNNNNNNNNNNNNNNNNNNNNNNNNNNNNNNNNNNNNNNNNNNNNNNNNNNNNNNNNNNNNNNNNNNNNNNNNNNNNNNNNNNNNNNNNNNNNNNNNNNNNNNNNNNNNNNNNNNNNNNNNNNNNNNNNNNNNNNNNNNNNNNNNNNNNNNNNNNNNNNNNNNNNNNNNNNNNNNNNNNNNNNNNNNNNNNNNNNNNNNNNNNNNNNNNNNNNNNNNNNNNNNNNNNNNNNNNNNNNNNNNNNNNNNNNNNNNNNNNNNNNNNNNNNNNNNNNNNNNNNNNNNNNNNNNNNNNNNNNNNNNNNNNNNNNNNNNNNNNNNNNNNNNNNNNNNNNNNNNNNNNNNNNNNNNNNNNNNNNNNNNNNNNNNNNNNNNNNNNNNNNNNNNNNNNNNNNNNNNNNNNNNNNNNNNNNNNNNNNNNNNNNNNNNNNNNNNNNNNNNNNNNNNNNNNNNNNNNNNNNNNNNNNNNNNNNNNNNNNNNNNNNNNNNNNNNNNNNNNNNNNNNNNNNNNNNNNNNNNNNNNNNNNNNNNNNNNNNNNNNNNNNNNNNNNNNNNNNNNNNNNNNNNNNNNNNNNNNNNNNNNNNNNNNNNNNNNNNNNNNNNNNNNNNNNNNNNNNNNNNNNNNNNNNNNNGGUCGCCGCCGUUCUCCGUCGUUCACACGGCCACCGUGCCCACCUCGCCGCCCCACGGUGUCUCCAAGGACCGACGUCGCCCGCUGCUUCGUCUGGUGCAGCCCGUUGAAGACCGGAGCCCCUACAACGAGCACACCGAGCUCGUCUUCAACUUCGGACGCCGGCGACCCCCUUCUUCCCCGGCGCCGACCUGCUGCUCCUAAGCCUCUCACCGGCCUCCGUGAGCCGCGCGGUGAGCCUCUCCCCCUCCUCCCCUGUCCUUUCUCUCUCGCGCGCCCCCUAGCUGCUUCCCCACGCGCGCCGCGGAGCUCGCCGCCGGCAAGGCUCUGGUGACCUUUUGGUCACGGGCUCAAGCCCGUUGCACUCCCCACCGCGCGUAGAUGCCCCCCAGCCCCUCCGCUUGCUCGAUAGCCCGCCGUAGCCUCGUUUCCGUCGGGCACCCGUGCACGACGCCGCCUCCGCCGCUCGCCGGCGCGGAUUCCGGCCAAGUCCGGCGAAGCCCCGGCCACCACUGGAUGCGGCGCUGCGAGCUCCUUCGAAUGGGCCUGGCCCCGCUCCUCCCCGAGCCCCGUAGCGCGAUUCCGGCCAACUCCGGCGAGGGGCCGCCGCUGUUUUGGUCGCCGGAGUCGCUCCGGCGCCGGCCGCCGAUGUGGCUGGCCUGGGGCCACCCCAGGGCCACUGCCAGUGGGCCCCGUGGGUCCCAGUUGACUGGGUUGACCCAGUCAACUGCUGACUAGGCAGGCCCAGCCACUGACAUGCGGGCCCCGCCGCAAAAUUAAAAAAAAAAGAGAAAAUAAAAAUGUUUUUUAUAAUUAAACUAAUUAAUUAAUCUAAUCACUCACUGACAGGUGGGCCCAGUAGUUAAUUAACUAAAAAUUAAUUAGUUUAAUCUUCUGUUAGCCCACUGUCUAUGACAGGUGGGGCCCACUGGUCAGUUUGACCUGGUCAGCCGCUCUGUUGACCUGCUGACGUCAGCAUUGCCUCAUGCUGACGUCAUAAUUCAUUUUUGCUUAGUUCAAUUUUUUUUCCAGAAAUUCAAAUAAACUUUGAAAAUUCAUAUCUUUUAAACCAUAACUCGGAUGAAAAUGUUUUCUAUAUGAAAGUUGCUCAGAACGACGAGACGAAUCCGAAUACGCAGUCCGCUCGUCCACCACACCUCCCUAACCUAUCGAACUAGCAACUUUCCCCCUCCGGUCCGUCUGUCCGAAAACGCGAAACAUCGGGAAUACCUCCCGGAUGUUCCCCCCCUUCACCGGUACCACCUACUGUCGCGUUAGGACACACCUAGCACCGCUCAUUGUCAUGUCACGCAUCGUCAUGCUUAUGUUUGCAUUGUAUUUACUGUUUCUUCCCCCCUCUUCUCUCCGGUAGACUACAAGACCGACACUGCUGCUGCCCAGUUCGACUACGGAGUUGACGACCCCUCCUACUUGCCAGAGCAACCAGGCAAGCCCCCCCCCCCUUGAUCACCAGAUAUCGCCUAUUCUUCUCUAUACUGCUUGCAUUAGAGUAGUGUAGCAUGUUACUGCUUUCCGAUAUCCUAUCCUGAUGCAUAGCCUAUCCUUGCUACUACUGUUGUUACCUUUACCUGCAAUCCUACAUGCUUAGUAUAGGAUGCUAGUUUUCCAUCAGUGGCCCUACAUUCUUGUCCGUCUGCUGUGCUGUACUAUCGGGCCGUGAUCACCUGGGCGGUGAUCAUGGGUAUAUACUUAUAUACUAUAUACAUGGCACAUGAGAUGACUAAAGUCGGGUCGGCUCGUAGGAGUACCCGCGAGUGGAUCUUUGUGGCGGAGCGACAGGGCAGGUUGAGACUGCCUAGGUGAGAGGUGGGCCUGGCCCUGGUCGGCGUUCGCGGUUACUUAACACGCUUAACGAGAUCUUGGUAUUUGAUCUGAGUCUGGCCAUUUGGUCUAUACGCACUAACCAUCUACGUGGGAGUAGUUAUGGGUAUCCCGACGUCGUGGUAUCAGCCGAAGCUCUUUUGACGUCAGCAACUGAGUGGCGCGCGCCGCAUUGGACCGUAAGCUCGCGCUUGUAUUAAGGGGGCUAGGUCUGCUUCCGGCCGCGUACGCAACGUGCAGGUGUGCAUAGGGCGAUGGGCCCAGACCCCUGCGCGCAUAGGUUUAGACCGGCUUGCUGACCUCUCUGUUGAGCCUAGGUGGGGCUGCAACGUGUUGAUCUUACGUGGCCGGGCAUGACCCAGGAAAGUGUGUCCGGCCAAUUGGGAUCGAGCGUGUUGGGUUAUGUGGUGCACCCCUGCAGGGAAGUUUAUCUAUUCGAAUAGCCGUGUCCCUCGGUAAAAGGACGACCCGGAGUUGUACCUUGACCUUAUGACAACUAGAACUGGAUACUGAAUAAAAUACACCCCUUCCAAGUGCCAGAUACAACCCGGUGAUCGCUCUCUAACAGGGCGACGAGGAGGGGAUCGCCGGGUAGGAUUAUGCUAUGCGAUGCUACUUGGAGUACUUCAUUCUACUCUCUUCUACAUGCUGCAAGAUGGAGAUGACCAGAAGCGUAGUCUUCGACAGGACUAGCUAUCCCCCUUUUAUUCUGGCAUUCUGCAGUUCAGUCCACUGAUAUGCCCCUUUUACACAUAUACCCAUGCAUUUGUAGUAUAGCUCCUUGCUUGCGAGUACUUUGGAUGAGUACUCAUGGUUGCUUCUCUCCCUCUUUCCCCCUUUCCUAUCUAUCUGGUUGUCGCAACCAGAUGUUGGAGUCCAGGAGCCAGACGCCACCGUCGAUGACGACACCUACGACACUGGAGGUGCCUACUACUACGUGCAGGCCGCUGACGACGACCAGGAGUAGUUAGGAGGAUCCCAGGCAGGAGGCCUGCACCUCGUUCGAUCUGUACCCCCAGUUUGUGCUAGCCUUCUUAAGGCAAACUUGUUUAACUUAUGUCUGUACUCAGAUAUUGUUGCUUCCGCUGACUCGUCUGUGAUCGAGCACUUGUAUUCGAGCCCUCGAGGCCCCUGGCUUGUAUUAUGAUGCUUGUAUGACUUAUUUAUGUUUUAGAGUUGUGUUGUGAUAUCUUCCCGUGAGUCCCUGAUCUUGGUCGUACACAUUUGCGUGCAUGAUUAGUGUACGGUCAAAUUGGGGGCGUCACAUUAUCCUUCGCUACAUCCUUCCAUUCCUCGUCGUUGUUUUCUUUGGGUGUAUCCACCAUCUAUAUAUCGUAUGAUGAAGUGGCUGUCCAGCGCCCUGUGGGCGGUGGUUCCUGUUCCCCUCCUGCAUCGUCGUCCAUACCGUCGAUGUCUUCGGAGUCGAAAUCAAGCAUAUCGGUUAAGUCGUCGACAGUGGCUAUUAAAUGGGUGGUGGGCGGGGAACGAAUUUCUUCGUCGUCCGCUUCCCACUCGAGCCGGACAUAGUUCGGCCGAGGGUCUCCUGAUGAGGAGAGUGACCUCAAUGAAUCUAGCACGUCACCCAGGGGCAAGUGCUGAAAGAUAUCCGCGGAGGUAAACUCCAUGACCGGUGCCCAAUCAGACUUGAUAGGCACGGACGCAGGCGGUUCGGAGCCUGUGACCGGGGACGAAUCCAAGGGUCCGGCAACACAGGUCUCAUAGGAGGUGAAGUCAGUAUUCAGCUCUAUCGCCGCUGAGUGUGCGGCCUCCGUGGCGGGGUCCAUCCACCCGUCCUCGGACGGCAUGAUCUGCUCCGGACUGAGGGCCGGAGUAGCCACAGGUGUGAUCUCCCGAACACCAUCCGACAGCAGAGCUAAGUCAUGCUCGUCGUGGCUGUGCGGCGCACCUGACAUGGGCUCGAAUCCGUCGAAGAUCAAGUCUCCGCAGAUGUCGGCAGUAUAGUUUAAGCUUCCCAACCUGACCUGAUGGCCAGGGGCGUAGCUCUCGAUCUGCUCCAGAUGGCCAAGCGAGUUGGCCCGCAGUACGAAGCCGCCAAAUACGAAAAUCUGUCCGGGGAGAAAAACCUCACCCUGGAUCGCAUCGUUGCCGAUGAUCUAAGGAGCCAUCAAGCCUUUACAUGACGGCACAGUGGAACUCUCAAUGAAAGCACCAAUGUCGGUGUCAAAACCGGCGGAUCUCGGGUAGGGGGUCCCGAACUGUGCGUCUAAGGCGGAUGGUAACAUGAGGCGGGGGACAGAAUGUUUACCCAGGUUCGGGCCCUCUCGAUGGAGGUAAUACCCUACUUCCUGCUUGAUUGAUCUUGAUGAUAUGAGUAUUACAAGAGUUGAUCUACCACGAGAUCGUAGAGGCUAAACCCAAGAAGCUAGCCUAUGAUUAUGAUUGUUCUUGUCCUACGGACUAAACCCUCCGGUUUAUAUAGACACCGGAGGGCGCUAGGGUUACACAGAGUCGGUUACAAGGGAGGAGAUCUACAUAUCCGAAUCGCCAAGCUUGCCUUCCACGCAAAGGAGAGUCCCACCCGGACACGGGACGAAGUCUUCAAUCUUGUAUCUUCAUAGGCCAACAGUCCGGCCAAAGUAUAUAGUCCGACCGUCCGAGGAACCCCUAAUCCAGGACUCCCUCACCCGCCACGACGCUUUGCUUAGAACUGCACCAACUGACAGCCCACCGUUCAAUAUAAACACGUAUCCGGUUUGUGACGUAGAAUCAUCCGGAUCAGUGUCAAAGCUUGCAUCGACGUAACCAUUUACGACGAGCUCUUUGCCACCUCCAUAAACGAGAAACAUAUCCGUAGUCUUUUUCAGGUAUUUCAGGAUGUUCUUGACCACUGUCCAGUGAUCCACUCCUGGAUUACUUUGGUACCUCCCUGCUAAACUAAUAGCAAGGCACACAUCAGGUCUGGUACAACAUUGAAUACAUGAUAGAGCCUAUGGCUGAAGCAUAGGGAACACCUUUCAUUUUCUCUCUAUCUUUUGCAGUGGUCGGGCAUUGAGUCUGACUCAACUUCACACCUUGUAAUACCGGCAAGAACCCUUUCUUUGCUUGAUCCAUUUUAAACUUUUUCAAAACUUUAUCAAGGUAUGUGCUUUGUGAAAGUCCAAUUAAGCAUCUCGAUCUAUCUCUAUAGAUCUUAAUGCCCAAUAUAUAAGCAGUUUCACCGAGGUCUUUCAUUGAAAAAACUCGUAUUCAAGUAUCCUUUUAUGCUAUCCAGAAAUUAUAUAUCAUUUCCAAUCAACAAUAUGUAAUCUACAUAUAAUAUUAGAAAUGCUACAGAGCUCCCACUCACUUUCUUGUAAAUACAUGCUUCUCCAAAAGUCUGUAUAAAACCAUAUGCUUUGAUCACACUAUCAAAAUGUUUAUUCCAACUCGGAGAUGCUUGCACCAGUCCAAAAAUGGAUAGCUGGAGCUUGCACACUUCGUUAGCAUCCUUUGGAUCGAUAAAACCUUCAGGUUGCAUCAUAUACAACUCUUCUUCCAGAAAUCCAUUCAGGAAUGCAGUCUUUACAUCCAUUUGCGAGAUUUCAUGAUCAUAAAAUGCGGCAAUUGCUAACAUGAUUCGGACGGACUUAAGCAUCGCUACGGGUGAGAAGGUCUCAUCGUAGUCAACUCCUUGAACUUGUCGAAAACCUUCCGCAACAAGUCGAGCUUUGUAGACAGGAACAUUAACGUCAGUGUCUGUCUUCUUCUUGAAGAUCCAUUUAUUCUCGAUGGUUUGCUGAUCAUCGGGCAAGUCAACCAAACUCCACACUUUGUUCUCAUACAUGGAUCCCAUCUCAGAUUUCAUGGUCUGAAGCCAUUUUGCGGAAUCUGGGCUCAUCAUCGCUUCCUCAUAGCUCGUAGGUUCGUCAUGGUCAAGUAACAUGACCUCCAGAACAGGAUUACCGUACCACUCUGGUGCGGAUCUUACUCUAGUUGACCUACGAGGUUCAGUAGUAACUUGAUCUGAAGUUACAUGACCAUCAUCAUUAGCUUCCUCACUAAUUGGUGUAGGAGUCACAGGAACAGAUUUCUGUGAUGAACUACUUUCCAAUAAGGGAGCAGGUACAGGUACCUCAUCAAGUUCUACUUUCCUCCCACUCACUUCUUUCGAGAGAAACUCCUUCUAUAGAAAGGAUCCAUUCUUAGCAACGAAUGUCUUGCCUUCGGAUCUAUGAUAGAAGGUGUACCCAAUAGUCUCCUUUGGGUAUCCUAUGAAGAAACAUUUCUCCGAUUUGGUUCGAGCUUAUCAGGUUGAAGCAUUUUCACAUAAGCAUCGCAGCCCCAAACUUUAAGGAACGACAACUUUGGUUUCUUGCCAAACCAUAGUUCAUAAGGCGUCGUCUCAAUGGAUUUAGAUGGUGCCCUAUUUAACGUGAAUGCAACCGUCUCUAAAGCAUAACCCCAAAACGAUAGCGGUAAAUCAGUAAGAGACAUCAUAGAUCGCACCAUAUCCAGUAAAGUACGAUUACGAAGUUCGGACACACCAUUACGCUGUGGUGUUCCGAGUGGCGUGAGUUGCGAAACUAUUCCACAUUGUUUCAAAUGAAGACCAAACUCAUAACUCAAAUAUUCUCCUCCACGAUCAGAUCGUAGAAACUUUAUUUUCUUGUUACGAUGAUUUUCCACUUCACUCUGAAAUUCUCUGAACUUUUUAAAUGUUUCAGACUUAUGUUUCAUCAAGUAGAUAUACCCAUAUCUGCUCAAAUCAUCUGUGAAGGUGAGAAAAUAACGAUACCCGCCGCGAGCCUCAACAUUCAUUGGACCACAUAUAUCAGUAUGUAUGAUUUCCAACAAAUCUGUUGCACGCUCCAUUGUUCCGGAGAACAGAGUUUUAGUCAUCUUACCCAUGAGGCAUGGUUCGCAAGUACCAAGUGAUUCAUAAUCAAGUGAUUCCAAAAGUCCAUCAAAAUGGAGUUUCUUCAUGCGCUCUACACCAAUAUGACCUAAACGGCAGUGCCACAAAUAAGUUGCACUAUCAUUAUCAACUCUGCAUCUUUUGGCUUCAAUAUUAUGAAUAUGUGUAUCACUACUAUCGAGAUUCAAUAUAAAUAGACCACUCUUAAAGGGUGCAUGACCAUAAAAGAUAUUACUCAUAUAAAUAGAAAAACCAUUAUUCUCUGAUUUAAAUGAAUAACCGUCUCGCAUCAAACAAGAUCCAGAUAUAAUGUUCAUGCUCAACGCUGGCACCAAAUAACAAUUAUUCAGGUCUAAAACUAAUCCCAAAGGUAGAUGUAGAGGUAGCGGGCCGACCGCGAUCACAUCGACUUUGGAACCAUUUCCCACGCGCAUCGUCACCUCGUCCUUAGCCAAUCUUCGCUUAAUCCGUAGUCCCUAUUUCGAGUUACAAAUAUUAGCAACAGAACCAGUAUCAAAUACCCAGGUGCUACUGCGAGCAUUAGUAAGGUACACAUCAAUAACAUGUAUAUCACGUAUACCUUCACUAGUAGAAAACAGGGCUUUGGUCACAGGGCAAUAUUCACAUUAGUCCCGGUUCAGUCACGAACCGGGACUAAUGUGAGCAUUGGUCCCGGUUCGUGCGGCUAAGGCAUUAGUCCCGGUUCACCUGGGCCCUUUAGUCCCCGUUGGUGCCACCAACCGGUACUAAUGGGCUUUGAGGCAUUAGUACCGGUUCAUGGCAUGAACCGGUACUAAAGGUCCCAUUUUCAAACUCUACACCCCCCUGUGGACCGCCUUUUCAGUUUUAGAAAAAACAAAAGAAAAUGAUGAAAAUGUCAAAAAAAUAAAAUAACACAAGUUUUCCAUGUGAUAUGUGGUCUAUUUGUUGGGAAAAUUUACAAAUAUGAAUUUCGACUUUAUUUGCAAAAUCUCUCUGGAAUUUGUAAAAUGGGCAUAACUUUUGCAUACGAACUCGGAUUAAAAAGUUUUUUAUAUGAAAAAUCAUCUACUCGAAAAGUUACUUCCGAAUUUAAACGGGGGAACCCCGUUAAACAUUUUCAAAAUCCUCAAAAACCUAACAGAAAAAAAGUUACGGGGCUUUCAAGAUCUAGAGGCAAAAAAAUUGAAAAAAAUUCAAACUUACUAGUGGGAAACUUACUAGUAACAGAAAAAAAAAUAUAGUUUCAAAUUUUAUAUUUGGAAAAAAUGUGGUCAGGUCUGGUCAAAUCUGGUCAAACUGUGGUUAAACAAUGGUCAAACUAAUUAUUCUAGAAUAUUAGUGUUACUAAAUAAUUAUUUCAGUUUUUUUGAAUUUGGGUCAACUAUGGUCAAACAGUGACCAAACUGUGGUCAAACUGUGGUCAAACUAAUUAUUCAAGAAAUAUUAGUUUUACUAAAUAAUUAUUGCUUUUUAAAACAAUAGUUUCAAACUCAAACAGUGAAAUGUGUCACUUCAUGCUGAAGCUAAAUUCCUGAGGGUUAAUAGGAUUGACGUCUUACUAUUGUCAGGAAAACAACAAGUGCAGACUUGGAAACGAGGGAGAAUAGAACCCGGAAGUUAAGCGUGCUCAGGCUGGGGGAGUGGGAGGAUGGGUGACCGUUCGGGAAGUUAGAUGAUUUGGAAUGAUGAGGGGUGAUUAGAGAUUAGAGGAUAAAUUGAGCAGUGAUGAGGGGUGGUGAUUAGAGAUUAGAGGUAAAAAUAAUUCAGAAAUUUGAAAAUAAAAAAAAUCAAAAAAAAAAUCAUAAAAUUUCCUUUAGUCCCGGUUGGUGUUACCAACCGGGACUAAAGGUGGAGCUCCACGUGGCCGCGGCCUUUAGUCCCGGUUCGUGUAAGAACCGGGACUAAAGGGGGGAGGCAUUAGUAACGGCCUUUAGUCCCGGUUCGUGUAAGCCCCUUUUUCUACUAGUGCUUUGUUCACCUUGCCAUCCUUCUUAUCCGCCAAGUACUUGGGGCAGUUCCGCUUCCAGUGACCAGUACCUUUGCAGUAGAAGUAAUCAGUCUCAGACUUAGGUCCAGACUUGGGCUUUUUCACUUGAGCAGCAACUUGCUUGCCGUUCUUCUUGAAGUUUCCCUUCUUCCCUUUACCCUUUUUCUUGAAAUUGGUGGUCUUGUUGACCAUCAAUACUUGAUGCUCCUUCUUGAUUUCUACCUCCGCAGCAUUUAGCAUCGCGAAGAGCUUGGGAAUUGUCUUAUCCAUCCCUUACAUGUUAUAGUUCAUCACGAAGCUCUUGUAGCUUGGUGGCAGUGAUUGAAGAAUUAUGUCAAUGACACUAUCAUCCGGAAGAUUAACUCCCAGUUGAAUCAAGUGAUUGUUAUACUCAGACAUUUUGAGUAUAUGCUCACUGACAGAACUAUUCUCCUCCAUCUUGCAGCUGUAGAACUUAUUGGACACUUCAUAUCUCUCAAUCCGUCCAUUUGCUUGAAAUAUUAACUUCAACUCCUGAAACAUCUCAUAUGCUCCAUGACGUUCAAAACGUCGUUGACGUCCUGGUUCUAUGCCUUAAAGCAAGGCACACUGAACUAUCGAGUAGUCAUCAGCUUCGCUCUGCCAGACGUUCGUAACAUCUGGUAUUGCUCCUGCAGCGGGUUUGGCACUGAUACGUCUCCAAUGUAUGUAUAAUUUAUGAAGUAUCCAUGCUAUUAUAUUAUGCAUCUUGGAUGUUUAAUGGGCUUUACUAUGCACUUCUAUAUUACUUUUGAGACUAACCUAUUGACCCAGAGCCCAGUGCCAGUUUCUGUUUUUUUCCUUGUUUCAGUGUUUCACGGAAAAGGAAUAUCAAACGGAGUCCAAACGGAAUGAAACCUUCGGAAAAGUUAUUUUUGGAAAGAAAGCAAUACAGGAGACUUGGAGUGCACGUCAGGAGAUCAACGAGGAGAGCACAAGGCAGGGGGGCGCGCCCUCCACCCUCGUGGGCCCCUCGUGGCCCCCCUUACCGACUUCUUUCGCCUAUAUAUCUCCAUAUACCCUAAACCAUCGGGGAGCAGAGAGAUCGGGAGUUCCGCCGCCGCAAGCCUCUGUAGCCACCAAAAACCAAUCGAGACCCUGUUCUGGCACCCUGCCGGAGGGGGGGACCCUCACCAGUGGCCAUCUUCAUCAUCCCGGCGUUCUCCAUGACGAGGAGGGAGUAGUUCACCCUCGGGGCUGAGGGUAUGUACUAGUAGCUAUAUGUUUGAUCUCACUCUCUCUCGUGUUCUUGAGAUGAUCUAUUGUAGUUGUAGAUGUAUCGCGAGCUUUGCUAUUGUAGUUGGAUCUUAUGAUGUUUCUCCCCCUCUACUCUCUUGUAAUGGAUUGAGUUUUCCCUUUGAAGUUAUCUUAUCGGAUUGAGUCUUUAAUGAUUUGAGAACACUUGAUGUAUGUCUUGCGUGGGAUAACCGUGGUGACAAUGGGUUAUUCUAUUGAUUCACUUGAUGUAUGUUUUGGUGAUCAACUUGCGGGUUCCGCCCAUGAACCUAUGCAUAGGGGUUGGCACACGUUUUCGUCUUGACUCUCCGGAAGAAACUUUGGGGCACUCUUUGAGGUUCUAUGUGUUGGUUGAAUAGAUGAAUAUGAGAUUGUGUGAUGCAUAUCGUAUAAUCAUACCCACGGAUACUUGAGGUGACAUUGGAGUAUCUAGGUGACAUUAGGGUUUUGGUUGAUGUGUGUCUUAAGGUGUUAUUAUACUACGAACUCUAGGGCUGUUUGUGACACUUAUAGGAAUAGCCCAAUGGAUUGAUCGGAAAGAAUAACUUUGAGGUGGUUUCGUACCCUACCAUAAUCUCUUCGUUUGUUCUCCGCUAUUAGUGACUUUGGAGUGACUCUUUGUUGUAUGUUGAGGGAUAGUUAUAUGAUCCAAUUAUGUUAUUAUUGUUGAGAGAACUUGCACUAGUGAAAGUAUGAACCCUAGGCCUUGUUUCCUAGCAUUGCAAUACCGUUUAUGCUCACUUUUAUCAAUAGUUACCUUGCUGUUUUUAUAUUUUCAGAUUACAAAAACCUAUAUCUACCAUCCAUAUUGCACUUGUAUCACCAUCUCUUCACCGAACUAGUGCACCUAUUCAAUUUACCAUUGUAUUGGGUGUGUUGGGGACACAAGAGACUCUUUGUUAUUUGGUUGCAGGGUUGCUUGAGAGAGACCAUCUUCAUCCUACGCCUCCCACGGAUUGAUAAACCUUAGGUCAUCCACUUGAGGGGAAUUUGCAACUGUCCUACAAACCUCUGCACUUGGAGGCCCAACAACGUCUACAAGAAGAAGGUUAUGUAGUAGACAUAAAGCUCUUUUCUGGCGCCGUUGCCGGGGAGGCUAGGUAAGCGGCACUCACACCCCAUCAACUAAGCAGUUUCUGGCGCCGUUGCCGGGGAGGUGAGUGCUUGAAGUUAUAUCUUUAGAUCUUGCAAUCGGAUCUUUUUGUUUCUUGUUUUAUCACUAGUUUAGUUUAUAAAAGAAAAUUACAAAAAAAUGGAAUUGAGUUUGCCUCAUACGCUUCAUCUUUUUAAUAUAUUUCGUGAGUAUGAUGGAAAGGAAAAUUGUGCCAAAAUAUUAGAGGAAGAAUGCAUUAGAAUGUUUGGCACUAAAUCUUUGAAUGAUGAGCAUGAUUGCAAUGUUGUUGGUAUGAACUCCUUGAAUAUCCAUAGUACUAAUGAUGAUUGCACUAGUCAUGAUGAAAAUGUCUCCUAUAAACAUGUCAAUUUUUGUGGAGUGCAUUGGGUUUGCAAGUACACACCAAAUAGGGAUGAUAGAUAUUGCAAGAGGCAUAAGCAUUUAGAAACUAAAUUGUUGCAAGAAAGGCUAGAUGUUUGCGCUGAAAAUUGAUUUUUUCUUAGCCGUACUUGUGAACUUUGCAAUGAACAUGAUCAUUUCAGUACCCAAUGCAAAUUGUUUCAUGAUCGUAUCGUGUCCAAAAAUUGUGAUGACUUGAUUUCCCUUGCACAUCAUAAUGAACUUAGUUUGCUCUUGGGUUAUGAAGAAAUGAAACGUAUAACUAAGGUCAUUCCAGAAUUUGCCCUUGAUAGAGUCCUUCAUUUUGAUCUAGAGGAAAUUUAUAUGUAUUAUGCAGUGAAUUUCAUUGAAAAUCCUUAUAUUGCCAAUUACAUAAAGAAAAGAAAGCAAACAGAAGAUGAAGAGAACACUAAUGUAAGGGAAGAGACUUCCCAAUAUCCUCCUAUUAUUUGUUAUGAUGAAUCAGGUAACGAGGAGGAGCUUUCUAUUCAACCAAUCUCAUCAAUAAGGAGCUCAAAAAACAGGGAUAAACCGACACAUGAUGUGAAGAAGAAAAAGAAAAAACGGAGAAGCAAAGGUAAAAAGGUAUCCCUCCCAAAUAAUGUUGCUCCUAUUAUUGUUGUGCCUCAUGAAAAUGAAUCAAAAAUAAUUGUGGAAGAUGAUGCACUUGAUGAUGAUCUAGUUAUGCCUAUUGCUUGAUGUGAUGAUUAUGAUUGGGAAGAUAAUGAUACUUCUUAUGAUCUUGAAAAUCUUUUUGGCACUUGUUUGGAAUAUGACAAUUGCUAUACUAUUGGUGCUAUCCAUACUAUUAAUGAUGAGAGUGAUUAUGCUUAUGAUAUGAAAAGGCCCAAGCUUGGGGAUGCUAUGUUUGAAGAAGAUGAUGUUUGUGAGAAUAUAUUUGCUGCAAUUAAUGUUUGUCCCAAGCUUGGGGAUGCUAUGUUUAAUAAUGAUGAUAUUUUUAGCCUCUCAAGUUUCGAUAUGCAAAUUUAUAAUGAUGAUAGCAUGCCUCCUACUUAUGAUGAUUAUAUUGAUGAAAGUGGGUUUGGAAGAGUGUCAACUUUAGGAAGUAAUGAUCCCACUAUUUUGGAGGAUGUUGAAUCUUAUAAUAUUUAUGAAAGUGGAUUUGGAGAGGUCAUGACUUUGUUUAGUGAUGUAUCCACUAUUUCGGAAGAGGUUUCAAUUGAUUAUGAUGCGAACAAAGUUUCUACUUAUGAUGAUUAUUGUGAUGAAACUUAUGCUAUAAAAAGUAGUGAUGAUUAUAUUUAUAAAACUUGUCAUGAUUACGAUUACCCUUUUUCUGAACAUUACUCUUUUAAUGUGGAAACAAUUUAUAGUAUUCAAGUCUCUCAUGAUACUCCCACUAUUCCGAAUGAGAAGAAUUUUGCUUGUGUGGAGAGUAGUAAAUUUUCUAUGCUUGUAGAGCAUGAAAAGAAUGCUUUAGGUGCUGGUUAUAUUGUUGAAUUCAUUCAUGAUGCUACUGAAAAUUAUUAUGAGGGAGGAAUAUAUGCUUGUAGGAAUUGCAAUAAUAUGAAGUUUCCUCUCUAUGUGCUUAAAGUUUUGAAGUUAUGCUUGUUUUACCUUCCUUUGCAAGUUGAUUCUUGUUCCCAUAGGUUGUUUGCUCACAAAAUCCCUAUGCAUAGGAAGUGGGUUAGACUUAAAUGUGCUAGUCAUAUUCUUCAUGAUGCUCUAUUUAUGUUUCAAUUCUUAUCUUUUAUGUGAGCAUCAUUGAAAUCAUCAUGCCUAGCUAGGGGCGUUAAACGAUAGCGCUUGUUGGGAGGUAACCCAAUUUUAUUUUAGUGUCUUGAUUUUUGGUUCUGUUUAGGAAUAAAUAAUCCAUCUAGAUUCUGUUUAGAUGUGGUUUUGUGUUUUAAUUAGUGUUUGUGCCAAGUAGAACCUUUGGGAAGACUUGGGUGAAGUCUUUAUGAUCAUGCUGUAAAAAACAGAAACUUUAGCGCUCACGAGAUUAGCUAAAACUUUUUACUGGAGAGUGAUAUUUAGUUGAUUCUUUUUGCAGAUGAUUACUAGACAAAUUACUCAGGUCCACCAAUUUAUUUUAGAAUUUUUGGAGUUCCAGAAGUUUGCGUUAGUUACAGAUUACUUCAGACUGUUCUGUUUUUGACAGAUUCUGUUUUUCGUGUGUUGUUUGCUUAUUUUGAUGACUCUAUGGCUAGUAAAAUAGUUUAUAAACCAUAGAGAAGUUGGAAUGCAGUAUGUUUAACACCAAUAUAAAUAAAAAUGAGUUCAGUACGGUACGAAGUGGUAUUUUGCUUUCUUUCGCUAACGGAGCUCACGAGAUUUUCUGUUAAGUUUUGUGUUGUGAAGUUUUCAAGUUUUGGGUAAAGAUUCGAUGGACUAUGGAAUAAGGAGUGGCAAGAGCCUAAGCUUGGGGAUGCCCAAGGCACCCCAAGGUAAUAUUCCAGGACAACCAAGAGCCUAAGCUUGGGGAUGCCCCGGAUGGCAUCCCCUCUUUCGUCCUCAUCCAUCGGUAACUUUACUUGGAGCUAUAUUUUUAUUCACCAAAUGAUAUGUGUUUUGCUUGGAGCUUCAUUUUAUUUUCUUUAGCUUUGCUUGUUGUAUGAAUAAAAUACCAAGAUCUUAAAUUAUUAAAUGGGAGAGUCUUCACAUAGCUAAAUAAUUAUUCAACUACCCAUUGAUCUUCACUUAUAUCUUUUUGGAGUAGUUUGUUAUUUACUCGUGUGCUUCACUUAUAUCCUAUGAGUAAAUGGUUGAAUGAUUUGAAUGUCAUAAAUCUGAAAUUAUAUAUGUUUCAUAUGCUUUUUCCAUGGGGAGUAAUGCCUUUACAUAUAAGAAGUAGAGGUGGUAAAUUUAUUGAAGGUUAGCAAACAUUGUAUUGGUCACUUGCACAAUUCAUGAAAGAAUAUUGAAGGAAGAGAGAUUUCACAUAUAAAUAUACUAUCUUGGACAUCAUCUAUGAUUGUGAGCCCAUUAAUUAUUUUCAAACCUGAGCAAAUUUAGUUGAAGUUGGACAAGGAAGACAACAUACUGAGUUAUGUUUGGGUAUAUUUGGAUAGAAGUUAUAUUGUUAUGGAUCCUCUAACAUGUGGUGCUUGCUAUUUAGAAUCCUUUGCUAGCCAAAAUAUCUGUACUAAUCGGGAAUACUGCUUGUGCAUCCAAACUCCUUGAACCAAGUUUCUUCCAUGAAUGUCCACCACAUCUACCUAUAUGCGGUAUUUACCUGCCGUUCCAAGUAAAUUUGCACGUGCCAAACUCUAAACCUUCAAAUAAUAAUCUGUUUUGUAUGCCCGAAUUGCUCAUGUAGUGACUAGGGGCUAGCAGUAUCUUCCAUGCUAGGUGGGUUAUUCUCACGAUGAGUGGACUCCGCUCAUCAGUCACGAGAAAAUGGCUGGUAACUUGGAUGCCCAGUCCUAUGAUCAAAAGAUCAAAAACAAAUUCGCAAAUAAUUUAAACAAAACUCCCCCAGGAUUGUUGAAAGUUGGACGGCACCCGUUGUUUCGGACAAGCCAUGGAGUGUGAUCGUUGGUGGAGGGGGAGUAAAAUCUUUACCUUUCUGCAUGGGAACCGCCUAUGAUGUAUCUAGUAUGGAAGAUAUUGGGAACUCUUGGUCGUUAUGUUGACAAUGAAAGCAUACUCCUCAAAAUUAUUUUCAUCUUUGUUUUUGCUUCGAGCUCUGGCACCUCUGCAAAUCCCUGCUUCCCUCUGCGAAGGGCCUAUCUUUUACUUUUAUGCAAGAGUCAGUAGUAUUCCUUCUCAUUCCAACCUAUUCUUUAGUUGGCAAGCAUCAUGUGAUGGAAAGAUCUGAGCAAAUAUGGCCAUUCAAAUAUAUUUGAUCAUGAAUUAUUAUUGUUGACAAUUAUCUAUAUCAUAAAUAAGUUGGGAGGCGAAACAUUAAGCCCCUAUCUUUCUCUGUGUUCGAUCGAUGCUAUUUGUUCUAAAAAUAUGCUUUGAGUGGUAGCAAUCAUGGAAGACUAUAUGGUAGUUGAGUAUGUGGAGUUUGCUAAAUCAAAGCUCUCACAUAGACUCUUCCUGAAAAUAAGAUGAAUUGCAAUUAUUUGAUGACUGAGAACUGUUUGUUAGUUUUCAAGAAAGUUUAUGAUCUAUACUUUAACAUGUGAAUAGUUUGUUACUUCAUCAUGAAAAGUUUUAUGAGAUGAGCUACUGUUAUGUUAUAUAAUGAUGCUAGAAAAGGUGAUUGAAAUUAUCAUUGAUCAAACUUAUGCACCUGCUAGCAUUCACACUUCAUAAAUUCUUUCUUUUAUCAUUUACCUACUCGAGGACGAGCAGGAAUUAAGCUUGGGGAUGCUGAUACGUCUCCAACGUAUCCAUAAUUUAUGAAGUAUUCAUACUAUUAUAUUAUCCAUCUUGGAUGUUUAAUGGGAUUUACUAUGCACUUGUAUAUUACUUUUGGGACUAACCUAUUGACCCAUAGCGCAGUGCCAGUUUCUGUUUUUUCCUUGUUUCAGUGUUUCGCGGAAAAGGAAUAUCAAACGGAGUCCAAACGGAAUGAAACCUUCGGAAAAGUUAUUUUUGGAAAGAAAGCAAUACAAGAGACUUGGAGUGCACGUCAGGAGAUCAAAGAGGAGAGCACGAGGCAGGGGGCGCGCCCACCCCCCCUGGGCGUGCCCUCCACCCUCGUGGGCCCCUCGUGGCCCCCCUUACCGACUUCUUUCGCCUAUAUAUCUCCAUAUACCCUAAAACCAUCGGGGAGCAGAGAGAUCGGGAGCUUCGCCGCCGCAAGCCUCUGUAGCCACCAAAAACCAAUCGGGACCCUGUUCCGGCACCCUGCCAGAGGGGGGAUCCCUCACCGGUGGCCAUCUUCAUCAUCCCGGCGCUCUCCAUGACGAGGAGGGAGUAGUUCACCCUCGGGGCUGAGGGUAUGUACCAGUAGCUAUGUGUUUGAUCUCUCUUUCUCUCUCUCUCUCUCUCGUGUUCUUGAGGUGAUACGAUCUUGAUGUAUCGCGAGCUUUGCAAUUGUAGUUGGAUAUUAUGAUGUUUCUCCCCCUCUACUCUCUUGUAAUGGAUUGAGUUUUCCCUUUGAAGUUAUCUUAUCGGAUUGAGUCUUUAAUGAUUUGAGAACACCUGAUGUAUGUCUUGCGUGGGAUAACCGUGGUGGCAAUGGGUUAUUCUAUUGAUUCACUUGAUGUAUGUUUUGGUGAUCAACUUGCGGGUUCCGCCCAUGAACCUAUGCAUAGGGGUUGGCACACGUUUUUGUCUUGACUCUCCGGUAGAAACUUUGGGGCACUCUUUGAGGUUCUAUAUGUUGGUUGAAUAGAUGAAUCUGAGAUUGUGUGAUGGAUAUCGUAUAAUCAUACCCACGGAUACUUGAGGUGACAUUGGAGUAUCUAGGUGACAUUAGUGUCUUGGUUGAUGUGUGUCUUAAGGUGUUAUUUUAGUACGAACUCUAGGGCUGUUUGUGACACUUAUAGGAAUAGCACAAUGGAUUGAUUAGAAAGAAUAACUUUGAGGUGGUUUCGUACCCUACCAUAAUCUCUUCGUUUGUUCUCCGCUAUUAGUGACUUUGGAGUGACUCUUUGUUGCAUGUUGAGGGAUAGUUAUAUGAUCCAAUUAUGUUAUUAUUGUUGAGAGAACUUGCACUAGUGAAAGUAUGAACCCUAGGCCUUGUUUCCUAGCAUUGCAAUACCGUUUAUGCUCACUUUUAUCAUUAGUUACCUUCCUGUUUUUAUAUUUUCAGAUUACAAAAACCUAUAUCUACCAUCCAUAUUGCACUUGUAUCACCAUCUCUUCGCCGAACUAGUGCACCUAUACAAUUUACCAUUGUAUUGGGUGUGUUGGGGACACAAGAGACUCUUUGUUAUUUGGUUGCAGGGUUGCUUGAGAGAGACCAUCUUCAUCCUACGCCUCCAACGGAUUGAUAAACCUUAGGUCAUCCACUUGAGGGAAAUUUGCUACUGUCCUACAAACCUCUGCACUUGGAGGCCCAACAACGUCUACAAGAAGAAGGUUGUGUACUAGACAUCAGCACCUAGCGGUGCUUCCAGGACGUAAUUCUUCUGUGCAGCAAUGAGGAUAAUCCUCAAGUUACGGACCCAAUCCGUGUAGUUGCUACCAUCAUCUUUCAACUUAUCUUUCUCCAGGAACGCAUUAAAAUUCAACGGAACAACAGCACGAGCCAUCUAUCUACAACAACAUAGACAUGCAAAAUACUAUCAGGUACUAAGUUCAUGAUAAAUUAAAGUUCAAUUAAUCAUAUUACUAAAGAACUCCCACUUAGAUAGACAUCUCUCUAAUCAUCUAAGUGAUCACGUGAUCCAAAUCAACUAAACCAUGUCCGAUCAUCACGUGAGAUGGAGUAGUUUUCAAUGGUGAACAUCACCAUGUUGAUCAUAUCUACUAUAUGAUUCACGCUCGACCUUUCGGUCUCAGUGUUCCGAGGUCAUAUCUGCAUAUGCUAGGCUCGUCAAGUUUAACCCCAGUAUUCUGCGUGUGUAAAAUUGGCUUGCACCCAUUGUAUGUGAACGUAGAGCUUAUCACACCCGAUCAUCACGUGGUGUCUCGGCACGACGAACUUUCGCAACGGUGCAUACUCAGGGAGAACACUUGUACCUUGAAAUUUAGUGAGAGAUCAUCUUAUAAUGCAAUCGCCGUACUAACCAAAAUAAGAUGCAUAAAAUAUAAACAUCACAUGCAAUCAAUAUAAGUGAUACGAUAUGGCCAUUAUCAUCUUAUGCCUUUGAUCUCCAUCUCCAUAGCACUGUCAUGAUCACCAUCGUCACCGGCGCGACACCUUGAUCUCCAUCAUAGCAUCGUUGUCGUCUCGCCAACUAUUGCUUCUACGACUAUCGCUACCGCUUAGUGAUAAAGUAAAGCAAUUACAUGGCGCUUGCAUUUCAUACAAUAAAGCGACAACCAUAUGGCUCCUGCCAGUUGCCGAUAACUUCGUUACAAAACAUGAUCAUCUCAUACAAUAAAAUUUAGCAUCAUGUCUUGACCAUAUCACAUCAGAACAUGCCCUGCUAAAACAAGUUAGACGUCCUCUACUUUGUUGUUGCAAGUUUUACGUGGCUGCUACGGGCUGAGCAAGAACCAUUCUUACCUACGCAUCAAAACCACAACGAUAUUUUGUCAAGUAUGUGAUGUUUUAACCUUCACAAGGACCGGACGUAGCCACACUCGAUUCAACUAAAGUUGGAGAAACUGACACCCGCCAGCCACCUGUGUGCAAAGCACGUUGGUAGAACCAGUCUCGCGUAAGCGUACGCGUAAUGUCGGUCCGGGCCGCUUCAUCCAACAAUACCGCCGAAUCAAAGUAUGACAUGUUGGUAAGCAGUAUGACUAGUAUCGCCCACAACUCACGUGUGUUCUACUCGUGCAUAUAACAUCUACGCAUAAACCUGGCUCGGAUGCUACUGUUAGGGAACGUAGUAAUUUAAAAAAAAAUCUACGCACACGCAAGAUCAUGGUGAUGCAUAGCAAUGAGAGGGAGAGUGUUGUCCACGUACCCUCGUAGACCGUAAGCGGAAGCGUUAUGACAACGCGGUUGAUGUAGUCGUACGUCUUCACGAUCGACCGGUCCUAGUACCGACUGUACGGCACCUUCGCGAUUUGCACACGUUCAGCUCGGUGACGUCCCACGAACUCACGAUCCAGUAGAGCUUCGUCAGCAUGACGGCGUGAUGAUGGUGAUGAUGAAGCUACCGGCGCAGGGCUUCGCCUAAGCACUACGACGAUAUGACCGAGGUGGAUUAUGGUGGAGGGGCCCACCGCACACGGCUUGGAACAAUCAACUUGUGUGUCCUAGGGUGCCCCCUGCCCCCGUAUAUAAAGGAGUAAGGAGGGAGGCCAGCCUGCCCUUGGUGUGCCCAAGGAGAGGAGGAAUCCUCCUCCUAGUACGAGUAGGAUGCAUCCUUUCCUAGUCCUACUAAGAAGGGGGAAUGGGGAAGGAAGGAGAGGGAGAGGGAGAGGGAAAGAGGGGCCGCGCCCCCUUCCCCUAGUCCUAUUCGGACUCCCCUUGGGGGGGGGGUGCCACCUCCUGGGCUGCUGCCCUCUCUUUCCGCUAAGGCCCAAUACUUCCCCCGGGGGGUUCCGGUAACCCCUCCGGUACUCCGGUUUUUUCCGAAAUCACCCGGAACACUUCCGGUGUCUGAAUAUAGCCAUCCAAUAUAUCGAUCUUUAUGUCUCGACCAUUUUGAGACUCCUCAUCAUGUCCGUGACCAUAUCCGGGACUCUGAACUACCUUCGGUACAUCAAAACACAUAAACUCAUAAUACCGAUCGUCACCGAACGUUAAGCGUGCGGACCCUACGGGUCGAGAACUAUGUAGACAUGACCGAGACUCAUCUCCGGUCAAUAACCAAUAGCGGAACCUGGAUGCUCAUAUUGGCUCUUACAUAUUCUAGGAAGAUCUUGAUACGUCUCCAACGUAUCUAUAAUUUUUGAUUGUUCCAUGCUAUUAUAUUAUCUGGUUUGGAUGUUUAUGGGCUUUAUUAAAAACUUUUAUAUUAUUUUUGGGACUAACCUAUUAAACCAGAGCCCAAUGCCAGUUUCUGUUUUUCUCCUUGUUUCAGUGUUUCGCAGAAAAGGAAUAUCAAACGGAGUCCAAACGGAAUGAAACCUUCCGGAGAGUUAUUUUUGGAACGGAAGCAAUCCAGGGGACUUGGAGUGCACGUAAGGGGAGCAACGAGGAAGGCACGAGGCAGGGGGUGCGCCCACCCCCCUGGCGCGCCCUCCACCCUUGUGGGCCCCUCGUGGCUCCCCUGACCGACUUCUUUUGCCUAUAUAUCUCCAUAUACCCUAAAAGCAUCGGGGAACGGAAUAGAUCGGGAGCUCUGCCGCCGCAAGCCUCUGUAGCCACCAAAAACCAAUCGGGGCCCUGUUCCGGCACCCUGCCUGAGGGGGGAUCCCUCACCGGUGGCCAUCUCCAUCAUCCCGGUGCUCUCCACGACGAGGAGGGAGUAGUUCACCCUCGGGGCUGAGGGUAUGUACCAGUAGCUAUGUGUUUGAUCUCCCUCUCUCUCGUGUUCUUGAGGUGAUACGAUCUUGAUGUAUCGCGAGCUUUGCUAUUAUAGUUGGAUCUUAUGAUGUUUCUCCCCUUCUACUCUCUUGUAAUGGAUUGAGUUUUCCCUUUGAAGUUAUCUUAUCGGAUUGAGUCUUUAAGGAUUUGAGAACACUUGAUGUAUGUCUUGCCGUGCUUACCUGUGGUGACAAUGGGAUAUCACGUGAUUCACUUGCACUACAAAAAAAUACACUUCCGUGAUGAUACGUGUUUGUCACAGUAGGUCGCGUUUUUUGUCAUGCAUGUACAUCCAUGACGAUUUUAUGACAGAAUCAAGAUAGUCAUACCUGUGCUGUCGUAGAAGUGUUCAAUGACAUUACCAAAAUUAUCAUCACGGAAGUGUCCACUUCCAUGAUGAUAAAUCGUGCGUCACAGAAGUGCUUUCGUCAAGGGUGACCGACACGUGGCAUCCACCGUAACGGAACGCCGUUAAGCUAUCGGGUCAGGUUUUGGAUCCGAUAACCCGUUAACAGCCCCGACCAAUGGGAAAUUUCCACGUGUAAAAUUCCUAUUGGCCGGACGAAACACGUGUCAGCUCGUUAGUGGGUCAGAUAGUCGCCUAUGAUAUGUCAACAUGUGCCACGGCCCACCACUGGCCCAUUUAGCUUACAAAGCCGGCCCGUUUGACUUGGUCAAAAGAUAACGGGCUGGCCCAUGAAAAGCCUGUUAACGGUCUCUUCGCAAAUAGCCCAUUUUACGGCCCGUUAACUCACGGCCCGUUAGGCCCUAAAGGAAAUUGGCCCAACAACGUCAUGUGGGCCGUCGAAUAUAACACCAGCCCAUUUCACUUUCGGCCCAUGUAUGGCCCACGACGUCUUUCGGCGCAUAUGAGGCCUUCGUAUCUUUCGGCCCUUUACAGGCCCACGGUGACUCUAGCCCAUAAUGAACAGUAAUUUUCCUUAUACCCGUUAACGGCCCGUGAUUUACAUGGGCCGUUUCCAGCCCGUGUUAGCUUUCGGCCUAUUGACGACCCAUACGUUCUUGGGCUCCUUUUCGGCCCUCGAUUACUUCCGCCCCGUUACUGGCCUGUUCCUCUAAUGGGCCAAAUUCGGCCCAUGGCAAGAGUCGGCCCGUUACUGGCCUGUUCCCCUAAUGGGCCAAAUUCGGCCCAUGGCAAGAGUCGGCCCGUAACUGGCCUGUUACCCUAAUGGGCCAAAUUCGGCCCAUGGCAAGAGUUGGCCCGUUUCUGGCCUGUUAACCUGUUGCGCCGUUUCCAGCCCGUCCUAUAUUCUGGCCCAUUAACGACCCAUUAUGCCUGUGACAGAAUUAAGCCUUUGCUAUCCUACGGCCUGUUACCAUGCUGGGCCGAUACCAAUUACGCCCGAUUACGGCCCAUGUAGACCCAUUUAUCCGACGGCCCGAGGCCCACCGAUUACAGGCCCAUUUAUCGAUGGCCCGUAGGAGACCCAUGGAUCCUACAGCCCGUAUAUGGCCCAUGGUAGUCGCGGCCAGUAGCAAACCAGGGAAAAAGAAGACUAGGAAAUAAAUAAGGCCGAAACUAACGCUAGGCUAUUAAGGCGAUUGCACAGAUUACAUCCACUCGGCAUCAAAGAUCGCCACCAGUGCAAACAUAGGGAACACCCUACACUAUACAAAAAUGGCUUGCUGUUUUCUUCAGCCGGUGGCUGCACGUUAAGAAUAAAUUUUGUAUCGCACCAAAACAAAUUACAACUAUGUAAUAAAAGGAAGGUUGGCAUAAAACUUAACAGUCUAGCAGAUAAAUGCACCACCAGAAGUUCAGAAGCUCAGUUCAUUUGACCUGACUGUUAUGUUUUCAUGCUGUAUUGUCCGAUGGAGCACCAUAACCCUCGCCUUCAUUUCCCCAAGGCUCUUGAACAACAUAGCAAAUGUCUGAUAGUCUGGUUUCAAAACCAUGCAUAUCUUGACGACAUUGAGCAAUGUUUCUCCUUGUUUCACAAAGGGUCACUGUUAGGGAAUGGACUUGUGUCUGGAGCGCAGAUACAACAUUGCUUUGAGCUUGCAUAUCUUGAUCAUGAGGCAGUUUGGACGAUAUUGCCUUAACAACCAACCCAGUAUUACGCAGGAACGUGCUUUUGGCACUGUUAGUGGACAGGUACUGGCCCACUGCAGCAAGAGCUGACAUUGCGGUUAUAGUUGCCUCGCCACCUUCAGAAGGUGGCGGUUCCACCAUUUUUUCCAUAGCUCGCUGAAAAAUUGAGGUUUUACAUUAGUAGUACCAGAACAGAAGAUAUUAAGGAGGUAGCAAAACCAAACAAAAUAGCUUUGGUCUAUAUACAGAACUUAUUCUGGUGAACCCAUGUAAAAUAUUAGUUGUAUUUUAUUGCAAAGUACAUAAUAAAACCAGGUUCCAACCAUAUGACCAUGUACCAUCGCUAAUGUAUUGUCUAUUUCUUCACAUUGUAUUGAGGGCUAAGGAUAAAGAGACGAAGUUUAUAAUAUGGUAACCAUAGUAUGACAUCAUUCAUAUCACAAAACAACUGAGAACAGACAAACAGGCAAUUGUAACGUUGUGUGGGCAAGUCCAGCACGGAACUAGAUUACGGGUCAAGAUCAAAGGAACAUCACUCCUCUCUUUUAAACGUUGUAAGGUGCAAUGAUACGCUAAGACAAUUGUGUAUAAAAUUGAAAAGAGUAAUAGACAUUGGCUGCAAACCAUGCAGUUCAAGGCACAAGUCAGAGUAAGUAGUAGUUAAAAGGCAUGAGGAUUAAGGACUUACAACAGCGGCUUUGACUGGUGUAGUGAUGCCCUUCUUCUUGCUGGUGUGACAGUCCUUGAAGAUUUCCACAUCAUUUGGUUCAGGUACUUUUUGGUCCUCGCGGGCUUUCCUCUGCAUUUCGAACAAGUCAAUAUAGAUCUGAUAAUAUGGUACAGCGAAAAGAGUGAAACAGCAGCUAAUUACAAGAGCCUCGCAGUGUGCAAUAUAGCUACGAGAUCCUGUCGUCUGUUGGAAUUUCACUUUCGUACGGUUGGCCUUGUUCUUUGAACAGUUCACCUACAAGAAGAUAGAUUUGUGUGGCACAUGCGUAAAUAGGACUUCAACAUGUGAUCUGAUCACAUAUAUAUAAUGUACCUGAUACUUCGGAUCAGACCAGUGUUUAACAAGGCCCCUCCAGUCUUCAUCCGAUAUAUUUUCCACUGGAGAUGUUUGGGAAAGUUCACUAUUAGCCUUGCCUUCAAAGUGAGUUUUCCUCAAGUUAUACCGAUACUGUCGUAGAGCAGACUUGAAAACAUGGGUGCAAGCUUGUCUGGUUGCAUCAUCUUGGCUAUCCAACUUGAACCUCAUCUGUUGAAAAUUAUGGGAGUCUCAUUAUCAGCAACCUAGAAAGUAUGGGACAGAGCAAGUCGAUAUUACUAGUUUCCAUACAUAACCAUACUUACAGAUAAAUGGUCGUGGAAGGUGUUGAACUGGGUUUCGUCUUUGUCAUUCCUGUACUGAAUCCAUGUUGGGAGGAUACGUACAUGACACCUAACGGCAACCGCUGCCUCUGAUACUAACUUGGCUGACUCUGUAGCAUCACGUGGCCUUUUUAAACCUGCCUCAAAACGGAUCUCCAUUCUUCCUCUAGAUUUAGUUAACCUAUCGAGCAUUAUCCCUGAUGUUUGUUUCCUCUUGCGCCUAGGUGCUAGUCCAACAACGAACAUAGGAAGUGUUAGUGUACAUCAAACUGUGAGACUACAUAUAAAGAAGCAUGCAACUGUAACUUGACUCCAGCAACUACCUUCUUGCUUUUGAAGCUCACAAGGUUCAUCUGAUAUUGCCAACUCGUCUUGUGUCAAGAGUGCUUGGAAGUAGUGUCAGGUGGCAAGGGAGCUUGGGAACGUGCUGCUAGCUCAGUUGACGCACGAGUAAGUCGUGCAGCUGGUAGUACUGUGGUAGGUGUUGCAAGAACUAGGGUUGUCUCUGCUUGUUUGGUGGCAGCUAUUUGUUUCUGUUUGGCUUUUUUUGCAACUCGUGUAGCAUGGGAUGCCAUGUUAUUAUUAUAUUUCUUUUUUCAUGGUAAUUGUCUAUUAUUCAUGCUAUAAUUGUAUUGUCCGGAAAUCGUAAUACAUGUGUGAAUACAUAGACCACAACCUGUCCCUAGUAAGCCUCUAGUUGACUAGCUCGUUGAUCAACAGAUAGUCAUGGUUUCCUGACUAUGGACAUUGGAUGUCAUUGAUAAUGGGAUCACAUCAUUAGGAGAAUGAUGUGAUGGACAAGACCCAAUCCUAAGCAUAGCAUAAAAGAUCGUGUAGUUUCGUUUGCUAGAGCUUUUCCAAUGUCAAGUAUCUUUUCCUUAGACCAUGAGAUCGUGCAACUCCCGGAUACCGUAGGAGUGCUUUGGGUGUGCCAAACGUCACAACGUAACUGGGUGACUAUAAAGGUGCACUACGGGUAUCUCCGAAAGUGUCUGUUGGGUUGGCACGGAUCGAGACUGGGAUUUGUCACUCCGUGUGACGGAGAGGUAUCUCUGGGCCCACUCGGUAAUGCAUCAUCAUAAUGAGCUCAAUGUGACUAAGGCGUUAGUCACGGGAUCAUGCAUUGCGGUACGAGUAAAGAGACUUGCCGGUAACGAGAUUGAACAAGGUAUUGGGAUACCGACGAUCGAAUCUCGGGCAAGUAACAUACCGAUUGACAAAGGGAAUUGCAUACGGAUUGAUUGAAUCCUCGACACCGUGGUUCAUCCGAUGAGAUCAUCGUGGAACAUGUGGGAGCCAACAUGGGUAUCCAGAUCCCGCUGUUGGUUAUUGACCGAAGAGGCGUCUCGGUCAUGUCUGCAUGUCUCCCGAACCCGUAGGGUCUACACACUUAAGGUCCGGUGACGCUAGGGUUGUAGAGAUAUAUGUAUGCGGAAACCCAAAAGUUGUUCGGAGUCCCGGAUGAGAUCCCGGACGUCACGAGAGGUUCCGGAAUGGUCCGGAGGUGAAGAAUUAUAUAUAGGAAGUCAAGUUUCGGCCACCGGGAAAGUUUCGGGGGUUACCGGUAUUGUACCGGGACCACCGGAAGGGUCCCCGGGGUCCACCGGGUGGGGCCACCUAUCCCAGAGGGCCCCGUGGGCUGAAAGUGGAAGGGAACCAGCCCUUAGUGGGCUGGGGCGCCCCCCUGGGCCUUUCCCCAUGCGCCUAGGGUUGGGAACACUAGGGGGGAGCUUCCCCCUUGCCUUGGGGGGCAAGGCACCCCUUCCCCCCCACUUGGCCGCCGCCCCCCUUGGAGAUCUGAUCUCCCAAGGGCUGGCGCCCCCCCACAGGGGUCCUAUAAAUAGUGGGGGGGAGGGAGGGCAGCAAACUACAGCCUUGGGCGCCUCCCUCCUCCCCUGCAACACCUCUCUCUCUCUCGCAGAAGCUUGGCGAAGCCCUGCCGGAGACCCGCUACAUCCACCACCACGCCGUCGUGCUGCUGGAUCUCCAUCAACCUCUCCUUCCCCCUUGCUGGAUCAAGAAGGAGGAGACGUCGCUGCACCGUACGUGUGUUGAACGCGGAGGUGCCGUCCUUUCGGCACUCGGUCAUCGGUGAUUUGGAUCACGGCGAGUACGACUCCGUCAUCCACGUUCAUUGGAACGCUUCCGCUCGCGAUCUACAAGGGUAUGUAGAUGCACUCCUUUCCCCUCGUUGCUAGUAGACUCCAUAGAUGCAUCUUGGUGAGCGUAGGAAAAUUUUAAAUUAUGCUACGAUUCCCAACAGUGGCAUCAUGAGCCAGGUCUAUGUGUAGUUACUAUGCACGAGUAGAACACAAAGCAGUUGUGGGCGUUGAGUUUGCCAAUUCUUCUUGCCGCUACUAGUCUUUUCUUGUUUCGGCGGCAUUGUAGGAUGAAGCGGCCCGGACCGACCUUACACGUACUCUUACGUGAGACAGGUUCCACCGACUAACAUGCACUAGAUGCAUAAGGUGGCUAGCGGGUGUCUGUCUCCCCUACUUUAGUCGGAACGGAUUCGAUGAAAAGGGUCCUUAUGAAGGGUAAAUAGAAAUUGGCAAAUCACGUUGUGGUCAUACGUAGGUAAGAAAACGUUCUUGCUAGAAACCUACAAACCACGUAAAAACUUGCAACAACAAUUAGAGGACGUCUAACUUGUUUUUGCAGCAAGUGCUAUGUGAUGUGAUAUGGCCAGAAGAUGUGAUGAAUGAUAUAUGUGAUGUAUGAAGAUUGAUCAUAUUCUUGUAAUAGGAAUCACGACUUGCAUGUCGAUGAGUAUGACAACCGGCAGGAGCCAUAGGAGUUGUCUUUAUUAUUUUGCAUGACCUGCGUGUCAUUGAAUAACGCCAUGUAAAUUACUUUACUUUGUUGCUAAACGCGUUAGCCAUAGAAGUAGAAGUAAUCGUUGGCGUGACGACUUCAUGAAGACACAAUGAUGGAGAUCAUGAUGAUGGAGAUCAUGGUGUCAUGCCGGUGACAAAGAUGAUCAUGGUGCCCCGAAGAUGGAGAUCAAAGGAGCAUGAUGAUAUUGGCCAUAUCAUGUCACUAUUUGAUUGCAUGUGAUGUUUAUCAUGUUUUUGCAUCUUAUUUGCUUAGAACGACGGUAGCAAGUAGGAUGAUCCCUUAUAAUAAUUUCAAGAAAGUCUUCACCCUAACUGUGCACCGUUGUGAAGGUUCGUUGUUUCGAAGCACCACGUGAUGAUCGGGUGUGAUAGAUUCUAACGUUCGAAUACAACGGGUGUUGACGAGCCUAGCAUGUACAGACAUGGCCUCGGAACACACGCAAUACACUUAGGUUGACUUGACGAGCCUAGCAUGUACAGACAUGGCCUCGGAACACGGAGGACCGAAAGGUCGAGCAUGAGUCGUAUAGAAGAUACGAUCAACAUGGAGAUGUUCACCGAUCUUGACUAGUCCGUCUCACGUGAUGAUUGGACACGGCCUAGUUAAACUCGGAUCAUGUUUCACUUAGAUGACUAGAGGGAUGUCUAUCUGAGUGGGAGUUGAUAAUCAGAUGAACUUCAUUAUCAUGAACAUAGUCAAAUAGGUAUUUGCAAAUUAUGUCAUAGCUUGCGCUUUAGUUCUACUGGUUAAGAUAUGUUCCUAGAGAAAAUUUAGUUGAAAGUUGGUAGUAGCAAUUAUGCGGACUGGGUCCGUAAACUGAGGAUUGUCCUCAUUGCUGCAUACAAGGCUUAUGUCCUUAAUGCACCGCUCGGUGUGCUAAACCUCAGCGUCGUCUGUAGAUGUUACGAAACAUCUGACAUACACGUUUUGAUGACUACGUGAUAGUUCAGUGCGGUUUAGAAUUGUGGCACCAAAGACAUUUUUGAAACGUCGCAGAACAUGUGAGAUGUUCCGAAGACUGAAAUUGGGAUUUCAGACAAGUUCCCACGUCAAGAGGUAUGAGACCUCUGACAAGUUUCUUAAGCCUGCAAACUAAGGGAGAAAAGCUCAAUCGUUGAGCGUGUGCUCAGAUUGUCUGAGUGCCACAAUCGCUUGAAUCGAGUGGGAGUUAAUCUCCCAGAUGAGAUAGUGAUAGUUCUCCAUAGUCACUGCCACCAAGCUAGUAGAGCUUCGUGAUGAACUAUAACAUAUCAAGGAUAAUUAUGAUGAUCCUUGAGCUAUUCACGAUGUUUGACACCGCGAGAGUAGAAAUCAAGAAGGAGCAUCAAUUCUUGAUGGUUAGUAAAACCACUAGUUUAAGAAGGGCAAGGGCAAAAGGGAUACUUCGUGAAACAGCAAGUCGUUUGCUGCUCUAGUGAAGAAUCCCAAGGUUGAACCCAAACCCGAGACUAAGUGCUUCUGUAAUGAGGGAACGGUCACUGAAGCAGUACUACCCUAGAUACUUGGUAGAUGAGAAGGCAGGCAAGGUCGACAGAACUAUAUUGGAUAUACGUUAUAUGAAUGUGUACUAGUACUCCUAGCAGCACCAGGGUAUUAGAUACUGGUUCGGUUGCAAAGUGUUAGUAACUCGAAAUAAAAGCUGCGGAAUAAAUGGAGACUAGCUAAAGGUGAGAUGACGAUAUGUGUUGGAAGUGUUUCCAAGGUUGAUGUGAUCAAGCAUCGCAUGCUCCCUAUACCAUCGAGAUUUGGUGUUUGCGUUGAACAUGAUUGGAUUAUGUUUACCGCAAAAUGGUUAUUCAUUUAAGGAGAAUAAUGGUUACUCUGUUUAUUUGAAUAAUACCUUCAAUGGUCUUGCACCUAAAAUGAAUCUUGAUCGUAGUGAUACACAUGUUCAUGCCAAAAAGAUAUAAGAUAGUAAUGAUAGUACCACAUACUUGUGGCACUGCCACUUGAGUCAUAUUGGUGUAGAACGCAUGAAGAAGCUCCAUGUAGGUGGAUCUUUGGACUCACUCAUUUUUGAAAAGAUUGAGACAUGCGAACCAUGUCUAUUGGUAUAUAUGCAUGAAGAAACUCCAUACAGAUGGAUCAUUUGGACUCACUUGAUUAUGAAUCACUUGAGACAUGCAAAUCAUACCACAUGGGCAAAAUGACUGAAAGUCCUCGUUUUCAGUGAGAUGGAACAAGAGAGCAACUUAUUGGCAGUAAUACAUUUUGAUGUACGCAGUCCAAUGAGUGCUGAGGCAUGCAGUGGAUAUCGUUAUGUUCUUACUUCAUAGAUGAUUUGAGUAGAUGCUGAGUGUAUUUACUUGAUGAAACACUAGUCUGAAUUAUUGAAAGGUUCAAGUAAUUUCAGAGUGAAGUUGAAGAUCGUCGUGACAAGAGGAUAAAAUUUCUGUGAUAUGAUCAUAGAGAUGAGUAUCUGAGAUACGAGUUUGGCACACAAUUGAGACAUUGUGGAAGAUGUUUCACAAUUAAUACCGCCUGGAACACCAUAGUGUGAUGGUGUGUCCGAACAUCAUAACUGCACCCUAUUGGAUAUGGUGCAUAUCAUGAUGUUUCUUAUCAAAUUACCACUAUCGUUUAUGGGUUAGGCAUUAGAGACAACCGCAUUCACUUUAAAAGGGGCACCACGCAAUUCCGUUGAGACGACACCGUUUAUAGAAACCUAAGUUGUCGUUUCUUAAAAGUUUGGGGCUGCGAUGCUUAUGUGAAAAAGUUUCAGGCUGAUAAGCUCGAACCCAAAGCGGAUAAAUGCAUCUUCAUAGAAUACCCAAAACAGUUGGGUAUACCUCCUAUUUCAGAUCUAGAAGCAAAAGCAAUUGCUUCUAGAAACGAGUCCUUUCUCGAGGAAAAGUUUCUCUCGAAAGAAUUGAGUCGGAGGAUGGUGGUGACUUGAUAAGGUUAUUGAACCGACGCUUCAACUAGUAUGUAGCAGGGCACAGGAAGUUGUUCCUGUGGCACCUACACCUAUUGAAGUGGAAGCUUAUGAUAGUGAUCAUGAAACUUCGAAUCAAGUCACUACCAAACCUCGUAGGACGACGAGGAUGCGCACUACUUCAGAGUAAUGCGUGAUCCUGUCUUGGAAGUCAUGUUGCUAUUCAACAAUGAACCUACGAGCUGUGGAGAAGCGAUGGUGGGCCAAUAUUCCGACGAAUGGCUCGAGGCCAUGAAAUCCGAGAUAGAAUCCAUGUAUCAGAACAAAGCAUGGACUUUGGUGAACUUGCCCGAUGAUUGGCAAGCCAUUGAGAUAAAUGGAUCUUUAAGAAGAAGACGGACAUGGACGGUAAUGUUACCAUCUAUGAAGCUCGACUUGUGGCAAAGAGUAUUUUCACAAGUUCAAGGAGUUGACUACGAUGAGUUUUUCUCAUCUGUAGCGAUGCUUAGGUCCGUCGGAAUCAUGUUAGCAUUAGCUACAUUUAUGAAAUCUGGCAGAUGGAUGUCAAAACAAGUUUCCUUACCAGUUUUCGUAAGGAAAGGUUGUAUGUGAUACAAUCAGAAAGGUUUUGUCGAUCCUGAGGAUGCUAAAAGGUAUGCUAGCUCCAGCGAUCCUUCCAUGGAUUAGAGCAAGCAUCUCGGAGUCAGAAUAUACGCUUUGAUGGAGUGAUCAAAGUUUUUGGGUUUAUACAAAGUUUGUUAGAAACUUGUAUUUACAACAAAGUGAGUGGGAGCGCUACAACAUUUCUGAUAAGUAUAUGUGAAUGACAUAUUGUUGAUCCGAAAUGAUGUAAAAUUUCUGGAAAGCAUAAAGGGUUGUUUGAAAGGAGUUUUUCAAAGGAAGACGUGGAUAAAGCUGCUUACAUAUUGGGCAUCAAGAUCCAUAGAGAUAGAUCAAGACGCCUGAUGAUACUUUCAAAAGACAGCACACCUUGACAUGAUUUUGAAAGAGUUCAAAAUAGAUCAGCAAAGAAGGAGUUCUUGGCUGUGUUACAAGGUGUGAGUAUUGAGUGAGACUCAAGACCUGACCACAGCAGAAGAUAGAGAAAGGACGAAGGUCGUCCCCUAUGCUUUAGACGUAGGCUCUAUAGUAUGCUAUGCUGUGUACCGCACAUGUAGUUUGCCUUGCCAUGAGUUGGUCAAGAGGGUACAAUGGUGAUCCGGGAAAGGAUCUCAUGACAGCGGUCGAACUUAUCCUUAGUACCUAGUGGAUUAAGGAAUUUUCUCGAUUAUGGAGGUGGAAAGGAGUUCGUCGUAAAGGGUUACGUCGAUGCGAACUUUGACACUAAUCCGGAUGACUCUGAGUAGUAAACCGGAUUCGUAUAGUAGAGCAAUUAUUUGAAAUGGCUCCAAAUAGCGCGUGGUAGCAUCCACAAGAUGACAUAGAUAUUCGUAAAGCACACGGUUCUGAAAGGUUCAGACCCGUUGACUAAUAACCUCUCUCACAAGCAUAACAUGACCAAACCAGAACACAUUGAGUGAUAAUCACAUAGUGAUGUGAACUAGAUUGUUGACUCUAGUAAACUCUUUAGAUGUUGGUCACAUGGUGAUGUGACCAGUGAGUGUUAAUCACAUGGUGAUGUGAACUAGAUUAUUGACUCUAGUGCAAGUGGGAGACUGUUGGAAAUAUGCCCUAGAGGCAAUAAUAAAUGGUUAUUAUUAUAUUUCUUUGUUCAUGUAAUAUUUCUAUUAUUCAUGCUAUAAUUGUAUUGUCCAGAAAUCGUAAUACAUGUGUGAAUACAUAGACCACAACCUGUCCCUAGUAAGCCUCUAGUUGACUAGCUCGUUGAUCAACAGAUAGUCAUGGUUUCCUGACUAUGGACAUUGGAUGUCAUUGAUAACGGGAUCACAUCAUUAGGAGAAUGAUGUGAUGGACAAGACCCAAUCCUAAGCAUAGCAUAAAAGAUCGUGUAGUUUCGUUUGCUAGAGCUUUUCCAAUGUCAAGUAUCUUUUCCUUAGACCAUGAGAUCGUGCAACUCCCGGAUACCGUAGGAGUGCUUUGGGUGUGCCAAACGUCACAACGUAACUGGGUGACUAUAAAGGUGCACUACGGGUAUCUCCGAAAGUGUCUGUUGGGUUGGCACGGAUCGAGACUGGGAUUUGUCACUCCGUGUGACGGAGAGGUAUCUCUGGGCCCACUCGGUAAUGCAUCAUCAUAAUGAGCUCAAUAUGACUAAGGCGUUAGUCACGGGAUCAUGCAUUGCGGUACGAGUAAAGAGACUUGCCGGUAACGAGAUUGAACAAGGUAUUGGGAUACCGACGAUCGAAUCUCGGGCAAGUAACAUACCGAUUGACAAAGGGAAUUGCAUACGGAUUGAUUGAAUCCUCGACACCGUGGUUCAUCCGAUGAGAUCAUCGUGGAACAUGUGGGAGCCAACAUGGGUAUCCAGAUCCCGCUGUUGGUUAUUGACCGGAGAGGCGUCUCGGUCAUGUCUGCAUGUCUCCCGAACCCGUAGGGUCUACACACUUAAGGUCCGGUGACGCUAGGGUUGUAGAGAUAUAUGUAUGCGGAAACCCGAAAGUUGUUCGGAGUCCCGGAUGAGAUCCCGGACAUCACGAGAGGUUCCGGAAUGGUCCGGAGGUGAAGAAUUAUAUAUAGGAAGUCAAGUUUCGGCCACCGGGAAAGUUUCGGGGGUUACCGGUAUUGUACCGGGACCACCGGAAGGGUCCCCGGGGUCCACCGGGUGGGGCCACCUAUCCCGGAGGGCCCCGUGGGCUGAAAGUGGAAGGGAACCAGCCCUUAGUGGGCUGGGGCGCCCCCCUUGGGCCUUUCCCCAUGCGCCUAGGGUUGGGAACACUAGGGGGAGCUUCCCCCUUGCCUUGGGGGGCAAGGCACCCCUUCCCCCCCCACUUGGCCGCCGCCCCCCUUGGAGAUCUGAUCUCCCAAGGGCUGGCGCCCCCCCCCCAGGGGUCCUAUAAAUAGUGGGGGGGAGGGAGGGCAGCAAACUACAGCCUUGGGCGCCUCCCUCCUCCCCUGCAACACCUCUCUCUCUCUCGCAGAAGCUUGGCGAAGCCCUGCCGGAGACCCGCUACAUCCACCACCACGCCGUCGUGCUGCUGGAUCUCCAUCAACCUCUCCUUCCCCCUUGCUGGAUCAAGAAGGAGGAGACGUCGCUGCACCGUACGUGUGUUGAACACGGAGGUGCCGUCCGUUCGGCACUCGGUCAUCGGUGAUUUGGAUCACGGCGAGUACGACUCCGUCAUCCACGUUCAUUGGAACGCUUCCGCUCGCGAUCUACAAGGGUAUGUAGAUGCACUCCUUUCCCCUCGUUGCUAGUAGACUCCAUAGAUGCAUCUUGGUGAGCGUAGGAAAAUUUUAAAUUAUGCUACGAUUCCCAACACGGAGAAGGGUAUCAACUGGGUUGUGCGGGACCCAUGGCCCGUCUAGCCCAGGCUUUUAUUUCAUAUGUUUAGCACAUGACCAGCCCAGUUUGUUUUUUUCCUUUCUGAAAAUGGCUAGCCAGCUAUUUUGUUUUUUGCAGAAUAAACAACGUAGGCCUACUUGCUUUUCUACGCCCUGCUGGGCCGGAAAUCUUUCAAGACGAGGAGGGAUGCAUUUUGCCCAGAAAAUGGGCUAUAAGUAAUAAGAAAUGGGCUAUAAGUAAUAAUAAAUGGGCUGUAAAAUGAAAAAAUACAGCAAACAGGCAAUUAGUUCCAAAAUAUUGUUUUCUUUCGGAUUUUGAUAUUUUAAAUUUCAUUGUUUUUGUGCGGGUAAAAUUUCUUUUAAUUUAAGUUAAGGUAUAUUUAGAUUUAAAAUUAAUUUGAAUCUGGCUAGAAACUUCGGGCUGUAUGCUGUUUGGGACAGAUUUGGAGGCUGACUUGUCGGUCUACUAGGUUGACGUGUACUUUGGCUUUGUCAACUUAGUCCACAAACGAUUCUAGCAGCAGUGACCGUUGGAUGUUAAUCCAACGGCCGUGCUGCUUCUUCAAUAUCUGAUCUUCUUGCUCCAGCCGCCCAAACCAGCUCCGGUGGGACUGCCUGCUCCCGUCUCCCGUGGCCAGCUGUGCUGCCGCACAGGUCGCACCGCCCCACCCUACUUCAUUGCUGGCCAGGCCAUUCCUCUACUCACCCACACCUCCUGUUAUUUUCCGGCGAUGGCAGCCAGACCAGUAAACCCUCGUACUCCCCACCGCGUGGGCAACCAUUGCUGAGUCUUCCCCGGCUCCGUGUCGUUCCCUUCCUAGGCCUCGCCGUCGUCCACCGCCAUGGUGCUCUCGGCGCGGCCUGGUCAACAUGGUCAACGAACGACAUCCAUCGGUCGUGGACUGUACGCGCAAAAUAAUGAUUCCUCCACCUGACAGCUGGGACCCACCGGAAGGGCCUCUGUAUUUCGUGAAAUAAACAUUCCCCCCCCCGCUGACAUGUCGGACCCACCAGCGAUAUCUUCGCACGCAAGGAAGUGCCUCCUUAUUACACACACAAAAAUGAAUACCCCCCUGCUAGCUGGGACCCACCAUAGUGGGAGGAUGACUUUUGGGCCAACUAAGUUGACGGGGACGGAGGACUAUGUCAACUUAGUCAAUAUGAACGAUUCUAGCUCCAGUGACCGUACGAUGUCCAUCCAACGGCCAUAGUGCUUCUUCAACCUCUGGUCUUCUUGCUCCAGCCGCCCAAAGCAGCGCCGGUCGUGCCGCAUGCUCCUGCCUCCCGUGGCCAACUGUGCUGCCACGGAGGCCUCAUCGCCCCCUACUAUUCCCACCGCUAGCCAGGCCCUGCGGCGACGGCAGCCUCACACCGCAGCCGAACCAGUGAACCCUCGUACUCCUCUCCGCGCGGGCUUCCACUGUCGCGUCUUCCCCAGCUCCGCGUCGUCCCCUUCCUAGGCCUCGCCGUCGUCCACCGCCGUGGUGCUCUCGGCGCGGCCUGGUCAACGUGGUCAAGGAACGACUUCCAUCGGACGUGGACUGUACGUGGAGAGGCUGACAGCUGGGUCCACGGCCGCAUCAAGGAAGUGCCUCCUUAUUACGCGAAAAAUAAUGAUUCCUCCACCUGAUAGCUGGGACCCACCGGACGGGCCACUGUAUUUCACGGAAAAAAACGUUUCCCCCUGACUGCUGGGACCCACCAGCUUCAUCUUCGCACGCAAGGAAGUGCGUCCGGGCAAAAGGAACGAUUCGCCCCCUGACUGCGGGGACCCACCAGCUACACCUUCGCACGCAAGGAAGUGCGUCCGAGCAAAAAAACGAUUCGCCCCCCUGACUGCUGGGACCCACCGGCUACAUCUUCGCACACAAGGAAGUGCGUCCGAGCAAAAAAAACGAUUCGCCCCCCUGACUGCUGGGACCCACCAUCUACAUCUUCGCAGGCAAGGAAGUGCCUGACAAUCGGGACCCACCUGGUCGAAGCGUACGUAGCGUUGUCAUUCUGGUCGCGAACGUGUAUGUACAUACUGGUCGAUGUAGAGACGCGGACGUGUCGUAGUAGAGGCGCUCACGUGUCGUAAUAGAGGCGCGCACGUAGCAUGUACACGUACGUACAGCGGCCAGGGUGCAAGAAAGAAAAUACGGCCACAUAUGUGUACAUACGGGCGGGGUCUCGAACGCCUACUCGCGCAUACGUACGGCCAGGGCUCGUGUACAUGGCUGGGUCGGAAAGGAGAAACAGCGUCGUCGUCGUGUUCAUGGUGAGGCAACGGAAUGCGUCGUGUUUAUGGGGAGGCAACGGAAUGCGUCGUGUUCAUGGGGAGGCAACGGAAUGCGUCGUGUUCAUCGGGAGGCAACGGAACGCGUGGGAGCCAACCGGCUGGGUCGGAACGGAAUGCGUGGUAAUGUUCAUCGGGAGGGCUUGGACGGAACAGGCGAUGGAAACGAGGCCUGGCGUACCACAAAACGGAGGAAACGGACCUCCUAUGUUCGGAACGGGGUCCUGUUGAUCGGGAGGGGUGUGGCGUAUCGCAAAACGGAGGAAACUGACCUCCUACGGUCGAAACGGGGGUCCUGUUGAUCGAGAGGGGUGUGACGUACCGCAAAACGGACGAAACGGACCUCCUACGGUCGAAACGGGAGUCAUGUUGAUCGGGAGGGGUGUGGCGUACCGCAAAACGGACCUCCUACGGUCGAAACGGGGGUCCUGUUGAUCGGNNNNNNNNNNNNNNNNNNNNNNNNNNNNNNNNNNNNNNNNNNNNNNNNNNNNNNNNNNNNNNNNNNNNNNNNNNNNNNNNNNNNNNNNNNNNNNNNNNNNNNNNNNNNNNNNNNNNNNNNNNNNNNNNNNNNNNNNNNNNNNNNNNNNNNNNNNNNNNNNNNNNNNNNNNNNNNNNNNNNNNNNNNNNNNNNNNNNNNNNNNNNNNNNNNNNNNNNNNNNNNNNNNNNNNNNNNNNNNNNNNNNNNNNNNNNNNNNNNNNNNNNNNNNNNNNNNNNNNNNNNNNNNNNNNNNNNNNNNNNNNNNNNNNNNNNNNNNNNNNNNNNNNNNNNNNNNNNNNNNNNNNNNNNNNNNNNNNNNNNNNNNNNNNNNNNNNNNNNNNNNNNNNNNNNNNNNNNNNNNNNNNNNNNNNNNNNNNNNNNNNNNNNNNNNNNNNNNNNNNNNNNNNNNNNNNNNNNNNNNNNNNNNNNNNNNNNNNNNNNNNNNNNNNNNNNNNNNNNNNNNNNNNNNNNNNNNNNNNNNNNNNNNNNNNNNNNNNNNNNNNNNNNNNNNNNNNNNNNNNNNNNNNNNNNNNNNNNNNNNNNNNNNNNNNNNNNNNNNNNNNNNNNNNNNNNNNNNNNNNNNNNNNNNNNNNNNNNNNNNNNNNNNNNNNNNNNNNNNNNNNNNNNNNNNNNNNNNNNNNNNNNNNNNNNNNNNNNNNNNNNNNNNNNNNNNNNNNNNNNNNNNNNNNNNNNNNNNNNNNNNNNNNNNNNNNNNNNNNNNNNNNNNNNNNNNNNNNNNNNNNNNNNNNNNNNNNNNNNNNNNNNNNNNNNNNNNNNNNNNNNNNNNNNNNNNNNNNNNNNNNNNNNNNNNNNNNNNNNNNNNNNNNNNNNNNNNNNNNNNNNNNNNNNNNNNNNNNNNNNNNNNNNNNNNNNNNNNNNNNNNNNNNNNNNNNNNNNNNNNNNNNNNNNNNNNNNNNNNNNNNNNNNNNNNNNNNNNNNUGGGUUGGCACGAAUCGAGACUGGGAUUUGUCACUCCGUGUAAACGGAGAGGUAUCUCUGGGCCCACUCGGUAGGACAUCAUCAUUAUGUGCACAAUGUGACCAAGGAGUUGAUCACGGGAUGAUGUGAGUUACGGAACGAGUAAAGAGACUUGCCGGUAACGAGAUUGAACAAGGUAUAGGGAUACCGACGAUCGAAUCUCGGGCAAGUAACAUACCGAUGGACAAAGGGAAUUGAAUACGGGAUUGAUUGAAUCCCCGACGUCGUGGUUCAUCCGAUGAGAUCAUCGUGGAACAUGCGGGAGCCAACAUGGGUAUCCAGAUCCCGCUGUUGGUUAUUGACCGGAGAACGUCUCGGUCAUGUCUGCAUGGUUCCCGAACCCGUAGGGUCUACACGCUUAAGGUUCGAUGACGCUAGGGUUAUAGGGAAAACAUGUACGUGGUUACCGAAUGUUGUUCGGAGUCCCGGAUGAGAUCCCGGACGUCACGAGGAGUUCCGGAAUGGUCCGGAGGUAAAGAUUUAUAUAUGGGAAGUCCUGUUUUGGUCACCGGAAAAGUUUCGGGUGAAAUCGGUAAUGUACCGGGACCACCGGGAGGGUCCCGGGGGUCCACCAAGUGGGGCCACCAGCCCCAGAAGGCUGCGUGGGCGAAGUGUGGGAGGGGACCAGCCCCAGGUGGGCUGGUGCGCCCCCCCACCAAGGCCCAAGGCGCAUGGGAGAGUGGGAGGGGGCAAACCCUAGGUCCAGAUGGGCCUUAGGGCCCAUCUAGUGGGGCGCCUCCCCCUCUCCUCCCCUUGGCCGCCCCCCUUGAUGGGAUCUAGGGCUGGCCGCCUCCUCUUGGGGGUGGAAACCCUAAGGGGGGGCGCAGCCCCCUUCCCCCCUAUAUAUACUUGAGGUUUGGGCUGCCAUACACACACGAGAAAGUCUCCUUUUGGUGCAGCCCUACCCCUCUCCCUCCUCCUCCUCUCCCGCGGUGCUUGGCGAAGCCCUGCGGGAUUGCCACGCUCCUCCAUCACCACCAUGCCGUCGUGUUGCUGCUGGAUGGAGUCUUCCCCAACCUCUCCCUCUCUCCUUGCUGGAUCAAGGCGUGGGAGACGUCACNNNNNNNNNNNNNNNNNNNNNNNNNNNNNNNNNNNNNNNNNNNNNNNNNNNNNNNNNNNNNNNNNNNNNNNNNNNNNNNNNNNNNNNNNNNNNNNNNNNNNNNNNNNNNNNAUCACGACUUGCAUGUCGAUGAGUAUGACAACCGGCAGGAGCCAUAGGAGUUGUCUUUAUUUUUUGUAUGACCUGCGUGUCAUUGAAUAACGCCAUGUAAAUUACUUUACUUUAUUGCUAAGCGCGUUAGCCAUAGAAGUAGAAGUAAUCGUUGGCGUGACGACUUCAUGAAGACACAAUGAUGGAGAUCAUGAUGAUGGAGAUCAUGGUGUCAUGCCGGUGACAAAGAUGAUCAUGGUGCCCCGAAGAUGGAGAUCAAAGGAGCAUGAUGAUAUUGGCCAUAUCAUGUCACUAUUUGAUUGCAUAUGAUGUUUAUCAUGUUUUGCAUCUUAUUUGCUUAGAACGACGGUAGCAAGUAGGAUGAUCCCUUAUAAUAAUUUCAAGAAAGUGUUCACCCUAACUGUGCACCGUUGCGAAGGUUCGUCGUUUCGAAGCACCACGUGAUGAUCGGGUGUGAUAGAUUCUUACGUUCAAAUACAACGGGUGUUGACGAGCCUAGCAUGUACAGACAUGGCCUCGGAACACACGCAAUACACUUAGGUUGACUUGAUGAGCCUAGCAUGUACAGACAUGGCCUCGGAACACGGAGGACCGAAAGGUCGAGCAUGAGUCGUAUAGAAGAUACGAUCAACACGGAGAUGUUCACCGAUCUUGACUAGUCCGUCUCACGUGAUGAUCGGACACGGCCUAGUUAAACUCGGAUCAUGUUUCACUUAGAUGACUAGAGGGAUGUCUAUCUGAGUGGGAGUUCAUUAAUCAGACGAACUUCAUUAUCAUGAACAUAGUCAAAAGGUCUUUGCGAAUUAUGUCUUGCGCUUUAAGUUCUAUUGGUUUAGAUAUGUUCCUAGAGAAAAUUUAGUUGAAAGUUGGUAGUAGCAAUUAUGCGGACUGGGUCCGUAAACUGAGGAUUGUCCUCAUUGCUGCACAGAAGGCUUAUGUCCUUAAUGCACCGCUCGGUGUGCUGAACCUCAGCGUCGUUUGUAGAUGUUACGAAACAUCUGACAUACACGUCUUGAUGACUACGUGAUAGUUCAAUGCGUAAUGCUAACGGUUUAGAAUUGUGGCACAAGAGGCGUUUUUUGAAACAUCGCAGAACAUAUGAGAUGUUCCGAAGACUGAAAUUGGGAUUUCAGACUAGUGCCCAUGUCAAAAGGUAUGAGACCUCUGACAAGUUUCUUAAGCCUGCAAACUAAGGGAGAAAAGCUCAAUCGUUGAGCGUGUGCUCAGAUUGUCUGAGUGCCACAAUCACUUGAAUCGAGUGGGAGUUAAUCUCCCAGAUGAGAUAGUGAUAGUUCUCCAUAGUCACUGCCACUAAGCUAGUAGAGCUUCGUAAUGAACUAUAACAUAUCAAGGAUAGUUAUGAUGAUCCUUGAGCUAUUCGCGAUGUCUGACACCGCGAGAGUAGAAAUCAAGAAGGAGCAUCAAUUGUUGAUGGUUAGUAAUACCACUAGUUUAAGAAGGGCAAGGGCAAAAGGGAUACUUCAUGAAACAACAAGUCGUUUGCUGCUCUAGUGAAGAAUCCCAAGGAUGAACCCAAACCCGAGACUAAGUGCUUCUGUAAUGAGAGGAACGGUCACUGCAGCAGUACUACCCUAGAUACUUGGUAGAUGAGAAGGCAGGCAAGGUCGACAGAAGUAUAUUGGAUAUACAUUGUAUGAAUGUGUACUUUACCAGUACUCCUAGCAGCACCAGGGUAUUAGAUACCGGUUCGGUUGCUAAGUGUUAGUAACUCGAAAUAAAAGCUGCGGAAUAAAUGGAGACUAGCUAAAGGUGAGAUGACGAUAUGUAUUGGAAGUGUUUCCAAGGUUGAUGUGAUCAAGCAUCGCAUGCUCCCUCUACUAUCAAGAUUUGGUGUUUGCGUUGAGCAUGAUUGGAUUAUGUUUAUCGCAAUACGGUUAUUCAUUUAAGGAGAAUAAUGGUUACUCUGUUUAUUUGAAUAAUACCUUCAAUGGUCUUGCACCUAAAAUGAAUCUCGAUCGUAGUGAUACACAUGUUCGUGCCAAAAGAUAUAAAAUAGUAAUGAUAGUUCCACAUACUUGUGGCACUGCCAUUUGAGUCAUAUUGGUAUAGAACGCAUGAAGAAGCUCCAUGUGGAUGGAUCUUUGGACUCACUCAUUUUUGAAAAGAUUGAGACAUGCGAACCAUGUCUAUUGGUAUAUAUGCAUGAAGAAACUCCAUACAGAUGGAUCGUUUAGACUCACUUGAUUAUGAAUCACUUGAGACAUGCAAAUCAUACCACAUGGGCAAGAUGACUGAAAGUCCUCGUUUUCAAUAAGAUGGAACAAAAGAGCAACUUAUUGGAAGUAAUACAUUUUGAUGUAUGCAGUCCAAUGAGUUCUGAGGCAUGCAGUGGAUAUCAUUAUGUUCUUACUUCACAGAUAAUUUGAGUAGAUGCUGAGAAUAUUUACUUAAUGAAACACAAGUCUGAAUUAUUGAAAGGUUCAAGUAAUUUCAGAGUGAAGUCGAAGAUUGUCGUGACAAGAGGAUAAAAUGUCUAUGAUAUGAUCAUAGAGAUAUCUGAGUUACGAGUUUGGCACACAAUUAAGACAUUGUGGAAAGUGUUUCACAAUUAAUACCGCCUGGAACACCAUAGUGUGAUGGUGUGUCCGAACAUCAUAACUGCACCCUAUUGGAUAUGGUGCAUACCAUGAUGUUUCUUAUCAAAUUACCACUAUCGUUUAUGGGUUAGGCAUUAGAGACAACCGCAUUCACUUUAAAAGGGGCACCACGCAAUUCCGUUGAGACGACACCGUUUAGAGAAACCUAAGUUGUCGUUUCUUAAAAGUUUGGGGCUGCGCAGCUUAUGUGAAAAAGUUUCAAGCUGAUAAGCUCAAACCCAAAGCGGAUAAAUGCAUCUUCAUAGAAUACCCAAAACAGUUGGGUAUACCUCCUAUUUCAGAUCUGGAAGCAAAAGUAACUGCUUCUAGAAAUGAGUCCUUUCUUGAGGAAAAGUUUCUCUCGAAAGAAUUGAGUGGGAGGAUGGUGGAGACUUGAUAAGGUUAUAGAACCGUCACUUCAACUAGUGUGUAGCAGGGCACAGGAAGUUGUUCCUGUGGCACCUACACCAAUUGAAGUGGAAGCUUAUGAUGGUGAUCAUGAAACUUCGGAUCAAGUCACUACCAAACCUCGUAGGACGACGAGGAUGCGUGCUACUUCAGAGUGGUACGUGAUCCUGUCUGAGAUAUCAUGUUGUUGGACAAAACUGAACCUACGAGCUAUGGAGAAGCGAUGGUGGGCCCAUAUUCCGACAAAUGGUUAAGAGCCAUGAAAUCCGAGAUAAAUGGAUCUUUGAGAAGAAGACGGACGUGGACGGUAAUGUUACCGUCUAUGAAGCUCGACUUGUGGCAAAGAGUAUUUCCACAAGUUCAAGGAGUUGACUACGAUGAGAUUUUCUCAUCCGUAGCAGUGCUUAAGUCUGUCGGAAUCAUGUUAGCAUUAUCUGCAUUUGUGAAAUCUAGCAGAUGGAUGUCAAAACAAGUUUCCUUACCAGUUUUCGUAAGGAAAGGUUGUAUGUGAUACAAUCAGAAAGUUUUUGUCGAUCCUAAGGAUGCUAAAAGGUAUGCUAGCUCCAGUGAUCCUUCCAUGGAUUAGAGCAAGCAUCUCGGAGUCAGAAUAUACACUUUGAUGGAGUGAUCAAAGUUUUUGGGUUUAUACAAAGUUUGUUAGAAACUUGUAUUUACAAUAAAGUGAGUGGGAGCGCUACAACAUUUCUGAUAAGUAUAUGUGAAUGACAUAUUGUUGAUCCGAAAUGAUGUAAAAUUUCUGGAAAGCAUAAAGGGUUGUUUGAAAGGAGUUUUUCAAAGGAAGACCUGGAUAAAGCUGCUUACACAUUGGGCAUCAAGAUCUAUAGAGAUAGAUCAAGACGCUUGAUGAUACUUUCAAAGAACGCACACCUUGACAUGAUUUUGAAAGAGUUCAAAUAGAUCAGCAAAGAAGGAGUUCUUGGCUGUGUUACAAGGUGUGAGUAUUGAGUGAGACUCAAGACCUGACCACAGCAGAAGAGAGAGAAAGGACGAAGGUCGUCCCCUAUGCUUUAGACGUAGGCUCUACAGUAUGCUAUGCUGUGUACCACACAUGAAGUGUGCCUUGCCAUGACUUGGUCAAGGGGUACAAUAGUGAUCCGGGAAUGGAUCACAUGACAGCGGUCGAACAUAUCCUUAGUACCUAGUGGACUAAGGAAUUUUCUCGAUUAUGGAGGUGGAAAGGAGUUCGUCGUAAAGGGUUACGUCGAUGCGAACUUUGACACUAAUCCGGAUGACUCUGAGUAGUAAACCGGAUUCGUAUAGUAGAGCAAUUAUUUGAAAUGGCUCCAAAUAACGCGUGGUAGCAUCCACAAAGAUGACAUAGAUAUUCGUAAAGCACACACGAAUCUGAAAGGUUCAGACCCGUUGACUAAUAACCUCUCUCACAAGCAUAACAUGAUCAAACCAGAACUCAUUGAGUGUUAAUCACAUAGAGAUGUGAACUAGAUUGUUGACUCUAGUAAACUCUUGGGUGUUGGUCACAUGGUGAUGUGACCUGUCAGUGUUAAUCACAUGGUGAUGUGAACUAGAUUAUUGACUCUAGUGCAAGUGGGAGACUGUUGGAAAUAUGCCCUAGAGGCAAUAAUAAAUAGGUUAUUAUUAUAUUUCCUUGUUCAUGAUAAUCGUUUAUUAUCCAUGCUAGAAUUGUAUUGAUAGGAAACUCAGAUACAUGUGUGGAUACAUAGACAACACCAUGUCCCUAGUAAGCCUCUAGGAGACUAGCUCGUUGAUCAAUAGAUGGUUACGGUUUCCUGACCAUGGACAUUGGAUGUCGUUGAUAACGGGAUCACAUCAUUAGGAGAAUGAUGUGAUGGACAAGACCCAAUCCUAAGCCUAGCACAAGAUCGUGUAGUUCGUUUUCUCAGAGCUUUUCUAAUGUCAAGUAUCACUUCCUUAGACCAUGAGAUUGUGCAACUCCCGGAUACCGUAGGAAUGCUUUGGGUGUGCCAAACGUCACAACGUAACUGGGUGGCUAUAAAGGUGCACUACGGGUAUCUCCGAAAGUGUCUGUUGGGUUGGCACGAAUCGAGACUGGGAUUUGUCACUCCGUGUAAACGGAGAGGUAUCUCUGGGCCCACUCGGUAGGACAUCAUCAUUAUGUGCACAAUGUGACCAAGGAGUUGAUCACGGGAUGAUGUGAGUUACGGAACGAGUAAAGAGACUUGCCGGUAACGAGAUUGAACAAGGUAUAGGGAUACCGACGAUCGAAUCUCGGGCAAGUAACAUACCGAUGGACAAAGGGAAUUGAAUACGGGAUUGAUUGAAUCCCCGACGUCGUGGUUCAUCCGAUGAGAUCAUCGUGGAACAUGCGGGAGCCAACAUGGGUAUCCAGAUCCCGCUGUUGGUUAUUGACCGGAGAACGUCUCGGUCAUGUCUGCAUGGUUCCCGAACCCGUAGGGUCUACACGCUUAAGGUUCGAUGACGCUAGGGUUAUAGGGAAAACAUGUACGUGGUUACCGAAUGUUGUUCGGAGUCCCGGAUGAGAUCCCGGACGUCACGAGGAGUUCCGGAAUGGUCCGGAGGUAAAGAUUUAUAUAUGGGAAGUCCUGUUUUGGUCACCGGAAAAGUUUCGGGUGAAAUCGGUAAUGUACCGGGACCACCGGGAGGGUCCCGGGGGUCCACCAAGUGGGGCCACCAGCCCCAGAAGGCUGCGUGGGCGAAGUGUGGGAGGGGACCAGCCCCAGGUGGGCUGGUGCGCCCCCCCACCAAGGCCCAAGGCGCAUGGGAGAGUGGGAGGGGGCAAACCCUAGGUCCAGAUGGGCCUUAGGGCCCAUCUAGUGGGGCGCCUCCCCCUCUCCUCCCCUUGGCCGCCCCCCUUGAUGGGAUCUAGGGCUGGCCGCCUCCUCUUGGGGGUGGAAACCCUAAGGGGGGGCGCAGCCCCCUUCCCCCCUAUAUAUACUUGAGGUUUGGGCUGCCAUACACACACGAGAAAGUCUCCUUUUGGUGCAGCCCUACCCCUCUCCCUCCUCCUCCUCUCCCGCGGUGCUUGGCGAAGCCCUGCGGGAUUGCCACGCUCCUCCAUCACCACCAUGCCGUCGUGUUGCUGCUGGAUGGAGUCUUCCCCAACCUCUCCCUCUCUCCUUGCUGGAUCAAGGCGUGGGAGACGUCACAGGGCUGCACGUGUGUUGAACGCGGAGGCACCGUACUUUCGGUGCUUAGAUCGGAAUCAACCGCGAUCUGAAUCGCUACGAGUACGACUCCCUCAUCCGCGUUCUUGCAACGCUUCCGCAUCGCGAUCUACAAGGGUAUGUAGAUGCACUCCCCUUCCCUUCGUUGCUAGUAAACUCCAUAGAUUGAUCUUGGUGAUGCGUAAAAAAAUUUGAAUUUCUGCUACGUUCCCCAACACAACGCUCACUGUUCAUCCAAUCGAUCGGCUUCAGUUAGCACCAGUAGCGAAGGAAUCACUCGAUCAGGUUUAGUUAAUGGCCAUCGAUCGAUCGCUCGGGUUCAGUAACGCGUAGCCUGCAGUGCAAUCGCUCGGGUUCAGUUAGAGCCCAACGCCUCGCUCGGGUUCAGUUAGAGCCAACGCCUCGCACACACACGCGUACGUGUACGAGAGAAACGUGCAUCGCUCGGCCCCCGACCUCCCACCGUAACCGGGAACUCCCCAAAAUUUUCCUCCCCCUCGCUUCUACCACGGUUUUUUCCGUCAUGGACGGCCCAAAGAAUGUUAUGCAGCUGCGUCUCCGGCCCGCCCAGGACGAAAAGCCCAUUUUCUGUCAUGAUUUUUUGUCAUAGAAGUAGGAGCCCACCACAUCUAUGAUGAUACCGGGUUUUGUCACAAUUAUCGUCAUAGAAGUGUCAUAUGUAUGACAGAAAAAAAAUCGUUCGGCCCAAAAGGUCACGGAUGUUUCUUUUUUUUGUAGUGUUGAUGUAUUUUUUGGUGAUCAACUUGCGGGUUCCGCCCAUGAACCUAUGCAUAGGGGUUGGCACACGCUUUCGUCUUGACUCUCCGGUAGAAACUUUGGGGCACUCUUUGAAGUACUUUGUGUUGGUUUGAAUAGAUGAAUCUGAGAUUGUGUGAUGCAUAUCGUAUAAUCAAACCCACGGAAACUUGAGGCGACAAUGGAGUAUCUAGGUGACAUUAGGGUUUUGGUUGAUUUGUGUCUUAAGGUGUUAUUCUAGUACGAACUCUAUGAUAGAUUGAACGGAAAGAAUAGCUUCGUGUUAUUUUACUACGGACUCUUGAAUAGAUUGAGCAGAAAGAAUAACUUUGAGGUGGUUUCGUACCCUACCAUAAUCUCUUCGUUUGUUCUCCUCUAUUAGUGACUUUGGAGUGACUCUUUGUUGCAUCUUGAGGGAUAAUUAUGUGAUCUAAUUAUGUUAUUAUUGUUGAGAGAACUUGCACUAGUGAAAGUAUGAACCCUAGGCCUUGUUUCCUAGCAUUGCAAUACCGUUUACGCUCACUUUUAUCAUUAGUUACCUUGCUGUUUUUAUGUUUUCAGAUUACAAAAACCUAUAUCUACCAUCCAUAUUGCACUUGUAUCACCAUCUCUUCGCCGAACUAGUGCACCCAUACAAUUCACCAUUGUAUUGGGUGUGUUGGGGACACAAGAGACUCUUUGUUAUUUGGUUGCAGGGUUGCUUGAGAGAGACCAUCUUCAUCCUACGCCUCCCACGGAUUGAUAAACCUUAGGUCAUCCACUUGAGGGAAAUUUGCUACUGUCCUACAAACCUCUGCACUUGGAGGCCCAACAACGUCUACAAGAAGAAGGUUGCGUAGUAGACAUCAAGCUCUUUUCUGGCGCCUUUGCCGGGGAGGUGAGUGCUUGAAGGUAUAUCUUUAGAUCUUGCAAUCGAAUCUUUUAGUUUCUUGUUUAUCACUAGUUUAGUUUAUAAAAUAAAACUACAAAAAAAUGGAAUUAAGGGUGCCUCAUAUGCUUCAUCUUUUUUAUGUCUUUCGUGAAAAUGAUGGGAAGAAAAAUUGUGCUCAAGUACUAGCAGAAGAAUUACAUAGAAUGCUUGGCAUAAAAUAUGUGAAUGAUGAGCAUGAUUGCAAUGUUGUUAGUAUUAAUUCUUUGAAUACCCAUGAUGCUAAUGAUAUGCAAAGCCACAAGCUUGGGGAUGCUAUGUUUGAUGAAGAUGAUAUGUUUAGUCCCCCAAGUUUUGAUGAGCAAAUUUAUUAUGAUGAAAGCAUGCCUUCUAUUUAUGAUGAUUAUUGUGAUGACACGUAUGCUAUGAAGAAUAAAGAUAACCAUGAAACUUGUCAUCAUGAUUUUAAUUUUCAAUUGGAUUAUGCUUCACAUGAUAGUUAUUUUGUUGAGUUUGCUCCCACUACUAUUGAUGAGAAUAAAUUUCUUAUGUGGAGAGUAGUAAAAUUUCUAUGCACGUAGAUCAUAAAAAGAAUGCUUUAUGUGCUGGUUAUAUGGUUGCAUUCAUUCAUGAUGCUACUGAAAAUUAUUACGAGAGAGGAUCAUAUGCUUCUACAUAUUGCAAUAAUAUCAAGUUUCCUCUCUAUGUGCUUAAAAUCUUGAAGUUAUGCUUGUUUUGCCUUCCCAUGCUAGUUGAUUAUUGUUCCCAUAAGUUGUUUGCUCACAAAAUCCCUAUGCAUAGGAAGUGGGUUAGACUUAAAUGUGCUAGUCAUAUUAUUCAUGAUGCUCUCUUUAUGUUUCAAUUCUUAUCUUUUAUGUGAGCAUCAUUGAAAUCAUCAUGCCAAGCUAGGAGCGUUAAACGUUAGCGCUUGUUGGGAGGCAACCCAAUUUUAUUUUAGUUUCUUGCUUUUUGGUUCUAUUUAGGAAUAAAUAAUCCAUCUAGCUUCUGUUUAGAUGUGGUUUUGUGUUUUAAUUAGUGUUUGUGCCAAGUAGAACCUUUGGGAAGACUUGGGUGAAGUCUUUAUGAUCGUGCUGUAAAAAACAGAAACUUUAGCGCUCACGAGAUUAGCUAAAACUUUUUACUGGAGUGAGAUAUUUAGUUGAUUCUUUUUGCAGAUGAUUACUUAACAAAUUCCUCAGGUCUACCAAUUUAUUUUAGAAUUUUUGGAGUUCCAGAAGUAUACGUUUGAUACAGAUUACUACAGACUGUUCUGUUUUUGACAUAUUUUGUUUUCAUUGUGUUGUUUACUUGUUUUGAUGAAUCUAUGAGUAGUAUCGGAGGGUAUGAACCAUAGAGAAGUUGUAAUACAGUAUAUAUUACACCAAUAUGAAUUUAGAAUGAGUUCACAACAGUACCUACGUGGUGAUUUAUUUUCUUAUACUAACGGAGCUUACGAGAUUUUCUGUUAAGUUUUGUGUUGUGAAGUUUUCAAGUUUUGGGUAAAGAUUCGAUGGACUAUGGAAUAAGGAGUGGUAAGAGCCUAAGCUUGGGGAUGCCCAAGGCAGCCCAAGGUAAUAUUCAAGGACAACCAAGAUCCUAAGCUUGGGGAUGCCCCGGAUGGCAUCCCCUCUUUCGUCGUCGUUCAUCGGUAACUCUACUUGGAGCUAUAUUUUUAUUCACCACAUGAUAUGUGUUUUGAUUGGAGCAUCAUUUUAUUUUAUUUAGUUUUGCUUGCUGUUUCAAUAAAUUACCAAGAUCUGAAAUUCUUAAAGUUUAGAGAGUCUUCACAUAGUUGCAUAAUUAUUAAACUACUCAUUGAUCUUCACUUAUAUCUUUCGGAGUAGUUUGUUGUUUGCUCUAGUGCUUCACUUAUAUCUUUUAGAGCACGGCGGUAGUUUUAUUUUGAAGAAAUAGAUGAACUCUCAUGCUUCACUUAUAUUAUUUUGAGAGUCUUUAAAACAGCAUGGUAAUUUGCUUUGGUUAUGAAUUUAGUCCUAAUAUGAUGGGCAUCCAAGAGGGAUAUAAUAAAAACUUUCAUAUAAAGUGCAUUGAAUACUAUGAGAAGUUUGAUACUUGAUGAUUGUUUUGAGAUAUGAAGAUGGUGAUAUUAGAUUCAUGCUAGUUGAGUAGUUGUGAAGUUGAGAAAUGCUUGUGUUAAAGUUUGUGAUUCCCGUAGCAUGCACGUAUGGUGAACCGUUAUGUGAUGAAGUCGGAGCAUGAUUUAUUUAUUGAUUGUCCUCCUUAUGAGUGGCGGUCGGGGACGAGCGAUGGUCUUUUCCUACCAAUCUAUCCCCCUAGGAGCAUGCGCGUAGUACUUCGUUUUGAUAACUAAUAAAUUUUUGCAAUAAGUAUGUGAGUUCUUUAUGACUAAUGUUGAGUCCAUGGAUUAUACGCACUCUCAUCCUUCCACCAUUGCUAGCCUCUCUAAUACCGCGCACCCUUCGCCGAUAUCAUACACCCACCAUAUAUCUUCCUCAAAACAGCCACCAUACCUACCUAUUAUGGCAUUUCCAUAGCCAUUCCGAGAUAUAUUGCCAUUCAACUUUCCACCGUUCCGUUUAUUAUGACACGCUCCAUCAUUGUCAUAUUGCUUUGCAUGAUCAUGUAGUUGACAUUGUAUUUAUGGCAAAGCCACCGUUCAUAAUUCUUUCAUACAUGUCACUCAUGAGUCAUUGCACAUCCCGGUACACCGCCGGAGGCAUUCAUAUAAAGUCAUAUUUAAUAAUCGAGUUGUAAUUCUUGAGUUGUAAGUAAAUAAAAGUGUGAUGAUCAUCAUUAUUAGAGCAUUGUCCCAGUGAGGAAAGGAUGAUGGAGACUAUGAUUCCCCCACAAGUCGGGAUGAGACUCCGGACGAAAAAUAAAAAAAUAAAAGAAAAAAGAGGCCAUAAAAAAAGAGAGAAAAAGGCCCAAACAAAAAAAUAAAAAAUAAAAAAAUGAGAGAAAAAGAGAGAAGGGGCAAUGCUACUAUCCUUUUACCACACUUGUGCUUCAAAGUAGCACCAUGAUCUUCAUGAUAGAGAGUCUCCUAUGUUGUCACUUUCAUAUACUAGUGAGAAUUUUCAUUUUAGAACUUGGCUUGUAUAUUCCAAUGAUGGGCUUCCUCGAAAUGCCCUAGGUCUUCGUGAGCAAGCGAGUUGGAUGCACACCCACUUAUUUUUUUUGAGCUUUCAUACACUUAUAGCUCUAGUGCAUCUGUUGCAUGGCAAUCCCUACUCACUCACAUUGAUAUCUAUUGAUGGGCAUCUCCAUAGCUCGUUACUACGUGAUGUGAGAUUAUCUUCUCCUUUUUUGUCUUCUCCACAACCACCAUUCUAUUGCACCUAUCGUGCUAUGUCCAUGGCUCACGCUCAUGUAUUGCGUGAAGAUUGAAAAAGUUUGAGAACAUCAAAAGUAUGAAACAUUUGCUUAGCUUGUCAUCGGGGUUGUGCAUGAUUUAAAUAUUUUGUGUGGUGGAGAUAGAGCAUAGCCAGACUAUAUGAUUUUGUAGGGAUAGCUUUCUUUGGCCAUGUUAUUUUGAGAAGACAUGAUUACUUUGUUAGUAUGCUUGAAGUAUUAUUGUUCUCAUGUCAAUAUUAAACUUUUGUCUUGAAUCUUAUGGAUCUGAAUAUUCUUGCCACAAUAAAGAGAAUUACAUUGAUAAAUAUGUUAGGUAGCAUUCCACAUCAAAAAUUCUGUUUUUAUCAUUUACCUACUCGAGGACAAGCAGGAAUUAAGCUUGGGGAUGCUGAUACGUCUCCAACGUAUCUAUAAUUUUUUAUUGUUCAAUGCUAUUAUAUUAUCUGUUUUGGAUGUUUAUGGGCUUUAUUAAACACUUUUAUAUUAUUUUUGGGACUAAUCUAUUAACCCAGAGCCCAGUGCCAGUUUUUGUUUUUCUCCUUGUUUCAGUGUUUCGCAGAAAAGGAAUAUCAAAUGGAGUCCAAACGGAAUGAAACCUUCGGGAGAGUUAUUUUUGGAACGGAAGCAAUCCAGGGGACUUGGAGUGCACGUAAGGGGAGCAACGAGGAAGGAACGAGGCAGGAGGGCGUGCCCACCCCCCUGGGCGCGCCCUCCACCCUCGUGGGCCCCUCGUGGCUCCCCUGACCGACUUCUUUUGCCUAUAUAUCUCCAUGUACCCUAAAACCAUCGGGGAACAGAAUAGAUCGGGAGCUUCGCCGCCGCAAGCCUCUGUAGCCACCAAAAACCAAUCGGGACCCUGUUCCGGCACCCUGCCAGAGGGGGGAUCCCUCACCGGUGGCCAUCUUCAUCAUCCCGGCGCUCUCCAUGACGAGGAGGGAGUAGUUCACCCUCGGGGCUGAGGGUAUGUACCAGUAGCUAUGUGUUUGAUAUCUCUCUCUCUCUCUCGUGUUCUUGAGGUGAUACGAUCUUGAUGUAUCGCGAGCUUUGCUAUUAUAGUUGGAUCUUAUGAUGUUUCUCCCCCUCUACUCUCUUGUAAUGGAUUGAGUUUUCCCUUUGAAGUUAUCUUAUCGGAUUGAGUCUUUAAGGAUUUGAGAACACUUGAUGUAUGUCUUGCCGUGCUUAUCUGUGGUGACAAUGGGAUAUCACGUGAUUCAAUUGAUGCAUGUUUUGGUGAUCAACUUGCGGGUUCCGCCCAUGAACCUAUGCAUAGGGGUUGGCACAAGUUUUCGUCUUGACUCUCCGGUAGAAACUUUGGGGCACUCUUUGAAGUACUUUGUGUUGGUUUGAAUAGAUGAAUCUGAGAUUGUGUGAUGCAUAUCGUAUAAUCAUACCCACGGAUACUUGAGGUGACAAUGGAGUAUCUAGGUGACAUUAGGGUUUUGGUUGAUUUGUGUCUUAAGGUGUUAUUCUAGUACGAACUCUAUGAUAGAUUGAACAGAAAGAAUAGCUUCGUGUUAUUUUACUACGAACUCUUGAAUAGAUUGAGCAGAAAGAAUAACUUUGAGGUGGUUUCGUACCCUACCAUAAUCUCUUCUUGUUCUCUGCUAUUAGUGACUUUGAAGUGACUCUUUGUUGCAUGUUGAGGGAUUGUUAUGUGAUCCAAUUAUGUUACUAUUGUUGAGAGAACUUGCACUAGUAAAAGUAUGAACCCUAGGCCUUGUUUCCUGGCAUUGCAAUACCGUUUACGCUCACUUUUAUCAUUAGUUACCUUGCUGUUUUUAUAUUUUCAGAUUACAAAAACCUAUAUCUACCGUCCAUAUUGCACUUGUAUCACCAUCUCUUUGCCGAACUAGUGCACCGAUACAAUUCACCAUUGUAUUGGGUGUGUUGGGGACACAAGAGACUCUUUGUUAUUUGGUUGCAGGGUUGCUUGAGAGAGACCAUCUUCAUCCUAUGCCUCCCACGGAUUGAUAAACCUUAGCUCAUCCACUUGAGGGAAAUUUGCUACUGUCCUACAAACCUCUGCACUUGGAGGCCCAACAACGUCUACAAGAAGAAGGUUGCAUAGUAGACAUCAAGCUCUUUAUCGGUCAAACCGCAUAACAACAUACGUUGUUUCCUUUGUGAUCGGUAUGUUACUUGCCCGAGAUUUGAUUGUCGGUAUCUCAAUACCUAGUUCAAUCUCGUUACCGGCAAGUCUAUUUACUCGUUCUGUAAUGCAUCAUCCCGUAACUAACUCAUUAGUCACAUUGCUUGCAAGAUUUAUAGUGAUGUGCAUUACCGAGAGGGCCCAGAGAUACCUCUCCGACAAUUGGAGUGACAAAUCUUAAUCUCGAUCUAUGCCAACUCAACAAUUACCAUCGGAGACACCUGUAGAGCACCUUUAUAAUCACCCAGUUAUGUUGUGACGUUUGGUAGCACACAAAGUGUUCCUCCGGUAUUCGGGAGUUGCAUAAUCUCAUAAUCAUAGGAACAUGUAUAAGUCAUGAAGAAAGCAAUAGCAACAUACUAAACGAUCAAGUGCUAAGCUAACAGAAUGGGUCAAGUCAAUCAUAUCAUUCUCUAAUGAUGUGAUCCCGUAAAUCAAAUGACAACUCAUGUCUAUGGCUAGGAAACUUAACCAUCUUUGAUUCAACGAGCUAGUCAAGUAGAGGCAUACUAGUGACACUCUGUUUGUCUAUGUAUUCACACAUGUACUAAGUUUCCGUUUAAUACAAUUCUAGCAUGAAUAAUAAACAUUUAUCAUGAUAUAAGAAAAUAUAAAUAACAACUUUAUUAUUGCCUCUAUGGCAUAUUUCCUUCACCCGGGGCGUGGAGGAUAAGCGUCGGCGGGGUCCCGGUGCCACCGCUGCCCACCGGGGCGGCCAGGCUUGCGGAGAUCGCCCGUAUCCGUGCCUCUCUGCUGCAUGCGGCGAGAGAAGGGCCGAGGUACACCCCCGACAGCACGCUGUGGGAGCCGUACUUCCGUCGCCGCCACGCCGAGCAGCUCGAGGCCACCAACGGCGUCGUGCCCUCCGGGAGGCUCAAUGCCGACGGGCGUCGUCGAUGGUGGGGCGUGCCCGGCCGCACGCUGGAGACCUUCCUCGAGUAGAUUGAGGGCGGCAACACGCCGAGGCUGGAGUACCCCGCUCCCCCCACCUUCUCCCGCCGGCGUGGGAGCUCGUGGACGCCGAGAGGCAUGGACCCGGCAUCCUCCUCCUCGUCCAGCCGCUCGUCCGGCUCUCCCUCCCUCCUCCCCAUCAAGCCGGAGCCCCAGGACGCGCCGAUCAGCCGGCGCACCCGCAGCUCGGCGUCCGCAUCGCCGAGUCCUCCCCCACCUCUGCCCGGCUCGUCUGGCCGAAGGUGGAGUCCGGCCUCCCCGCGGAUUACGAGGCCAUAGCCUGGCGCGGCUUCUCCGACGAGGCCGCCCUAAAGUGGGCGCGGGACGACUACCUCCGCGACGAGAUGGUCCGGCAACGCCGAGGCCUGCAGGAGAUAGCCGCCCGCCAGCGUGGGCGCGAGGACGAGAACGGCGUGGUGAUCCUCGACAGCGACGAGGACGAGGACGCCCCCGGACCGUCCAACCCGCCGUGCGUCGGCGACCCUGGGCAGGGGUAUAGCAGGGAUGACGGCCGCGGACGAGGCGGCGACUACACGCAGUUCUACAGGCUCCUCGGCGUGUAGAGCUUCAGGGCGGCGGGCGGCGGGCGGCGAGGAACGGCGAGGGCGACGGCGGGUCUAGUAGUGUUUUUUUUCUUCUGUAAAAUAUUUUAUGAACUCGCCGAAGUUUGGUUAAAUUUGUGCCUUGUUUGUGCGAAUGUGGGGCCGGAUUUUAUUUUUUUAAAAAACAUGGGCGCGACGACUGAGGAACAUCACGCCCCCAGCACGUGGUUUAGCACCGGUACGCGCCGAGGCGGCGAUUUUUAGCGCCUCCUGAGGGCCAACGGCUGGAGAUGCUCUUAGGUGUGGUGUGUCACUAGACUAGGGUGUAGCAGCAUAUGCACCGCGCACUAUACCGGUACCGGACGCUAGCAGCUAGCGAGCUAGGCGAAACAUUUUCACGUGGAGUCGGAGACCAGCACGCAUGCAUGCAGAUAUCCUCCUAUCUUCAGCAUCGCUCGAACCAGAGCAGCACUGUGCGAGAUGCCGGCGAGUGGCGGAGCACGCACAUACGCGUCCCGGCCGUGCAGCGGCAAACGCACACACCAACAGUGUCUCCCUCUCCGCAUUUUGGAGGGUGUCUUUUCCGGAAGCGGCGCGGCAUGGCGUUAGGCCGCCGCGAGAUUCAACCGAUCGUUGCCCCGUUUCCUUGUGUCGUGUCUUGACUGUUCAUGUCACGGUUUGGUGAAGGAACUGAUCGGCCGGAGAUCGGUGGUUUGUCGUCGACGAUCAUGUGAUCGAUGUCGAGCGUCGGCUGCUGCUGUCUAGACAUAUAUGGCUGUGCUUACUAGCACGAGUGUAGGAUAUGAGUGGGGAUGGGGUGGUCACACACACACACACACACACACACACACGUCUCACCAGCGUAGAAAUGCGUAAUAUUAUCUCAUUGCUGAAAGUUGGCGCAGCACACAAGGCACGCACACAACUCUCACAAGCAAUAUAUAGUGAAACCAGAGAUUAGGUGACAAAGGUUCCAGUGGCUGAUCAACGUUUAAGACAUGGAAAAACUGUUGAUCUUUAAUUUCAGAAGGCGCCAUAGGAAUUCACUGGUCACAAGGUGUCUAAUUGACGACUUUGUGGUUCAUUUGUACCUUUUCAUUCCCUGUUGAUCUCUUGAUUUCGUAUUAAUAUCAAGUCAACUAAUGUGGAGCGGUGGAGCCUCACAUUGUCACAUGUAGUGCCAUGCAUGCAGUGGCGGAGCCAUGAAAAUCAAAUUGAGAGGGCCAAACGUUGCUAAACCUCGUUUGGGAGGGCCAGAUCAUUAAAAUGCAUUGUUUUAAUAGCAAAAAAAUUAAUGUUUAGUACUAGUAUUAGGCCUAAACCAGUGACAUUACGGGGGGCCAGGGCCCCUGCUGGUCCCCCGUCUCCGCACUGCAUGCAUGUGAGCACCGAUGACUAAAGUACGUGCCAGUCGAUCGCUCCGUCAAUGCAAGUCGGGAAAAUGGAGGGAGGAGAGACCCUCAAUUCGGCAGCAGGUACGACCGGUACGUACGGCCCACUUUUAUUGGCACGUUUCUUCUUGCCGUGCUAGCCAUAGCUAAUGGGACGGUGCAUGUUACGUUCGGCCGGAGUCUGUGGCGGAGCUAGCUUCAUCACUGGCUUGCCGGACAUGCCACGCGCGGCGAGGCCUUCGUUUCCAUGCAGGCGCACAUGGCUUGCCUAAGAUGAAAUCAAAAUCAAGUAGUACGUGGAGGACGUCGAUGGACCGAGCGAGCCAGGACAAAUUGAACGUCCGAUUUUCGCAACAGUGCAAUGCAGUGCCUCUGUUGGACUGUUGGAUCGCUGCACGCGAGUGUGGAACGCGUGACCCCAUUUUCGUCCGCCUGCAUCUGUUUGGUAGGCGCGGACAAAAAUGACGGCCCAGCGUGUUGACCCAAACCCAAAUCACGUCUGCGCUGACGCAUUUGCAACCCAAAUUUGUGCCCCAAAUGCGUCGGCGCGGACGCCGAACAGACGCUAUGCGCGCCUUCUCGCUGUCCGCCGCGUCCUCACAUGGCGGCCGUCCAACUACCCGCUGCCCACGCGUUCAGCUUAAUUUAUGACCACGGUUCCACACGUCAGCGACGGCGCUCGUCCUUUUUUAAGCCGACCGUGCGGCGGGGCCGUCCUCAUUCAAACUCGCCGUCCACAUCUAGCAAGCUUUGCUCCCCCGUCGCCGGCAAAUCCUAGCAACCACAACCACAGCGAGAUUUGGCUCUUCUCCGGCGCCAGCAGCAGCAAGGCCAAGGGCAAGGCCCCCGCCACCCCUUUCCUCUCAGAGUUCCUCUCGCCUCCGCUGGGCCGGCGCCUCGCCGGCAGAGGCAGCGCGUGAACGUGCCAGUGCACCAGGCGGAGUGGCACUGGCAGCACCGCCAGCCUCUGCCGUACCCCGACGUGACCCUGCCGCACGACUGGCAUCUGGAUCCAGAUAGGAUCCCAGUGUCGGCGGCGCCGCGGAAGGCUAGGACUCACGCGGAGGAGGUGCGGCGCCGGCGGGCGCUGCUGACGCCGGAGCAACGCCGCGAGGCCGCCUACGCAACCGACUCACCCAACUGGGCGAGGUGGUUCGCCUUCGAGCAUGAGAAGGUGAGGCGACGGGGCAUGCGCGAGGUUGACCGGAGCGUGCCGCCGCCGCCGCUCGGCGUCCGCGAGGAGGACCAGACGGCCCUUGCGACCGUCUACCGGGAGAGCGAGGAGGACGAGCGGCGCAGGGCGGAGGUGGCGGAGGAAGAGGAGGCUCGGUACGAGGCGACAAUGGCGCAGGCACUUGCCCUCUCCGCGGCGGGCGACUGCGUGGUGCCGCCGGUGGCCCCGCCGUCCCCUCCCCGAUGCCGCGUCAACCCGGAGCCGCAGCCGGAGCCCGAGCCGUAGCCGUCUCCCAUCGAGCGCUACUCCUGGACGGGAGUAGUGCGCGAGUGGGUACGUGCACCGCCGGUUUGGGUGGGGGCGACGCCGGCGCAGGAGGCGGCGUACCUCGAGCACUGGCGCCAGAUCCGGGUGGCCGAGGAGCGCCGCGAUGGCGAGUACCUCAAGAUGCUCGAGCGCGACCUCGAGGAGGAGCAGCGCGAGGCCGAGGAGGAGGCGCGCCAGGCCGCGGCUGUACAGGCGGCCGCACAGCCCCCCGCGCCGGCACUGCCCGCGCUCUGGAACACGGCAUUCCCCUAGGCCGGGCCGGCGCCGAUGCUCAUCGACCUCACGGACCCCGAGGACGACGACGACGCCUAGUGCAGCGCGCCGCCUCGUAGUUUAGGUUGUUUUUAUUUUUUUUAAAUGCAAAUGUGGACGUGUGGACUCUCGCUGGCUUUCGUGGCCGUUUUACUAUUUAAUUAAUGUUGUUUUUCAUUUUUAAUAUGCAUGCGUUUUUUUCUAGUGCCGUCAAAAUGGGUCGGGCCAGCAUUGGGCGCACGCGCCGAUCCAAACGCGAAAGCGGACAUCUGUAUCCGCCUAGCCGACCCAAACGGACAAAAAGCAGACAAAAGCGCCGUCCGUUUGGGUCGGCCCGUUGCAGUUGCUCUUAGAGCCUUCCAAUAAAAGAUGUAAAUGCAAAAGUAACUAUCUUUUACAUCUUUAUUAAGGUCUAAAAACACCUCUCCAAUAGAUGAUGUAGAAAAAUUUGCGUCUUCGUCUCCCGAAGAUUUAAAAUACAAGACAUCGCGAUGCAAAUAUGCAUCUCCACCUACAAGAGAUGUAAACCUGACGGUCGCGCACCAACCGCCCAAUUGCCUUCCGUUCUUCGGCGAUUUUCUCCCAAAAACUCGCAACCGCCGGCCGUCGGCCCAUCCCCAACCCGCUGCCUAUCCCCAUCACCGGUCGCGCCGCCGUAGCCGCCACCGACCCUAAGUCCGCACCUCCGACGACUGUCUACCUCCGCCGCCGGCUAUUUGUGUCCGGAAACGCCGUCAUCGCUGCCCGUACGUCCAUCCGCGACGCCGCGGCCUAUCCCUGCCACCACCGCAUCGCCGCUCCGCCUGCACGCCGCGAAUCGGCCGUAUUUCUCGCCGCUCCACCGUCAUCGCGCGGUUUGUCCCCGUCACCAUUUCCACCUUCGUCGCAUCCACCACCCGGCCGCCAAGCACCCGCCCAACCACCACCGCACCACCGCUCCGCCCGCACGCUGUGAAUCGACUGUAUUUUUCGCCGCACCACCGCCGCCACCCGGUACGUUCCCGCCGCCAUUUCCGCUUUCGCAACCGCUCAUUCGCCACCGCGCGCUUUAAUCGACCUCACCGACAACGACGGCGAUGGAAAGGGCAAGGCCGGCGCCUAGGGCAGCGUGCGGGCGUAGAGUUUUUUUAAUGUCUAAGUGGACUUUGGCCGGCCUUCACCGGCCAUUUAUGUUAAUGAUGUUAAAUCAAGUUUAUUUUUGCCGCGUGUUUCUCAUGUUUUUUUUAUGCGGAUAAAUAUGGGUCUGACGCUCAUUGGACGCACCGGCCAACCCAAUUCAGAAAAUGGAUGCCCGUCCGCUUGGCCGACUCAAGCGGACAAAACGGGCGUUCGGAUCACCGCGUUAGAGUUGCUCUGAAGCUCCACAGAUUCCCUGAAUAUAAACUUAACUGUCCCAUGUAAAUUAUUACUCGUCCUAGUUGAGAGGAAUAACCAACGGUGGGAACUGGGAACCCAACGGUAAAAAUGUGCUCCUACUCCACGUAAACCGUGCUCGUCACCGUACAGAUAAAGGCCACGCACGACGCCCGGGAGGUUCACCGAGCUUGCUAAACUGCGCCCACAGGCGCUCCGACGCACCACUUUUGCCACAACAAGUCACGGAGGGGCCAUUCGCCGCGAUUUUGGUAGCCACAGACUGUGGCAGGCGGUCCCGGGCCGCCUAUCUCGUCUUCCGUCGGUACGUGGUGAACACCGGUCACCGAGUGCACUCCGCUGAUGAUGGACCCACGAGUAAGUGAAACACAAAUUACAUCAAGCAAAGCGAUAGAGGGAGGCAUCUAGUGAGGCAGUGACAUGGUAACUGACCUAUAGCAACCUACUCCUAGGUAGGUAUACAUAGGUUGUCGGGGCCUGCCUGGGCGGCAAAAUUAUCAAAUUUGACCUAUGGAUGAAAUCAAAUCACAGAAUGAACUAUCCGUGAAACUAUUUCACGCGGCUGACCUUUUUGUGUGACGCCCGACACGAAGGCGUCACACUACACUGUGCAAGGCCUCACAGAUAUGCGCUACACACCUGGCCAGCAUCGCACCUGUAUGAUCCGAAAAUUAGUAAGUGCAGCGCCUGAGAGCUAGGCGUUGCAAUAGUGGUUGCUUCAUUUUGUAGUGCAACCACUAGUGCAGCGACUGAGAGAUAGGCGCCACACUAUACAGUGCAGCGCCUAGCUCUUAGGCCCUGCACAAUAACUUAGCAAUUUUUAGGCAAUCUGGGGUGCAACCUGGCCAGGCGUGUAGCGUCUAUCUGUGAGGCGUUGCACUGUAUAGUGUGGCGCCUUCGUGUCGGGCGUCACAUAAAAAGUCAGCCGCGUGAAAUAGUUUCACGGUCAGUUCAUUCUGUGAUUUGAUUUCGUCUACAGGUCAAAUUUGUCAAAUUUGCCUGGCUGGGCUUCAGUCACGGGCGCAUACAAGGGGCAGGAGGUUGUCCGAAACGGCGAGUUGGGUUCAUGGACGAUGCUGCUCUGUAGUCCAUGAUGCGGUCCACGUGGUGUGCUCGUUUGGAGAACCUGGCAUGGCGAUGGCAUGCAUGCAUGCAUGGAUCAUGGACGCACAGUCUCCCGCUCCAUGUGACCGAGACCGAGGUCCCGGAAACGGAAAGGCGCGCGGCUUCCGAGGCCAUCGUGCGCGCAAGAUCUCAUUGCUGGAGAGUCAGAUACGGUGCUCGAAUGGAUCCAAGUGGUAUUGCAGUGAUCGAUUUUCUGCCACUUCGUUGUACCGCAUCAUGUAGGCGUACGGAGUAGUACGUGGUGCACCGACAGUUUUUAAUCCAUGCAUGUGAAUCUAGUAUCGGUUAAAGGAUUUGAAGAAGCAUGCAGGAAGCGUAUAGUGGUAUAUAUGCUUUUAAUGGCGUCGGUUAAAGGAUUUGAAGAAGCAGGCCUCGGCAGAGAUGGCGAGAAAGGUGGCAUGGCGCCCCGACAAAGAGUGAACGGGCAUUUUGUCCAGCUGUUGAGCCAUGCACGUCCACAUGGGACGAGCCCCCACGAUGGUCCGGCCGGCCGGAGGCCCCUCGGCCACCGCAUGGCACAUGCUCCGGGUCCGGCACGGCACGGCACGUACGUGUUGGCCCGCACCCAGUGCACCUAAAUCGGAGCGCGUACGGCGAGCGCCAGUUGCCGUGCAAGACUGCAAAUUGCACUAUCCUCCUAGAGCACGAUUUGUUGGGACAGACAUGGAGAUGGAGUAUUAUCAAAAGGCGCGGUACGGAAAGAUAUGAGGACAUGGAGUACUCCCGAGACUAGCUAGCUUGGCUGGCGUGGAUCAGUGCAGGCACCGACGGAUCUCUCGACGGCACUUCCCAACUCUACUACCAGUGGCUGUUGCUUUCAUCGAUGGCAGUUCGGAGAAACGGCUUGCACACGCGGCGCACUUAAUCAAAGGACCUUUUCGUUCUCUCUCCCUGGCAAUUAUUUUGUCCUUGAAUUCUAUAUAUCUUUUGCAAUGGCGCAGCUGUUUGCACUGGCGUGUUCUCUAACAAUUAUAAAAUAAAAUACGUAUACUCGUCCAAGUUGUAUCCUCUGCAAAGCGCGUACAGUCACGUUAUUGGGGACGAUACCCUAUAGUAAUAUAAUUUGUGGCCAUAACCAGAUAUGAAAGUUCUGCGUCCGUACUCCUAUAGACAUAAACAAAUGAAAUUAGCAUCACAUGAGCCAGCCAGCUAGGAGCUAGCAAGCCGGUGUGAUGCCGCGUCCGGCAGUUCGUUGGAGUUAUAUUUUGGCACGACCGAGUCCGUCGCUCGGCACCAUGCAUGCACGCAUGAUGCUGCAUCACAUGGGAUUUCUUCUGUAGACUGUAGUCUAGUCGAAAAUCCAGUAAACAAAAAGAGCUAGCGCAGGUGCAGAGAUGCCCCGUACGUAUAUCGUACUCCUACGCACCAACGGCAUUUUGCCUAGUUUAUGCCAUAACUGUCCCAUCUCGCCAUUAAGGUGGGCCCGUGCCGUACAGUCCGGCAUCACGGGCAGUGCCACAGGAGUGGCCCAGGGGUGCUGUUCAAGUUUUCCGUUCUUGUGGACUCCGUUGUCAGGCCAACCAUAUUUUAGUCCUCUUUUUUUCUUUGUCACUGUCUGUGUGGAUGUCUUUUUUGGUUCAACUCUGCCUGAUGUCAGUCUCCAUCCCCCACUUGUAUCUGGACUUCUGAAGAGUAUAUGAUCCUUCCUGUUAAACUAACCACCCUGGCCAAACCCUAAAUAGAUGUUUAGUGGAUGUGGUAUUAUCAUACAGUGCAGCCACUGGCCCGUACAAUGAUGCUCGCUUAACAAUGAUGUUACUAUGUGGUUAACUUUGUUGGGACAUGCAUAGUGCUGUACGUACGCAGUAGUAUUCACGUGAAAAUGGAUUUUUGUAGCCAGCAGUUAAGAAUUAAGCCCGAUCUCUUUUUUUUUGUGAAAAGGAAUUAAGCCCGAUCUAUCCUCAACAAUCCCUCUCUCUAUAUAUAUGUUCCUGGCAAUGACAGUACUGUCAUUUUUAACUUGGUCAAGCUCCCCGCAAAAAAGAAAUUACUCGGUCAAGCCCUGUUGAAAGUUGAAAUUUAUUUGUGCAUCGACAUCAACGGACACUCAAAGACUGACGAAAAUCGCCCAACAGUUAGCUAGGCUACUGGUCAGUGGUCACGCAUGCAUGCAUCGGUCGAUCCAGACGGGCAUGUUCUUAUGAGGUUCUCCAAUGUUCCGCUGAAGAUCCUGACCGAAACUCAAACCGCAUCCAACGCACGCAAUUAGGACGCUAUUAUUGGCCAUGACAAUUGCACCCUCCGUUCCUAAAUAUUAUCUUUCUAGAGAUUUCAACAAGUGACUACAUACAGAGCAAAAUGAGUGAAUCUACAUUCUAAAAUAUGUCUAUAUACAUCCGUAUGUGGUAGUCCAUUUAAAAUCUCUAUAAAGACAAAUAUUUAGGAACGGAGGGAGUAUAUUGUUGAGACAUUCUUCUUUCUAAACGUAGCAUAAUGCAGUCCGGCCAAUGAUCUUAGCAAAUGAAUCAUGUUGCAGUCAAGGCAAGAAACUGAACUUCACGGGUUGGAUUUGAUGAUUGGAUGAAGUUCACAAUUUGGAUUGGAUAAUGGACAAGGGCCAUUUAAAAAUUGCAGAUAUUUUCGGCCCAGUUAGCCAAUCCCGUCGAACUAAUCAUCGGUUUUUGCAGUUGCUUUCUAGCGGUUUUGUCCUUGUACGGCACGUGAGCUGAUCAAGCAUUUUUCCCCGUUCACAUGCACGCAACGACCACGGCGAAGAAGAUGAGCGCAGCUCGGUCAGACGAGAGCGAUCGCUUAAUUUGGAGCAGCAUGUGGCCGCGUGGAGAUUUGCCUAAUUGUUGAUGUAGCUAGCCUAAGGAAGAGUUGGUCUGUUGCUCCAACCACUUGCACGUAGUAUAUGCAAAUUUAGCGGGUGAAAAGCAGUGCCUCCGCCCACUUAUAGACAAGCCAAAUUAGCUAAUCAAGGGGGAGUAACUCCAGACACUGCGACGACUGGACUUUCAGUUUCAUAUCUUGUGCGGUUAUGCUGACAUGCAUGCAAGCACGAUGUUUGUGGUGUGCUCUCUCAGCUUCGUAGUCAGCCUAAUUAACCAGCUGCCUUGAACUGGUCGUUCACCUAUCGUCAUAAUUAUGCGAAUAAUUAGGCGCCGUGGUUUAACUACCGAUGCUAUUUUUCCAUCGUGGGCAAUGGAAUUUACAGCCAAUCGCUAAUAACCUAUAUCUCAGAGAUUGCUCAUGCGCGCCGAGUAAACGGUAACGGAGGGAGUAGUUACAAUAUUCAGUCCCACGGUAGGAAGAUGGCCUGGGUGGGCUUAUUCUGAUGAUAUGGCACUUAGUUAAGUCCAAAAUCGAGACUGAUUGGCAGCAUCAUGCUCUUGUUGUGGCCUCCAGCUCCAUGGGAACGCCGAUGGAGCACACCUGUACACGUAGGAUGCAGCUUGCUAGUCAGCGUGGCCGAGUCAACCAAGCGCGUAACUGACAGGCACCGCUGGUGCUGCCGUGGUACGUACGGUACGGCACGCCGUAUCAUUGGGUCGUCAAUCCGUAAAAUCCCAAUCAUUUAGGGGGCCCGUACGGUACGUACGUCGCCCCCAUGUCCAUGUGGUUGCCUAGGUACUCACACGCAGAGCAGAGCAAAGCUUGUCCUGAAGCCCAACCGAAAGCGAGUGAAUCAAACCAACUAAACUAACUGUAGUAUAACUAAAUCAAGCACGACACGGCGCCUACGCAUGGCUGCGCUGCACAUGCCCCCGCCAGCCUGCCCAUCCGUCUAUCCGAUUCGAGCCUGGAUUUCUAAUGAAUUCUGUUAUAGUACAGACAGCACUGGACGGAUACGGUGAACCAGGAUGCUUCAGUGGUCUAGCUGUAUUUGGUGAUGCUCGCGUUCCGGAGGUUGAUGAGAUUCUUCACAUCUUAUCUUCUACUCCUACUGUACUAGUUCAAACAACGUCGAGGGUAGUGAGAACGCGACUUUGAGCCACAUGCCGGGGAGUGGCACACCGCCAUGCGUCAGCCCGAGAAGGAGAUCAAGGCAAGGGGAGGGAUGUGCGUGGCCUCGACGGUGAGUAAAUAAUUGUACCCCAACCUAGAGCUGAAAUAGACGUGGUAGCACCGCUGCGAUGCCCACAGUUUCAGUUCACACAAGUUUUUGUUUUAGGAAAAUCAGUUUUUUUUUGAAAAGGAUCAGAUUUAUUAUAAAGAUUCAUCGAAAGUAUAAAGCACCUUAAAUAUAAUAAAAAUUACAUCGAGGUCCAUGGACCACCGAACGACCAUUACCGCCGCCAGAACGAGCCGCGGACGCGCCGCUGUCGCUGCUCCCGUAUCGGAGCCGGCCCGACCUUGUCGAUGACAGCUGGGAAGUCUCCGUGGACGUGCCCCUAUGGACGAGCGUCUUGUAGCCGCAAUUGUCGUCGUUGAAUCCUUGAAUCGAUCUGAAGAACCUAACAACAAAUCUCGUCAUUGCAUACGCAUGGCAAGAAACAUUAAUCUCACCGUCCCAAGAAGCUGGCAGGAAUCUACACAGUUCACACAAGUGAUUAGCAGGGUCCUUUGUUUCUGUUUUCCUUCUUAGAUUUUUCUACGCCAGAGCUUGUUUGCUUUGCCGGCCCGUUUGGGAAUCCCUAUUUGUUCCUCCAUCCGUCAAAGUUUUGGUUGCUCGCACAGGCGAAUGCCCCCCUCCCCCACCCCCAAUAACAACGUGAGAAAUGGGUCCGCCCACUCUACCACAGCGAGUUAAUUGGUUUUGCGAAUCUUCUAGAAGGUGUCAUGAAUCGGCUUUAGUUUCUUUUACUGGUUUUCCGGUUCCUUUUGUUUUAUUCUUUUCUUUCUACUUUUUUUUAGUGAAUUCAUAAUAUUCUCCUAAAUUCAAAUCUCAAGAAAAUUAAGAAUUUCCUAAAGUGAUAGCCCUUUUUCGAAAGUGUUUUGAAUAACUGUCUUGGUUUUUUUAGAAUUUCAAAUAAUGUUUACUUUUCAAUAAAAAAAUGUUCUAAUCUUCAAAUUUUGUUUGCAUUUUUAUAAAAAUGUUAGGAAUAACAAAAAUGUUAAAAAUUAAAAAAAAUGUUCAUGGUUUCUCAAAAUGUCUUUUAAAGGAAUGUUCGGAAUUUCGUAAAAAAACACGUCUUCAACUUUUGGAAAAGGCGAUGAAUUUUUGUUUGUAUUUUCCAGAAAAAUUUGAGGUUUAAAAUUUGUUUAUCUUUUUAGAAAAAUGUUAGUGUUUUUUUUGCAUUUUUAGAAAAGGUUCAUGUUUUUUUUGAAAGGCUACCGACUUUGCUAAAAUAAAUCUACCUUUUGAUUGAUGGCGACAUGACAAAUCGGUGGUCUUGAAUAAAUCCAGCGAGAUAAACCGAUAGAAAAAAAAUCAUUCUAUACUGUCCAACAGGAAAAGAAAAAUCAAGGAUACAUAAGCAGAUUCCCUCCAAAAUCUCUUCUUUCCUCUGCCCGCUGUCAACACAUUUCCUUUCCACAAAAAAGGGGUAGAAUUCUAUAUAAAAUGCCACAGAGAAAAGAGAGAAAGACCUUUCAUGUGAUUAAUUGAUACGAGCACUGUCCCAUCCCCGUGUGCAUAGACGAGAAAUCUUGGCCGAGUACUAUAACGUACCAGAUCUCAAGGUUAAUUGGGAGGAGGGGAAGGAAGCACACAGAGGAGGAAGAAGGGGGGUCUGGAUUAGGAGGAGGUAGGUGCAGGAGAUCAGCUCCAUCAGGUCACAUUACAAUGCAUAACCCUCGCUCACGCACCCACUAGCCUAUAAGAAGCGCCCAAGCCAUGCUGGCGGGUUCCAGCCAAUCACCGUCUAGCGCCUCGUCAUUUCCCUCGGUUCACGCCUUGCUGUCUUCCGCGGGUCCGUCCUUGUAGGUGCACGGGUCCGUCUGAGGCUGGGCCCCUUCACCGGGUAGCGCUGGUUGGUCAGGCCUAACAUUCUCCCCCCCUUGGAACAGGGCUUGUCCCCAAGCCUGUGUAGCUGGAAACCGGCGGCCCAACUCCGUUUUGUCUUCCCAAGUGGCCAAGGAGGCUAGCAAUUUCUCCCAGCGCACCAACACCCGCAGUUGUUCUCUGUUGCUGUCUGGACCAUCUUCUCCGCCAGGGGCGCCAUCGGCCAGUGUUCCAAGCGGAGAACCUCAGUAUCUGCAGGCAGGUCUGUUUCCACGAGUACGUCGUUGCCAAUUGCUUUCUUCAGUUGGGACACAUGUACCACCGGGUGGAUCUUGCUGUCGGCUGGCAAUUGUAACUUGCACGCGACCUUGCCCACGCGCGCCGUGAUCUUGUAUGGACCAUAGUACCGGAAGGCCAGCUUCUGGAAGGGUCGCUGCGCUACUGAUGUUUGAAUGAACGGCUGAAGCCGAAGAAAAACUGCAUCCCCAACCUCAAAUUCUCGAUCCGUGCGCCUUUUGUCUGCUUGUUUCAGUUGUUGUUGAAGCAGUUCCAGCAUCACUUCGCGUUCCUGGAGCCAACUGGCUAAAUCCGGAACAGUACUUGCAUCAAUUUGAUUGACCCCAAAUUCCCUUGGCAUUGUACCGUAGCUCACCUCGAACAGAGUUCUUCCCAAUGCCGAGUGGAAAGAUGUGUUGUACCAGUAUUCUGCCAAGAACAACCACUUGUAGCAGUUCCUCGGACACGCGUGCACCAAGCACCGGAGAUACGUUUCAAGGCACUGAUUCACCCUCUCCGUUUGCCCAUCCGUCUGAGGGUGGUACGACGAGCUCAUGCGCAGCUGAGUCGAGGCCAACUUGAACAGCUCCUGCCAUAGCGCACUUGUGAAGAUCCUAUCCCGAUCUGAUAUGAUUGCCAUUGGAAGGCCAUGGAGCUUGAAAAUGUUCUGCAUGAAUGUGGUUGCUACUGACAGGUCUGUGUAUGGGUGUUUCAUCGCUAGGAAAUGGCUAUAUUUCGAGAACUUGUCCACCACCACCAAGAUGACAUCAAAUCCCCCAGACUUGGGUAGCCCUUCUAUGAAAUCCAAUGAUAUAACUGCCCACGGUCGUUUGGGUAUUGGUAGCGGUUGGAGGAGCCCUGCUGGAGCGAUCCGCUCGGUUUUAGCUUGCUGACAAAUUUGACAUUGUCGCACGAACUGUUGCACCAUGUUCUUGAGCCCUCUCCAUGCGAAUAUCGGGGGGGUGUUUGCUCUAUAUAGUGUGGUUCUACUAGCAUCAAAUUCUUGUGUAGUAUUUCGAUGCUAGUACAACCGGUUUUGAUAACAUCAACUAUCUUUGUGAUAUUUGAGGCUAUCAAAACCACCUCAAGUAUUCAAUUUAUUCUCGGAUAGAUUGCAUACUUGUUUUAAAUUCAUUAUAUAAACCCUCUUGUUGAGAUUGUCAUCAAUUACCAAAAUGGGGGAGAUUGAAAGGGCAUGUAGCCCCUAAGUGUGGUUUUGGUAAUUGAAUGACAAUCUCUAUGGACUAAUGUUUUCAGUGAGAUAUAUUUGAAGGUUUUGUCCAUACAUGGUGCCUCAAGGAAAUUGGAUGGAAUCAAGGAUGAAGUCCAUAUAUAUGAAGAUAAUGCCUCAAGGAUAUUGGAUGGAAUCAAGGAUGAAGUCCAUAUCGAUGAAGUUAUAUUUGCUCUAAGCUUUGGUAUUAAAUGACAAUUCCUAUGGAGCAUCAAGUGCAUUGGAUCUUAUAUGAAGAUAUGUUCCAUAGUGAUGCUUGAAGUUCUUUGGGUUGUUAUGUGAAGAUUGCCAUCAAAGCAUCCGAAGAAGUCCUCAUGGUAUCCCUCUCUGGAUACCCCAUGCACACGGGCUUAUACCGUGCGCACGGGGUCGAGUGUCAACUCUCUGGAUACCCCGUGCUCACGGGGCCUAGGUGUUGGCUCUCGAGAUUCCAUAUCCAGCGAGGUUUCAAGUUGGUCUUCUGAGGAUCAAGGCUUGAGAGAAUAAUCAAAGAGAAGAAUUCGAGUUAUGGUUUCAAGACAAGAUCAUGGUGAGCUCAUGUGUUGGGUUUCGGUUGAUCAAGCCUUGAAGCAAGCAACUAGAGUGAAGAAUUCAUUAUGCCUCUCAAGACAAGAUCAUGUUGAUCAAGUCUUGAAGCAAGCAACUAGAGUGACGAAUUCAUUAUGCCUCUCAAGAGUUUGGGAUGGAGUUUUUAGAAGGGCAAGUGGUGACCAAGAUGAUAUUCAUAGUGGAACUUGAUAUGGUCAUGAAAGAGUCUUUGGUGAUAUUGUCUUAAAGCAAUGAAGUGAAAUUCAGAGUUCAUUGUGGCUUUCAAGAAACCAAGAUGGAGCUUGAGGUAAAGAUGUUGGUUGACCAAGAUGAAGCUCGAAGAGUAUAUCUAAGUGGUCAACUCACAAAGCACAAACAAUGUACCACGUGAGAUCAAGUGAUCUAGUGGUAUGGUAAGUAAUUGUGAAUUGUGCUUUGUUACCUAACCCAUGCUAUAUGUUUGUUAUGUCUAUGUGGGUUAGGUGUUUCUCAUAGGUUUGCAUCAAAAGGAAAGAUCUCAUGUAGCCUAUGUGUGGAUGACAUCAAGUGGUGAUGGUCAUCGGAUUCGAGGAGUCCAAGUGCAAGAUGAGAUGACAUCAAGUGGUGAUGGUCAUCGAGUUCGGGGAGUCUAGGUGCAAGAUGAGAAGCCGGAGGUUAUAUGCUUUGAAGCUUGUGGUCCACAUCAUGAUAAUGUGCAUGUGAAGAUGGGCUUGAGAUAAGGCUUCCCUCAUUGCAUCAUGAGGAAGCAAUUCGAGUAUCUUCACCAAGUGGUCGUGGACAAGAAAGGGAUUCCAACUUGAGGCAAGCAUUAAAGUCAUCAUCAAGCUCAAGUUGAAUGUGCAAGGCAAAGGUAUACCUUAGCUAGGUUUUCCUAGUUUUGCCGGUCUCAUAGUGCUUGGUGGGAGACCGGAUUAUAGGUUUGAUAGCCGUACUAUCAAGAGGGACUCUCGGGCAAGUAGCUUGAUCACGUCGCAUGUAGAGAGCUCAAACCUUUGCAUUACUUGCAUCAUUCUUUCUUGUUGAUCUUGGGUGGUUCUCUAUGUGAGGACCUUGGGCUUUUCCAUAGCUUCAAAAUGAUCCCAAGAUCAUCGAAUUCGGAGUCUGUAUGCCCAAGUUAUCGAUGUUUUAGUGGGCUGCUGCUGGCUGUCCUGGGGACCCCGUGUGCACAGGGUCUUUGACCCCCGUGCGCACGGGGUGUCCAGGAUUCUGGGUACUCCGUGCACACGGGCUCGUACCGUGCACACGGGGUCUCAACCCCCGUGCGCACGGGGUGCCCAGGAAAUGCCCGUUGGAGCCCCAACGGCUAGUUUCGGAGUUUGGCUAUUUAAGGGCCCUUUCCUCCCAUCGGUUGGGGGUUGGUUCACACACAUUCUAAACACCAUUUUGAGCCUCUCUCGACCUCUCCUAAACCCCUAUCUCCCCUCUAUGUGAAGGGGGAUUUGUGGAUGGAUUAGUGAGCCAUUUGUUGAUCAUAUCCAAAGCAUCCCCUCUCUUCAAUCUCCUACUUUCAAGAGUGCAUCUUAUGAGAUUGAGAGAGUGAGUUGAGCAUUUGUUGCUUGACCUUGCAUUGCAUUUGUUGCAUUGGUUUGAGCUCCCUGCGUCGAUUUGUUCGAGUGUGAGCCCGUGAGUUUAUUACUCUUGGAGGCCUCCGCCUCCUAGACGGUUUGGUGAUACAUUGAGAAGAUUGUGAAAGAGGCCUAUGUGGCCAAGGUUCCCCCGGAAGCUUCCUCUUGUGGUGUGCUCCGGGGAAGGGUGUUGAAGUGGCCUAGGUGGUCAAGUUCCUCCGGAAGCUUCCUUGUUUGUGGUGUGCUCAGGAGAAGUUUGUAAAGGUGUGGUGGUCGCCUUCAAGACCAACCCCGAGUGAAUCGAGGCUCAUCCGUUGGGGGUGACUCGAAAAGGAGAAUACGGUGAGUCACUUGGUGACGCCCCGGAGCUUUGGCUUCGGCACCGCUCUAACGGAGAUUAGCACUCUCACGAGUGUGAACUUCGGGAUAAAUCCACGUCUCCGACUCACUUGUGGUUAUCUCUUACCCACACCCUUUACUUACCGCAAUUCAUACUUGCUCAUAUUGAUAUAUCUUGUGCUAGUUGAAUUGUUUAGUUGUUCCUACAUUUCCAUAUCUUGUGAUAUAGUUUGUGCUUGCUAGUUUCCUUAAGUGCCUAUCUUGUUUUGCAUAGGUUGUUGGUGCACUUAGUUGAGCCUAGCAUAUUCAGGAUUUGUGCUUGAAAGGUAUCCGUUUAGUUUAAUUCCGCAUUAGGAUAAAGCCAAAUCCGUAACAGUUUUAAAACGCCUAUUCACCCCCCCUCUAGUCGUCAUCUAGAUCCUUUCACUAACCAUGCUAGCUGUGCUAUGCCAAUUGCCGCUAAUUCUUCUGCCCGCCCGUGAAAUCGUCUGGACAGGGCAUCUGCCACGUGAUUGCUCACUCCUACCUUGUACUGGAUCUGGAAGCGGAGCCCCGCCAACUUGGUGAACGCUCGCUGCUGAAUGGGUGUAUUGAGGCGUUGAUCUGUCAAAUUGAGCAGGCUACGUUGGUCCGUGCGAAUAAGAAAUUCAGAGUGUUGCAGGUAUGGUCGCAAGUGGUCCACAGCCAGCAGGAGCGCUAAUCGCGGGGAGCCAAGCUCUAGCUCAGGUAUGCGACCGGGUGGCCAGCCUGCAUCAACACCGCGCCGAUGCCCGUUGCGCUGGCAUCAAUUUCAACCACGAAUUGUUUCGAGAAGUCGGGAAAUGCGAGCACGGGUGCUGAGGUGAGUGCUUUCUUGAGAGCAUGAAAUGAGGCUUCUGCCGUCGGUGUCCACACAAGCACUGUGUUCUUUUUGAGCAAGUCAUUCAGGGGCCUGCUGAUGGGUCCAAAUUUUUUGACGAACUUCCUGUAGUAUCCCGCCAAUCCUAGGAAUCCUCGAAGUUGUUUGACGCUCGUGGGCUGCUCCCAGUCUUGUACAUUUUGGAUAUGCUCUGGUAGGGUGGCCACCCCUUGUCCACUGAUCUGGUGGCCUAGGUUGGUGAUUUGGUUCUGGGCAAAUGAACACUUAGAGCAUUUGGCUACUAGCUCGUUGUCCUUGAGCAAUUGAAGUACUUGCCGCAGCAGUUCUAGGUGUCUUUCCAGUGUGAUCGAAUGCACCAUGCUAUCAUCCAUGAAUACCAAAACUCCUUUGCGCAAGAGUGGCGCCAUCACUAUGUUCAUGCCCCCUUGGAAGGUGCUCGGGCCCCCUGUCACCCCAUAUGGAGGCACGCGGAACUGGAAGUGUCCUUGAUGAGUUUUAAAAGCAGUUUUCUCCUCAUCCUGCUCGUCCAACCUGAUUUGAUGGUAUCCCGCCCGUAAAUCAAGCUUCGAGAACCAGUAAGAACCUGCCAACUCAUCGAGGAGUUCGUCAAUGAUGGGCAAGGAGUAACAGUUCUUAACUGUGAUGGCAUUCAGAUGCCGGAAAUCCACACAGAAACGCCAUGUCUGAUCAUUCUUCUUGACCAACAGCACAGGGGAGGAAAAGGGGCUGGUGCUUGGUGCUAUUCGUCCUUGCCUCAACAUCUCUGCCACUUGUUUUUCGAUCUCGUUCUUCUGCUCCGGUGUGUAGCGAUACGGCCUAAUAUUGACCGGCUUAGUGCCUUCCAGAAGCUGUAUUCUGUGGUCCCAUGCUCUAUGCUUCGGCAGUGUGGUGGGUUCUGCAAAUACCAUCGUGAAUUCCUCCAAUAAUGCUUGCCCUGUAGGGUGCUCUGAGUUUUUGGAAUCACUGUCUGUCGUGGUGGAAAUACCAUAAAGUAGCACCAUAUGGGCAACCGCAUGCUGGUCUUCCAGUUCUUGUAAUUGGAGUGCCGAGAUCUGCGAUACAACCGCCAUCCGCGGUUGCACCCCCACCAGUUCCACCCACUGUCCAUUAUGUUGGAAUUGCAACAAUUUCUGUUCCCAAUCCACCCACAUCGGUCCACAGCUUUGGAGCCAGUCCAUGCGUACCACCAUAUCGUAGCAGCCGAGGUUCAACACCCUUAGAUCAGUUGUGAAAGUUUGCCCCUGUGUUUGCCACGAGCAUUUGGGAAUCAUACUGUUGCAAGUGAGCAGCCCCCCGUCUGCUAUCUUCACUAUCGAACUGGGUUUUUGCCUUACUUGAGAGGGCAUUGCGGCUGCCGCGGCAUCGCUGAUGAAGCUGUGUGAACUGCCCGAGUCGACGUGAAUCAACACUUCUUUGUCCUUGAUCCUGCCCACCAAUCGAACGGUAUGAGGUGUAGUCUGCCCAGUUGUAGCUAGCUUUGAAAUUGACAUUAGGACCUCGUCAUCUGAAUUUUCUGCGGGCUGUGCUUGGAAAUGAUCAUCGGCUUGCAGUAAGUCGAGCAACUCCUCGACCACAUGAAGUUGCACUGUGGCGGCGCAUUGAUGCCCUUGUCCCCAACGCUCCCCGCACUUGAAACAGAGGCCGCGGGCGCGUCGAUAGUUCUGGAGCGCAGCCACGCGAUCAUCUCCAGCCCUGGCGCGCUCGGGGGAUUCGCCGCCUCGAUUCCCCGUCGAUCCUCUGCAGCGCGAGCUGGUGGUGCUCCCAGCGUUACUAUUGGUCUUGCUACCACUCGGGGCGGUGGCGCCUCCUGCCGCCUGUACUCGCGCCGAGGCAGCGCUUCCAACAACUCUUCCUGCAUAGAAGCCAAGGAAAAUGCAGAGUCCAGGUCCUUUGGUUGAUGUAAAACGACACUAGCACGAAUUUCAUGUCGCAAUCCUUCUAAGAACUGUGUGGUGAAAAAUACUGAAUCAACAGAGGGGUUAUGCGCGAGUAACUGAUGCAUAAGUUCCUCAAACUGCAACAUAUACCGAUGGACUGUGCUACUCUGACGGAGCGUGCGAAACUGUCGCAAAUGGAACUGAUAUUGCUCCCUGCCAAAUUUCCCGCUCAACACCGCACACAACUCUUCCCAUGACAUUGAAGCACUCUGUGCUUUGUGCAAUUGCAGCCACCUUGCUGCAUUGCCGGAAAAAUGCAGAGUGGCCACUCUCACCCAUACUUCCGGCGGAACCCCAUACACUGAAAAGUAUUUCUCACAACGAAUCUUCCAGAUCUGUGGAUUCUCCCCAUCGAAGGACGGAAAAUCCAACUUUGGAAACGACCAACUAAGGGGAGUGGCGUGCGAGUUGCGCUGAUCGAAUUCGACCAGAUGCGAUGGUGUAGGUUAGAGAGCUGCUGAUUGGAAAUUGGUCAGGGACGUACCCUUGACUGGAGGUGGCACAUGGGUGGUGACCACGCCAUAUGCCGGCCCUCCGGUGUCAUCGAUCUCGCCGCGACCUCUUGGCCCGUGGUGCUCGGGGGCGUCGUGGCUCGAAGGCGCCUCCGGCCGCACCACCGCGUCGCCCUAUGGGAUCGGAUCCGGAGGCGUCGCCAGGGUCGGGUGGAGGGUGAUACGCCCCACUUGGGUACGCAGCUCAUGCACCUGCUGUUAGAGAUGGGACACCGCCGUUCUCCAGAGUUCCAACGACGUCUGGAUCGCGUCGAAUCGGGCCUCGCUAGCCGCCCUGCCGUCGUUGACUGACUUGAUGAGCGCGGCGAGCUGCUCCUCCAUCGCCGCCGUCUUGAGUGCUUGUUUGGUUUGGUAGCGGGGCUUGGGGUAUGCGGUCUCCAGAUCGACGGCUGGACCUCUGAUACCAGAUGUAACGUACCAGAUCUCAAGGUUAAUUGGGAGGAGGGGAAGGAAGCGCACAGAGGAGGAAGAAGGGGGGGUCUGGAUUAGGAGGAGGAGGUAGGUUCAGGAGAUCAGCUCCAUCAGGUCACAUUACAAUGCAUAACCCUCGCUCACGCACCCACUAGCCUAUAAGAAGCGCCCAAGCGACGCUAGCGGGUUCCAGCCAAUCACCGUCCAGCGCCUCGUCAUUUCCCUCGGUUCACGCCUUGCUGUCUUCCGCGGGUCCGUCCUUGCAGGUGCACGGGUCCGUCUGAGGCUGAGCCCCUUCACCGGGUAGCGCUGGUUGGUCAGGCCUAACAAGUACGCCGGCGCGGCUAACAACUGUGCCUACUGGCUGAACUCACAGUGAACAUGAUACUCCACCUUGGAAGAUCUAGAACAAAAUCUUACUUGUACUGUACUACUUUGGGUGCACUUAGAAGCAACUAAUUCUAGAAUUAGUACCCCGGAAUCAUUGUGUCAGAAACCACUAACCGGAAAUGACCAAAACAUGAGCCAUCGUACUUGACAGGUGCACUCGCUAGGCUCUCCCUGCAUUAUUCAUUCGCAUGUGCCUGUCAUUCUUGUGCAUUUGGGAAUUUCCGCGGCGGCCUCUUGGUUGGACCCCCUUUAUUUAUAUAUAUACUUCCAGGUUUGAACAGAUGUGAAAGGCACCAGGGAAUAAACGGUAUUGGAGAUGGGAUCUUCUUUUCUGCCGAUUUUAUAUGCAGCUCAUAAGUUUUUUUUGAUAAUUACUUCCCCACUUUAUUUAGACUAGUUCAGGUAGUUCAUUGUGACGCCCGGAUAAUUAAGCUACAGUAAACCUCUGUUAACGAUGCCACGUCACCAUGAUUACUGUUAUUAAUCUGGUGUUAGUCCAAAACCGAUUAUAAUUCAAAAUUCAAAAUCAAGCAAACAAUAAAAGUUUUCAAAUAUUAAAACUAAAAUGUUCAAUAAAUAGUAGAUAAAUCAGAGGCUAUGAUAAAAUCGUAAACAACAUUAUUGAAAUUUGAUAAGUGACUUAAACAACCUCAAACAGUGGAUGAAAACAUUAUUUAAUAACCUUUUAUUAAUGCAAAAAAAAUAUGAAAUGAUAUUUACCCCAAACUAGUUUUUGGUGGUAGGAUAUAUUGGGCUGUGAAUUGUGGGCCAGCUCUCAUAUUUUACAAAACUCAUUUGAUGCCCAAACAAUUAGCCAAAACAGAACAGAAAUAGAAUAAUAAUAAUAAAAGAAAAAAAGCAGAANNNNNNNNNNNNNNNNNNNNNNNNNNNNNNNNNNNNNNNNNNNNNNNNNNNNNNNNNNNNNNNNNNNNNNNNNNNNNNNNNNNNNNNNNNNNNNNNNNNNNNNNNNNNNNNNNNNNNNNNNNNNNNNNNNNNNNNNNNNNNNNNNNNNNNNNNNNNNNNNNNNNNNNNNNNNNNNNNNNNNNNNNNNNNNNNNNNNNNNNNNNNNNNNNNNNNNNNNNNNNNNNNNNNNNNNNNNNNNNNNNNNNNNNNNNNNNNNNNNNNNNNNNNNNNNNNNNNNNNNNNNNNNNNNNNNNNNNNNNNNNNNNNNNNNNNNNNNNNNNNNNNNNNNNNNNNNNNNNNNNNNNNNNNNNNNNNNNNNNNNNNNNNNNNNNNNNNNNNNNNNNNNNNNNNNNNNNNNNNNNNNNNNNNNNNNNNNNNNNNNNNNNNNNNNNNNNNNNNNNNNNNNNNNNNNNNNNNNNNNNNNNNNNNNNNNNNNNNNNNNNNNNNNNNNNNNNNNNNNNNNNNNNNNNNNNNNNNNNNNNNNNNNNNNNNNNNNNNNNNNNNNNNNNNNNNNNNNNNNNNNNNNNNNNNNNNNNNNNNNNNNNNNNNNNNNNNNNNNNNNNNNNNNNNNNNNNNNNNNNNNNNNNNNNNNNNNNNNNNNNNNNNNNNNNNNNNNNNNNNNNNNNNNNNNNNNNNNNNNNNNNNNNNNNNNNNNNNNNNNNNNNNNNNNNNNNNNNNNNNNNNNNNNNNNNNNNNNNNNNNNNNNNNNNNNNNNNNNNNNNNNNNNNNNNNNNNNNNNNNNNNNNNNNNNNNNNNNNNNNNNNNNNNNNNCGCCGUCGUGUCCUUUCCCCGCCGUGGCUCGCAUCCGCCCCGCUCGCCGCCCCUGCUUCACUCCCCGUCCGCCCUUACGCCGCGCCCGUCUCCAGCCGUCGCCGCCUCCUGCCACGACCCUCUAGUGCCAACCUCCACUCAGCCACGCCGGCCCCGAGCGCGACGGCCGCAUCCCGCUCGCCCGGCCUGGCCGCGCCUCCUACCUCCCACUUCCCGCCUAACCGUCUGCGCCGCCGCGACCUUGGGCCCGCCCACACGGGGGCCGCACGCGCUAGCCGCUGCCGGCUCCGGUCGCCGUGGCCCUGGGCCCCCCCUCCACGCCUGGUGCUGGCGCUCGUUGCCGACGCCUUCUCUGUGCAAGAGCGCACAGCCAGAGACGCUUGGCCGUGUGCCACUGGCCAAUCAGGCCCGUUCCCUGAAAAGGAAAAGAGACAAAAACAAGAGAGAGAAAAAGAUUUGGUAAAAAAAUAAUAAUAAAAAAUAAUAAAAAUAAAUUUAAUUAAUUAAUUAAGUUAAUUAAUCCUGUUUAAAUUAAUCUAAUUAAUUAGUUAAUUUAAUUAAACAGUAAUUAAUUAGCUAAACCCGAAUUAAACUAAGCAGUGUAUGACAUGCAGGACCCGCACGUCAGUUUGACCCAGUCAACGCCCUGUUGACUGCUGACGUCAUGCUGACGUCAGCAUGCACUGUUCUGGAUAAUGUUGUAUUAAAUUAAUUAAAUAAAUGCUAAAAUUAAUUUAAAUCUUUUAAAAUUCAUAUAAAAUAAACCGUAGCUCGGAUGAAAAUACUUUGUACAUGAAAGUUGCUGAGAACGAUGAGACGAAUCCAGAUACGUAGCCCGUUCGUCCGCCACGCGUCCCUAGCAUAGUGAACCUGUAACAUUUCACCUCCGGUUCAUCUGUCCGAAAACGCGAAACACCGGGAAUACCUUCUCGGAUGUUUCCCCCCUUCGUCGGUAUCACCUACUACCGCGUUAGGGCACACCUAGCACCGCGUAUUGUCAUGUCACGCUUUGUGAUGCUUUGAUUGCUUUGUUAUUUAUUGUGUUCCCCCUCCGUUACUUCUUUCCGGUAGACCCCGAGACUGCCGGUGACCCCAGUUCGACUACGGAGUUGACGACCCUUCCUUGCCAAAGCAACCAGGCAAGCCCCCCCCUUGAUCACCAGAUAUCGCCUAUUCCUUCUCUAUACUGCUUGCAUUAGAGUAGUGUAGCAUGUUACUGCUUUCGGUUAAUCCUAUACUGAUGCAUAGCCUGUCAUUGUUGCUACAGUUGUUACCCUUACCUGCUAUCCUACUGCUUAGUAUUGGAUGCUAGUGUUCCAUCAGUGGCCCUACACUCUUGUCCGUCUGCCAUGCUAUACUACUGGGCCGUGAUCACUUCGGGAGGUGAUCACGGGUAUAUGCUAUAUACUUUAUAUACAUGACACAUGUGGUGACUAAAGUCGGGUCGGCUCGUUGAGUACCCGCAAGUCAUUCUGAUGAGGGGGCUGAAAGGACAGGUGGCUCCAUCCCGGUAGAGGUGGGCCUGGGUUCCUGACGGCCCCCGACUGUUACUUUAUGGCGGAGCGACAGGGCAGGUUGAGACCACCUAGGAGAGAGGUGGGCCUGGCCCUGGUCGGCGUUCGCGGAUACUUAACACGCUUAACGAGAUCUUGGUAUUUGAUCCGAUUCUGGCCAUUUGGUCUAUACACACUAACCAACUACGCGGGAACAGUUAUAGGCACUCGACGUCGUGGUAUCAGCCGAAGCUCUUCUUGACGUCAGCGACGGAGCGGCGCACGCCGAAUUGGACUGGAACACCUGCUAGGCUAGGUCUGCUUCCGGCCGCGUACGCAAUGUGCAGGUGUGCAAUGGGCGAUGGGCCCAGACCCCUGCGCGCAUAGGAUUUAGACCGGCGUGUUGACCUCUCUGUUGAGCCUAGGUGGGGCUGCGACGUGUUGAUCUUCCGCGGCCGGGCAUGACUCAGAAAAGUGUGUCCGGCCAAACGGGAUCGAGCGUGUUGGGUUAUGUGGUGCACCCCUGCAGGGAAGUUUAUCUAUUCGAAUAGCCGUGUCCCUCGGUAAAAGGACGACCCGGAGUUGUACCUUGACCUUAUGACAACUAGAACCGGAUACUUAAUAAAAUACACCCUUCCAAGUGCCAGAUACAACCCGGUGAUCGCUCUCUAACAGGGCGACGAGGAGGGGAUCGCCGGGUAGGAUUAUGCUAUGCGAUGCUACUUGGUGAACUUACCAUCUACUCUCUUCUACAUGCUGCAAGAUGGAGGUGGCCAGAAGCGUAGUCUUCGACAGGAUUAGUUAUCCCCCUCUUAUUCUGGCAUUCUGCAGUUCAGUCCAUUGAUAUGGCCCUUUACACAUAUACCCAUGCAUAUGUAGUGCAGCUCCUUGCUUGCGAGUACUUUGGAUGAGUACUCCCGGUUGCUUUUCCCCCUCUUUUCUGCCUUUCCCUUCUACCUGGUUGUCGCAACCAGAUGCUGGAGUCCAGGAGCUAGAGAUCCCGAGGAUGAUUCUACAUGGAGUUCGUCUUCGAGGAGUAGUUAGGAGGUCCCAGGCAGGAGGCCUUGCCUUUUCGAUCGUUGCUACUUUUGUGCUAGCCUUCUUAAGGCAAACUUGUUUAACUUAUGUCUGUACUCAGAUAUUGUUGCUUCCGCUGACUCGUCUAUGAUCGAGCACUUGUAUUCGAGCCCUCGAGGCCCCUGGCUUGUAAUUACGAUGCUUGUAUGACUUAUUUAUGUUGUAGAGUUGUGUUGUGAUAUCUUCCCGUGAGACCCUGAUCUUGAUCGUACACAUUUGCGUGCAUGAUUAGUGUACGGUCAAAUUGGGGGCGUCACAAGUUGGUAUCAGAGCCAACUGCCUGUAGGAAUCCCCCUUUCCAACUCCUUGGCCGAAGUCGAGUCUAGACAUUGCAAAAACUUUUACUAACAUGGCUGUGUGUCUUACGGGCCCACGUCGCCAUUGGGUGGUAUUAGGAUCUUUUACUCCUUGUCUAUACUCUAGGACUCUGAUCUCUCUUCUAUUUGGGUUAAGUGAAUUUUGCUAAAUCUAACAUUCGGAUCUCGUUAUCACUUUCACCCGGAGAGCCCCUUAUUACUGAUGAUCGUCUGCUGCACGUGAAGACCCUGAAGAUACUCUCCGCUGAUAACCCGAGAACUUGUGUUCAUCGCUUUUGCAAUUCCCUUUCAUCGAUAAACUCCUAUGGAUAACCACGUAUACUCGCCAUUCAUACAAUGUUUCCCAGUUGAUCUUGUUAUUACAAGAUACCCCGAAAUUCUCUCUGUUGUUCCGAGAAUCCUUUGAGCUUACUACCUUGCUCUUCUUUGUCAACUGAAUACCCCUACAGAUAAUUCUCGCACUUACCGAGUAUCCGCUCAUCCCCGGUUGAUUCAAGUAUUUCACAAAAGUGUUCAAAAUACCAUUCGAUCUUCCGAAAAUCCUCAGGAGCCUUUUUGCUCUUGAAAUUCUUGCUUACUUGCAUUAUGAUUAAUCUUAAGUCUCGUAAUCUUAUUGGCAUCUCUUGUCAUUAUCAUUUUGAAUCCGUUGAUUCAGUUUGUUGCGAAUGCUCGCAAUCCUCAAUCAGAGCCUAGAAUUCAUCCUUCCGGCUCAGAUGUCAUAUUAAACAUGAGUUGGUUCUCGACCAAUCAAAUUGCCGUCGAUUGUACCCCAAAGGCUAUUCAACUUGUCCAUCCUUAAUCAGAGCGUUUGCUUGUGAUCCCUUGAUUUGGAAAUCAUAAUUCCUUUGCAAUUGAGCUCUGAGUUAGUCAGUUGUUUCUAUAAUUCAAUGUCUUUGCAUUGUUUCUUGCUCUGGUUUUGUGCUGAUACUCACAUCAGAUCCUUUAUGGACUACCAGAUCCUUUGUUGGAUUUUAUCCGACAAUGUCCUUCAUAUUCAAUAUCCUUGUGAGCCUUUCCACGGAUAUAUAAUGCCUUUGGUAAAUUGUAUCCUCUGCUUUUUCAACCAUGCUCUACUUUCGAGCCUGUGUUUAUUACUCCUGAAGGUUGUGUUAUAUGUCCCUACAAUACCCCGAUGGGUUGAACCUAUGCCUUCCUUGAUAUGUGUGAACUUGAAAUUUGCACGAGUCAUACUCUUCUGCUAUUUUGCCAGAUAAAAUUUCAACACUACAACUUCUUCGAAAAUGAGAAGUGAAUGGAAGGUUAUACAUUGAAGAAGUGGGAGUCGACCUUGAACUUUGUGUUCAUGCCCAUGGACACGAUGUAGAUCCUACCGUAGAAGCUUCUUGUAAUAUUAACUGUUUCGUUGAUAUAAUAUCAUCUCGUAUCUAUGAAUUGAUCCUUUGCAAUCGUGGUUCCGACCAUAUUUUCUCCUUGAAUUCCAUUUCUCAAGCAAGUGGAAACACUUGUCUUCUCCAGAUCAAUACAUCUUCGCAACCUCUACGUCGAUCUUCCUUCGAGUAAUACCCUCCAGUACCUCGAGAAUAUCAAAGAAUUGUGUUGCUUCCUAUGAGUCUUCAUCUAGUAUUGCUUCUCACCGAUUUCAGAAUUCCCCUGGGUUCUGAGUUAUUUCACUCGAGAACACCGAUAAGUGAAUCGAUUCCACACUUUGAUUAGAUAACUCUAAGUAAUUUUUGUUGCUUAUGAAUUUAAUAAUCCUUCAAGCCAUUCCUAGCCUGAUCGGCUAUAUCCUUAUCGUGCAAACUUUUUACUGUGCUACAUGGUCCUUCUCGGAGCACAAUUUUCGACGAUGAGCUAAGCUUAUGUUGAUUUUCCUCAUCAUAUCAUUUCUCCUUGAACAACUAGCUUGAUUCCGAGUUUGUGUCAUAUCCGUGGUUUUUCAAUAACUUUUCGCUCCAUCCUUUCUUUUGCUUGAUGUUGUCGAUGAGCGAUUAUAUCUUUAUGAAACCUCUCGACAAAUGUGUCAUGAUCAUCAUCAACAUUCCGAGCUCUUCAAGGAUAUCGAUCGAAUCCAUGUUGAGAAAUACCAUCCUUGCCCCUCGAUGAAUUGUGUUAUCAUCGACAACAUUCUUGCCCCCCCCCCCAACACAAACUUCUUCAUGUUUUGUGUUAUACCUCGAGAUCCUUGCUAUCCAACAUUUGUUCCUCUGUACUUUGGAGUAUUACCCUCUUUUAUAUCAAGAAUGUCCUGAGAAUUUCACCACCUCUUGAGAAUUCUCGAUAUAAGUGAUACUUCACCAUCACCAUUCCUUUCUUGGUCCCCGUGUUGUUCCUAACAGGAAUACCGACAGAUGGACUAGUAAUUUUAAAACUGCUAGCAACCUUAUUGCUUUGAAGUUAAUGGUCAACAUUUCAAUCUUAGACCAUGGGUUAUCGAAUCGCCAUUCUAACAUUGUUUGUGCUACCUAAGUCCGUAUUUCGGGUGCACCGUCAACCAAUGUUUAAUCGUGUAUGUUUCCUCGAGCAUACCUCAUUAUAUCAUUUGAACUGACAAAAGCUAUCUCCUUGUUCACAUAAUUGUGGAAAUCCAUCUUCUGGAAAUCUCGAUGAAUUGUCGCUGAGUCCAUCAGCCACCUCCUAACCCUCCCCUUGAAUUAAUGAUGAACUUUUGUUUCAGAACUAGCUUCCAUGGUUCAUUUCCCGAGAAAUCUUACGAUGUCUUAUCGUCAAUUUGUGUCGCACCUUUUUCUUCUCAGGCAUCCUAAGUCUGAGGUAUCGUGACACCAAUCAGAUCUGAAUCUCGGUCAGAUAUGAUGGUUGGAACAUAUUUCCAAGAGUUAUAACAUUGGUCUCUACAUAACCCGGUAAGGUGGUGUCUUUGCUUAGCACCCCUAGCCAGAGGACCUUUUGUUAUAAUUUCCUUUUUAGCAAGGUUAACUAUUCUUCCAUGAGGAAAUUGUAAGACUUACUCUAUAAGUUGUUCCUGAUGGAUCCUUUGUGUAUCCAUGGACUGAUCUUACCUAUUGACCAUGUCAAUGCUAUCUCGAAGCAUGUCUAUGAUACUCUGAUUUUCAACAGGAACAUUUGAAUCCCAAAGCUAAUUGUUUCCUACUCAAUUAUCCAAACACCGUUGUAUGGGUAAUGUUGAGGAUAUAGACCUUAGAGUCACCCGCCAGGAGGGGCCGGGUUACUCAUAUGGUCAUUGCCAGAAGCCCGGCGCCAAGCUUAAAGACGGUGGGCCAAAGAUGGGUUUAAGACCCGGAUAUGGCUUAAGGCCUGUAGUUACAAUCAUUAUUAUGGUAGAACUUGUAGUGUAAGGCAAGAAUAGUUGAGAGUCCGAGCCGGACACUCUUAUGAGCCGGCCGGGACUCUGAGAGCUGCAGGGCGUCAGCCUCCCUAUAUAAAGGGACGACCCGGCAGCAGUUUGACGGCGACAACAAUCUCAUCGAGAGCCGGGCAUAGAAGUUUAGCUCCCUGGUCAUCGAAACCCUAAUCAACACCACCUCAACUGGACGUAGGCUUUUACCUUCAUCAUAAGGGGCCGAACCAGUAUAACCUUCGUGUUCCUUGUCCCGUUUAACCCCUUCAAGCUUCCUAGCUGCGAUGGCUCCACGACUAAGUCCUAGCUCAAGGACAUCUGCCGUGAUAACUCCACGACAGGUAAUGUCAUGAAAUUUCUCUCCCCUACCUAAAGAGUUUUCUACCUUAUAUCCUGUCAUGGAUACCAUGCUCAGCUUGUCCUUGGGAAGGAUAUACCCUUGAAAUAUGUGUUUAAACACAUUUUCCUUUCCAUUGUUCUGUUUAAUCUGAUGAUCACCCUUUUCCUUUCCAUUAUUUUAUUUAAUCUUUCUUGUGGUCUAUAUGAUCUAAGCAGUAAUAAUUCACUGCUUAUGUAAACACCUCGAUGUACUACUCUGUCAAUAAGACCCUGUUACUACUGUUGAUGACAUUCCGGUAGCCACCGAUGGACGAGAACCUUGCCUAUUGGUCCGCCUCGUUCAACGAGCAGGAAAAUGGUUCUCUUCGUCCCUCGCCCUUGGUACCGAUAUUGUCGCCAACAUAAUUGGCAGGCUAUCCUCUGACAUGCCUUGCUUACAUGAUCAUGCAAGAUGUCAGCACCCUUUCUAGUUUAACCCACAAGGUGGGCCCAUAACCCACAGUUCCACAGGAUCGAAACCUGACUCUCCUGUACACCCCUAUUUUGAAAGUUGUCCCUUACGCUUGGCUUCGUAUGCAAUUCAUGAGCCACCUUCCUAGUGAUCUGUUCUGGUGUCAGAUGCAAUACUUAAUCUCGAUGCUCUGAACCCCUUUCACACACUUUUUCAGACAUCGAACGAUUGCCUAUCCGCUUGGAACUUCUUAUUGCACCUUCUUACCUUGCUCUCGAUGACUUUCUUGAAUUUCAACUCGAGAGAUGCAUCUACGCCUCGUUCACUGAGAUAGCCCCCAGGUACCUAGCAUGUGUUGAGCUUCGUCCUUCCCGAGUCUUCCCCCUUAACCUUUUCCGUAAGUACGAUGGUGGCCCUGAAGAAAGGAUGCCGGCUUCAUCACGAUGACUUCAAGCAGAGAAAUGAAGACAUCGACAUAGUGGAUCGACCUCUUCGAGAUGAGCAACCAAGACCGAGGAGAAUCAUUAGAAUUUCGUAACCUAGUCUUUCCCCCUUACCCCACCGCUUAAAUCUCGGGACGAGAUUUCUUGUAGUGGAGGAGAAUUGUGACGCCCGGAUAAUUAAGCUACAGUAAACCUCUGUUAACGAUGCCACGUCACCAUGAUUACUGUUAUUAAUCUGGUGUUAGUCCGAAACCGAUUAUAAUUCAAAAUUCAAAAUCAAGCAAACAAUAAAAGUUUUCAAAUAUUAAAACUAAAAUGUUCAAUAAAUAGUAGAUAAAUUAGAGGCUAUGAUAAAAUUGUAAACAACAUUAUUGAAAUUUGAUAAGUGACUUAAACAACCUCAAACAGUGGAUGAAAACAUUAUUUAAUAACCUUUUAUUAAUACAAAAGAAACAUGAAAUGAUAUUUACCCCAAACUAGUUUUUGGUGGUAGGAUAUAUUGGGCUGUGAAUUGUGGGUCGGCUCUCAUAUUUUACAAAACUCAUUUGAUGCCCAAACAAUUAGCCAAAACAGAAAAGAAAUAGAAUAAUAAUAAUAAAAGAAAAAAAAGCAGAAGANNNNNNNNNNNNNNNNNNNNNNNNNNNNNNNNNNNNNNNNNNNNNNNNNNNNNNNNNNNNNNNNNNNNNNNNNNNNNNNNNNNNNNNNNNNNNNNNNNNNNNNNNNNNNNNNNNNNNNNNNNNNNNNNNNNNNNNNNNNNNNNNNNNNNNNNNNNNNNNNNNNNNNNNNNNNNNNNNNNNNNNNNNNNNNNNNNNNNNNNNNNNNNNNNNNNNNNNNNNNNNNNNNNNNNNNNNNNNNNNNNNNNNNNNNNNNNNNNNNNNNNNNNNNNNNNNNNNNNNNNNNNNNNNNNNNNNNNNNNNNNNNNNNNNNNNNNNNNNNNNNNNNNNNNNNNNNNNNNNNNNNNNNNNNNNNNNNNNNNNNNNNNNNNNNNNNNNNNNNNNNNNNNNNNNNNNNNNNNNNNNNNNNNNNNNNNNNNNNNNNNNNNNNNNNNNNNNNNNNNNNNNNNNNNNNNNNNNNNNNNNNNNNNNNNNNNNNNNNNNNNNNNNNNNNNNNNNNNNNNNNNNNNNNNNNNNNNNNNNNNNNNNNNNNNNNNNNNNNNNNNNNNNNNNNNNNNNNNNNNNNNNNNNNNNNNNNNNNNNNNNNNNNNNNNNNNNNNNNNNNNNNNNNNNNNNNNNNNNNNNNCCUGCUCCGCUGCUGCGGCCUCACCGGCCGCGUGCCCCCCACCGCGCGACCACGCUCACCCCGCCUCGGCCGCGCCCGUGGCUGCGUCCAGCGGCGCCGUGGCCUCGCCGUCGUGUCCUUUCCCCGCCGUGGCUCGCAUCCGUCCCGCUCGCCGCCCCUGCUUCACUCCCCGUCCGCCCUUACGCCGCGCCCGUCUCCAGCCGUCGCCGCCUCCUGCCACGACCCUCUAGUGCCCCCCUCCACUCAGCCAUGCCGGCCCCGAGCGCGACGGCUGCAUCCCGCUCGCCCGGCCUGGCCGCGCCUCCUACUUCCCACUUCCCGCCUAACCGUCUGCACCGCCGCGACCUUGGGCUCGCCCACACGGGGGCCGCACGCGCUAGCCGCUGCCGGCUCCGGUCGCCGUGGCCCUGCCCCCCCCCUCCGCGCCUGGUGCUGGCGCUCGUCGCCGACGCCUUCUCUGUGCAAGAGCGCACAGCGAGAGACACUUGGCCGUGUGCCACUGGCCAAUGGGGCCCGUUCCCUGAAAAGGAAAAGAGACAAAAACAAAAGAGAAAGAAAAAGAUUUGGUAAAAAAAUAAAAAUAAAAAUAAUAAAAAAUUUAAUUAAUUUAUUAAUUAACUAUAUUAAUCUUGUUUAAAUUAAUCUAAUUAAUUAGUUAAUUUAAUUAAACAGUUAUUAAUUAGCUAAACCCGAAUUAAACUAAGCAGUGUAUGACAUGCGGGACCCGCACGUCAGUUUGACCCAGUCAACGCCCUGUUGACUGCUGACGUCAUGCUGACGUCAGCAUGCACUGUUCUGGAUAAUGUUGUAUUAAAUUAAUUAAAUAAAUGCUAAAAUUAAUUUAAAUCUUUUAAAAUUCAUAUAAAAUAAACCGUAGCUCGAAUGAAAAUACUUUGUACAUGAAAGUUGCUGAGAACGACGAGACGAAUUCAGAUACGCAGCCCGUUCGUCCGCCACGCGUCCCUAGCAUAGUGAACCUGUAACAUUUCACCUUCGGUUCAUCUGUCGAAAACGCGAAACACCGGGAAUACCUUCCCGGAUGUUUCCCCCCUUCAUCGGUAUCACCUACUACCGCGUUAGGGCACACCUAGCACCGCGUAUUGUCAUGUCACGCUUUGUGAUUGAUUGCUUUGUUAUUUAUUGUGUUCCCCCUCCGUUACUUCUUUCCGGUAGACCCCGAGACUGCCGGUGACCCCAGUUCGACUAUGGAGUUGACGACCCUUCCUUGCCAAAGCAACCAAGCAAGCCCCCCCCUUGAUCACCAGAUAUCGCCUAUUCCUUCUCUAUACUGCUUGCAUUAGAGUACUGUAGCAUGUUACUGCUUACGGUUAAUCCUAUACUGAUGCAUAGCCUGUCAUUGUUGCUACAGUUGUUACCCUUACCUGCUAUCCCACUGCUUAGUAUAGGAUGCUAGUGUUCCAUCAGUGGCCCUACACUCUUGUCCGUCUGCCAUGCUAUACUACUGGGCCGUGAUCACUUCGGGAGGUGAUCACGGGUAUAUGCUAUAUACUUUAUAUACAUGACACAUGUGGUGACUAAAGUCGGGUCGGCUCGUUGAGUACCCGCAAGUGAUUCUAAUGAGGGGGCUGAACGGACAGGUGGCUCCAUCCCGGUAGAGGUGGGCCUGGGUUCCUGACGGCCCCCGACUGUUACUUUAUGGCGGAGCGACAGGGCAGGUUGAGACCACCUAGGAGAGAGGUGGGCCUGGCCCUGGUCGGCGUUCGCGGAUACUUAACACGCUUAACGAGAUCUUGGUAUUUGAUCUGAGUCUGGCCAUUUGGUCUAUACGCACUAACCAACUACGCGGGAACAGUUAUGGGCACUCGACGUCGUGGUAUCAGCCGAAGCUCUUCUUGACGUCAGCGACGGAGCGGCGCGCGCCGGAUUGGACUGGAACGCCUGCUAGGCUAGGUCUGCUUCCGGCCGCGUACGCAACGUGCAGGUGUGCAAUGGGCGAUGGGCCCAGACCCCUGCGCGCAUAGGAUUUAGACCGGCGUGUUGACCUCUCUGUUGAGCCUAGGUUGGGCUGCGACGUGUUGAUCUUCCGCGGCUGGGCAUGACUCAGAAAAGUGUGUCCGGCCAAACGGGAUCGAGCGUGUUGGGUUAUGUGGUGCACCCCUGCAGGGAAGUUUAUCUAUUCGAAUAGCCGUGUCCCUCGGUAAAAGGACGACCCGGAGUUGUACCUUGACCUUAUGACAACUAGAACCGGAUACUUAAUAAAAUACACCCUUCCAAGUGCCAGAUACAACCCGGUGAUCGCUCUCUAACAGGGCGACGAGGAGGGGAUCGCCGGGUAGGAUUAUGCUAUGCGAUGCUACUUGGUGAACUUACCAUCUACUCUCUUCUACAUGCUGCAAGAUGGAGGUGGCCAGAAGCGUAGUCUUCGACAGGAUUAGUUAUCCCCCUCUUAUUCUGCCAUUCUGCAGUUCAGUCCACUGAUAUGGCCCUUUACACAUAUACCCAUGCAUAUGUAGUGCAGCUCCUUGUUUGCGAGUACUUUGGAUGAGUACUCACGGUUGCUUUUCCCCCUCUUUUCCGCCUUUCCCUUCUACCUGGUUGUCGCAACCAGAUGCUGGAGUCCAGGAGCUAGAGAUCCCGAGGAUGAUUCUACAUGGAGUUCGGCUUGGAGGAGUAGUUAGGAGGUCCCAGGCAGGAGGCCUUGCCUUUUCGAUCGUUUCUACUUUUGUGCUAGCCUUCUUAAGGCAAACUUGUUUAACUUUUGUCUGUACUCAGAUAUUGUUGCCUCCGCUGAUUCGACUAUGAUCGAGCACUUGUAUUCGAGCCCUCGAGGCCCCUGGCUUGUAAUUAUGAUGCUUGUAUGACUUAUUUAUGUUGUAGAGUUGUGUUGUGAUAUCUUCCCGUGAGACCAUGAUCUUGAUCGUACACAUUUGCGUACAUGAUUAGUGUACGGUCAAAUCGGGGGCGUCACAUUCAUAUGAUACAAUACUGAGGAUACAAUCUGGGGGAGCUAAAUCCCACGAAACCGAAACAGUAUUACAUAAACCAAACCGAGCUAAUUCAUGGGCCGCCUUAUUCGCGCUCCUCCGGACCCAUGUAGCCUUGAAAUCUCCCAAAUUCCUCGCCAUCGUCUUGAUCUCUUAUACAAUAAUGCCCACCGUCGACAGGUUUCUUUCUUUCUUAUUCAGCAUCCUAGCCACCACCAGGCAGUUAGUUUCCACAUGCAGUUUUGGGAUGUCUUGCUGUAGCGCCAUUUGCACCGCUGUUCUGCAUGCCAACAACUCAGUGGUCUCUGCCUGCGAAAUCCCAGGAAGGAAAACAGAUGCCGCACCUCUAAAUACGCCCAACUCGUCCCUGAAAACAACACCCGCACCUCCGUCCUGUCCCGACCGAGAAGUAGCCCCGUCGACGUUUGCUUUAAGCCCGCCAGUCGCCGGUGGUUCCCAUAUCGCAUGUUGAGUUGUUCUUGAUGAAGUUUAUUCGCGAGCACGCACCCUCUUCCAUUCGUCCAUCAACGCUGCAACCCGCCUCGCCACCGAGUCCGCCUCUUCAAUGCGUUUUCCAUCCCUUGUGUCAUUCCUUGCCAUCCACAGGGCGUAUAGACCUUGGAUCAUCGCAGCCUUGUCAUCAUCGGAUGCCUCGGACAUCCACUGGAGCAGCCACGAUGCAAGCUAGCUCUGGGUGCAGAACAACCGAGGUGGGGUCGCCACCCUCGCACCCAAUACCGAACUCAACUCUUUCCAGAAGCACAUGGAAUGAUAGCAGCCCCAAAACCUGUAAUGCACCAUUUCUUCGCGCCCGCACGCCGGACAGAAAACACCUGGUUUGAUUUUCCUCCGGAGUAGCUCAGAACCCACCGCUAGGCUGUUCCUAAUCAGCCGCCAUAUGUGAAUGAGUGCCUUGCCCGGUGCAUUUGUACUCCACAGCGCCAGCCAGCCUCGAUGUGUUGCUACCGAAGAGGACGAGCCGGGCUGUCCCGAUCUCGUCCGCUUCUUUUCCAUACCCAGGUGGUAUGCUGACUUGACCGAAAAAUGACUGUUCUUUGUAAAGUUCCAAGCAAGUGUAUCUUCUGUUCCCGCACCCCCAACACAAAUUUGCAGAAUAUCAUGAACGUCUCCCUCUGAGAACAUCGCCUCCAGCUUGGGGCGAUCCCAUCCCGAAGCAUCUGCGUUGAGGAGAUCGCUCACUCGCGUGAUUCCUGGCACAAAAACUUGGCCCAGCGGCCGAAGGCUACCUUUGCGUGGUAUCUAGCUAUCAUGAUGUAUGUGAAUACUCGAGCCGUCCCCCACUCUCCAUAUAAGUCCCUCAAGCAACAAGUCCCUGCCAAACAAAAUGCUUUUGAAGGUGUAGGAAGCACCACUCGGACAUGUUGCAUUGAGGAUAGUCCCAUCAGCAAAAUAGCAUGCCUUGAGGACUCGUGCACACAGCGAAGAGGGGACAAGCAUAAUUCUCCACGCUUGCUUUCCAGUAACGCUUGAUUAAAAACCUCCAUAUCCCGAAAACCCAUGCCACCUUCACGUUUGCUCGCACACAUUUCCUGCCAAGCGAUCCAGUGUACCUUUUUUUCACCGUUAGCUUCACCCCAUCAAAAGUUAGAAGAGAUAGAUGUCAGGUUCCCGCACAAUUUCUUGGUGAGUUGGAAGCAACUCAUGGUGAAAGUUGGGGUAGACUGGAGCCCCGAUUUAACCAGCACCUCACGAGCUUUCUUGGAUAAACCUUGGCCCUUCCAUCCCGUGACCUUUCCCUUAACAUUCUCCCUAGCAUAUUUGAAAGUACCUUCUUUGGACUUGCCCACUGCGGUAGGCAGACCCAAAUAUUUCUCACUCAGUGCUUCCGAAUUGAUUCCGAUGGCCGCCUUGAGCUGCUCUUUGCUCUCCUCGUACUCCCCUUCCCAAAAAAUAUGGCCGACUUUUGCAGUACUAGUAUAUGUGUAGCAUAUGGCGUGUCAACACGACCACAGCUCAGAUCUCCCGUUUUAAUUUCCGCAGGAUGUACGUACUUGUUGGCGAGUCAACCACAUUACCGUACCAAUAGGCGAGGCAGCAUUCACUCUCCAAAGACUUGAAUGCAAACCGGCACAUGGGCGCCGGCGAUCUCCAAGCUCCUCCUCCGGUCCGAGUCCAAGAAGAAAGGACACCGCCUAGCUAGCUGGGAUUUACUCUAUGACGAGCUGUGAGCCGACGGGGGGUUGACGACGACCUGCGUCGCGCUGCAUGCAUGCAUGCAUAGAGCUUGAGUGGCAUAAAGAGCAGGGGCAGGGCAAGCCAUGUGCACGCAGAGGAGGGAGGCAGGGUGUGAAGGCCACGGACGUUGCCUGCCCCGACCGGCGAGCGACGACCGAGAAAGGCAGAGGCGACGACCGCGACGCUCGCCCUCGACCGGACCCGGACAACCGUUGCCAUCAACCGCGCGGAUGCGCCACCGCGUGGCGUCGCCGCGGCACACGUAGUCACGUAGUUCGAUCGGCCGUGCGCUCUGGCUGGCGCCUGCCGCUGCCAGGCACGGCAUGAAUUCCUCCUAGCCUCAUCUUGUUCACGUGAACAGUGAACCAGCAGGCAGCAACGAAGAGAUUUUAUUUGCUGGUGGGUGUGAUGGGGGAGCAGAAGGGCAGCGACGAGUGGGCGAUGGAUUCUGCUGCUGCGAUCGAUCGAGAAACGGAGAGUGUAGCACGGGCAGGCAACACAGGCUGGACGGUUCGCGAGCUAUCCCUGGUGUCGCCGGAAAAGGCAUUUUUUCGUAUUUUUGCUACCAGGCUCCAGGUAGCAUUUUACUUUUUUUGUUUUUUUGCGGGGUAGCAUUUUACUUAUUUUCAUGAAAAACUUUAUUUUUUACAUUUAAAAAAUUACAGGGAAAAUAUGUGCAUAUGCGUAUACAUGUAUAGUAUCUAUGCAUGAAUUUUCGUCAAAAAGGAUAAUUUCAUAUGAGUGCACACAAAGAGACAUAUACACCUAUCUGAAGGAGCUUAUAUUUUUUCCGUGUGAAAGAUUAUCCUUUCAUUUACCAGAAAAAGAGGAAGAAUUAGUAGGGGAUUUCUGAACAAAGAGAGAGAAUGAAUCUCCUUAUUUAUAGGGAACAGGACGUGUGACUUCCUCAAAUGAAACGAAUAUGGCUUUCGUGAUAAGGCAAAAAAAAUGGGGCUUAUAUAUUCUUUUCUAUUUAGACCAAUAUUUGACUUUAUGUGUAGCCUACAAAUGAUUAAAUUACUACAUGGAACUUGACAGGUAUGUGAAAAUAAGUAUUUGUAUUAACCGGAAAUUUUUAUUUUUUAAAACUUUAAAAUAGUUUUCCCAAGCAACACAGGCACACAGCUGCCAAACUUCUUAGGGCAUGUACAAUGGUUGAUAAAGGUAGUCUUAUCUUAAGUCUUGCAUGUAAUUUAGAGAUGACAAAAUAUUUUGUCUACAAUGGGUUAUCUCUUAGCCUUAUCUUCAAUAACUAGUCAUUCCUAAAAACAUGGUGAGACAUAUUGUGCUAAGAGAUCAUCUCUUGUCUUUUCUUAAAUAAGAGAAGACAACUCUUUUCUUAUAAGUUCUCUCUCCUCCACCUCAUCACUUAUCCUAUGUGGCACUGAUAAGAUAGCAUCAUUGUACAUAACCUUACUCAUGGAAUCCACUGAAGCGUCAGAUCGGUGGUCCCUGCCGAAAACAAAGGAUUAGAUCGGUGGGCGCACUCCCACGUUAAUUUUUUUAAGCAAUGAUAUUCUUACGUAAGGAUUCUACAAACAUAAGAUUACAUACUAGUUCAUUUUAUGCCAGUUGGAUAAAAUCAUGGAAGCGGUUAUAGAUGGGAACACACUUGUACGUAGAGAUUUUGUACAAACUUUACGUAACAAUAGCAUUUUCGAUUUUUUUUCAAAAAAUAGUUUCUUAGAAAUAUAUUUAAGAAAUCAGAUAUCAAAUAGAUAAUUAAAUAUAUUUGAAGAUAUUUGUCUUUUAUUUUCAAAUAUUUUUCUUGUAUUUAUAAUGGUCGUUCUGUAUUUUCUAUUUCAUUUUUUCUAAUUAAUCAAAACGUUAUAUCAUCUAUUUAUAAAAUGCAUGUACAUUUUUCUUGAAAUGGUCAUCCGGCACUACUAGGAAAAGGCUAAUUAGUGGCACACAUGUUUUGGCCAUUAAUGGCGCACUACAGGUGCGCCACUAUCAUCACGCCAUUAGUAACUAAUACUAAUGCCGCACCCCUGGUGCGCCAUUAGUAUACCAGACAGUAGUGGCGCAUCAGGGAGUGCGCCAUUAGUAUGUCAAACGGUGCGCCAUUACUAUGCCUCCCAGUGGGCCAUAUUUACCUUGUGCUCUGGGUUACUAAUGGCGCACUACUACAUAGUGCGCCACUAGUGUGUUUAUUGCAGUGCGCCACUAAAGUUCUGUGUGGUGCGCCACUAGUAUGAAUAUUAGGAAUUUUUUUCUUUUCUGAUAUUUGCACAGGUUACAAAAUAUAUUACUGCACAAAAUAUAGACAGCACAACAUAUAAACAGCAGAUUUAUCGAAUACAAUAGAAGAUUAGUCUCCGAAUACAAUUCAUCAUAUUAGUCUCCGAAUUCAAAAGACCGAACAAAGUUAGAACAUUACAAGUCUCGAGACCGCGAGUAGCGAGUUUGUCUUCACAUUACAAGUCGAUAUCGAUCAUCUAAACUACCAUCACAUAGAAGAGAGCUGCGGUCAUCACGAUUAGCAUCAUCGCGAUGAAACUGGUCUUCAUCCGGUUCCUCCUCCGAUCCCUCCUCUCUCCCGCUAGAUAGCGCGCGUAUCUAGCUUCCGCCUCCGCCCUAGUGGUGUACCCUUUGUAAGUGUUACCGCUGAAACGGUGAACCUGUCUCCGACACUCCUCCCAGUCGUCGUAGACUCCGAGAACCUUACCUUUGUACACGACAUACGACGGCAUCUCUAUGCACUAGCCAAACAAAACGUUAGUAGCAAUUCACAGACAAUACAUAAGCAAUAUAUAAGUAUGCAACGAAAGGAUCGGAAGAGAAAAGCAAGACAUUAAUAGCACGAUUCAUGGUCCUACUAAUAAAUAGCAUCGAUUACAUAUAAGUUGAGCGACUGUCCAAACCAAAGAGACAUACAAAUUCAUUAAAGUUUAAUUACAACAUGAGCUAAUCGAUAUUUCAGAACUACAUAGCAUCACUACUUUCAACUCGACUCAGGGACCGGAGCGUGGAUGAAGCCGCCGUCUGUCGUGAUGGUCAUGAAAUCGCGGGCGUUGUCAGCCUGCAUUUGUAGCGUUGUUUCUAUCUCACUGUUGGACGGUUGAUAUCUGAGGUAGAACUGCCCCGAGGUACGAAGGACAUCUUGAUGGAUGAUUUCCGCAAACUCCGACUAGAUGCGAAAGAAUUCUUGUCUGAUGUCCGCGUCCUGGAUUGCCGACAAGCGUACGGCCCAAUCUUUGAGAUUAUUUGGUAGCAGAAGGUGAUUAUGGUCCCGUACGAUCGCCCACAUGUGAUGGAGGGCGUAGUAGGCAUCCUUCUGACCGCCAGGCGGCUGCUUGACGCAGGGGAACGUCGUAUUGUGGGUGAACACGUGCUUGCCGUACCUACAAACUGGCCUGCUGAAGGUGCCUCCAGAUCUGGCGUAGCCGGGGAGAACAUCAUCAAGAACUUUCUUGAUAUUUGUGUAGUCUUUCUUCGACUGACGGUCCGAGUCGAAAUACGUGGCCAUGGAAUAUUUCGGGCUUAAGAGGAUGAGUGUGCAAUGUGUGUCACUACACAAAACACGGAAUGUUAGAAAAAAAAGAACGAUCGAAAUCUAAGAAAUCAUAUGUUAUGGGGCGGUGAGGGGAUGACUUACUCGGGAAAGUAAGGCACGAGGAAGUUAUUCUUAUCUGGGUUUGCCAGAAUGACGCCUUCGAGGUAUGAACUCGCGACUUGCCGGUCCCCAGCGCUGCCCAAGAUCUUGGCACGCAUGUAGAAGGGGUCGACUAUCACGAUGUCCGGGGUCUUGUCUCUAAUGAUCCGCAUCUCCAUACUCAGCGAAAAUAGCCGAACAAAGGUGUAGUGCAGCGGAUGAAAGUUAAAUAUAGCGAAGACGUCAUCAAACCGCAGGACGAUCGUACCCCCGAUGGCGCUAUCCACAAAGCCCUUGCCCUCUGGCACCUUGGCCACGAAAACCGGGUAUGCCCCAUCAUUCUCGGAGAGACGCUGCUUCUCCAAAGAAAGAACACUGUCAUGCAGACUCCGCAUAGCACCGGUUGCAGCAUUGAGCAGAUUAGUCGGUAGCAUCGGCCUACCCACCACAUGCACCCUCCUCGAGAUAUCCUUAGGUGAAGGUGGCCCGUCCUGAGCACGGAUCGUACUCGGUGCCGGCUGGCUCGCACCCUUGUUAGUCUUUCUUUUCCGUCCCUUCUUCUUCUACUGUAAUGGGAUCGAGUUCUGCUCAGAGACCGCCUUCUUGAGUGUGUUCGGGCUGAUAAUAUUUCGCACCUCGGCUAUCUGAGGCUCGGUGAAGGCAGCAGCUGGAGGCGUCUCCUGAGAACUGAACGCCAGACGACGCCUGUUGCAAUUGGGUUUCUCCGCGGUACCAGCUAGAUCGUCUUUUGCAGGGUUGGGUUCUUGAGAAGGAGGCCCCAAGAAUUCGUCACCGUACCCAUGUUCGUUGAAGUACUUCUCGACGUUGGUAUAUGUACCGUCGUCGUUGUCCGGAUCCUGUGCCAUAUGCUUGUCCGGAUCCUGUGCGAUAUGCAUGUCCAGCAUGUCCGGUAGUGUUGCGGGGGUCUUGCCAUGGCUUGGCGCCGGCACGACUGGCGGUGUUGUCUGUGGGGUGGUGUCCCCCGCCCCCAAACGAAUCUGGCUCUUCGGCCAAAGCAUGGGCCAGCUUAUGCAGGCGCAGAGGGUCAUCACAUCAUCUUCGUCGGCCCUAUGGGGUCGAUACGAAGGUAAUAUGUCGUCGAAGCCCAGCAGGACCCGAACCAGUUGAACCCUAUAAACGGUGGGUGGCAUCUGAUUACCGUGGAACACGCGGCUGCCCGGUCGAACGAUUCUUCCCUUGGCGACAUCGACCAACUCGUCAUUCACGAAGUGCAGGAUAGUGCACGGAACGUCGGCGGCGCCCUGCGAAAACAUGUAGGGCGUCAGGGAUGCCCAGUCAAAGGCAAGGAGAUGAAGUCAUUGGCCGAGAGGCUUAAUUAGUUACAGUGAUGGCGUCGAGCUCGGCUAAUGUCGAGGCACCGCCAACGGCGGGCGUGCAAUUGACGGAGGGGCCGCUUGCUGCCGAGGUGCCGGCCGGCGUAUUCUUCCCACACCCGGGUGCAUUAAGCUGCAAUGCCGGCGCCACCGCGGGAGACACAAAUGCCGCCUCCGCCGGAGACACCAAUGGCGCCGCCGCGGGAGACACCAAUGCCGCCUCCGCCGGAGACACCAAUGGCGCCGCCGGCGCGUUGCGCGAGCUGCUGGCUGUGAAGCUGGGAAUCGGGGGCGGCCCUGUUGGCCGCCCGCCAUCCAUGCCUGCAGCCCAGAAACCAAGGUAGGUAUAAUGGCGGUGAUCGUCGCUCCCAGUUGGUCUCGCACUUGCUCUUCGACCAUCUCUGGAAUCCGCGCCACUUGUGCCUUGAGUUGUUGAACCUCGUGCUCCUGGAUUUCCGAGCUGUUCUUCUCUCCUUUCGCCCAGCGGUAUAGUACUCCGACCAUUUCGUGGACAAGCCUUUGCCGGCCACACGACCAGCUGACGACGGCUUACUGAGCUUAUCCUUGUUUUUCAUUACGUUCAACGCCCUAUUUAAAGGGGUGUCGAAAGGGGAGCUCUGAGACGACCCCGCGCUACUUCUUUCAGUGUCCUAUGGAAGGAACGUGAACCAUUUAGAAAUUUGGCUUCAUUAAUUAGAAUGAAACCAUAUGGAGCUAAUUACGCGGGGGUGUAUUCCUUACCAGAACACGCUCAAGUGCCUUGGUCUUCGGAUCCAUGGUAAGCUCCUUGGUUACCGGGUCAAUCUUGUACCGGGCCCUGACAUAGUUCCUGGUCUGCUUGUCACGGUAUUUCUCGAAGAGGGGCGGUAGGCCUUGCUCGGCACGCUCCGCGUCCUCCUUGUCCCAUAUAGGUUCCGCCACUCUGUAACCGCCGGGACCGAGUUUGUGGACCCCUAAGUUCAAGUCCCGCAUAUCUUUCCCCCACUGACUUGAUUCCGCAGAUGCGUUGCUCUCGCACUUGAUCUUGAACUCCCGGUUGUCAUCUUCGCUGAUCGAAGGAUUAUUCUCCUUGAUCUUCUCAUAACUAUCACCUUUUUCAAUCAUGCUCUUCACCGUGGCUCUCCAAGUAGCCAGGGCCAUGCUCAUCUUCGUUAGGGCGGCACUGUUCACUUUAUUCCCUGAGAGGUGUGUGUUUGCGAAGUCACCGGGGAACUUGUAUCGUUCGUGCAGCUUCGUGAAGAGGAGGUUGCGCAAAUUCCCUCGGUCACGAUGCCUUAGGUUCUCGGUGUUGAUCGAGACGGUGCUCCGGAGAAUGCACCCGAGCUGUCCCGCGUACCCCUUGACUAUUUCUUUGGGCGCCGUUGGAUGCCCCUCGGAGGACACUUCAGUAAAUUCCUCCUUGACGGUGCCGAGCAGGUUCGGGCGCCGAUCCUUCCGUUGCCUCUUCGGUUGGCUGUCAUUUGUGCGUGCGCUGGCAUCAUCAGUGGUGGCAUCCUCGGCGGCACCAUCAGUGGUGUCAUCCCCGACGCCACUAGGGGUUCUGUAGUCAGGAUCGGUGUCUUCCGCGGCGUCCUCAUAGCGGUGAGGUUCUUCCUCCAUCUCCUGGGACAGCUCCCAGAAUGCCUUGCCCGAACUGCCGGCCUCAUCGUUGUGGGCCAUGUUUCGCUCUAAAUAGGAAAAAAGUUUGGUCAAAAAGUUGGUUAUUGUCAAGGAACAAGAUCAUGGUCUCAUCAUUUAGGGUUUGUCGACACCGAGGCAUCCUAAAAGCUAAGCUUUUAUCAUUUAGGGUUUGUCGACGCCGAGGCACCCUAAAAGCCUAAGCUUUCAUCAUUUAGGUUUUUAUCGACACCGAGGCACCCUAAAAGCCAAGGUUUUAUCAUUUAGGGUUUGUCGACGCUGAGGCACCCUAAAUGCUAAGUUAAGUUUUCAUCAUUUAGGGUUUAUCGAUGCCGAGGCACCCUAGGUUGACUGAUAUAUAUGGGUAUCUUCUAAUAAUAUACCCUAUCAAGAAAAGGGAAGGAGAAUUCUAAGUUGGGCCUAAUCACUUGGCUCUAUUGCCACCUAUGGUUUAAUGCAGCAAGAAUAAAGGGGUAGUUGUCCUACUUAAUUAAGUACUAAGAUACCCCGGCCCAUGCAUUAGUCGCAAGUACCCCAUAUGUCCUAUUUUUAGCAAAGUCAUGCUAAAAUUCACGGAAAAUUUCAGCAUGACCUUUGCUGAAAAUAGGACAUAUGGAGUACCCGAAUUUGCCGGAACGGAAGUUAAUCGAAAUUCCGACAAACUCAAGGGCCUCUCGGGGUACAGCGACAGCAUCACAAGUUGACAAAAUUCCCAAGUAGUACAGCAGCAGCAUCACAAGUAGUACCAAUGAACAUAUAGUCCAGCACAUUCUGAAUUUGUUUGUCAAAGUGUUAGUAAGCAUCACCCCCACAAUGUGCAUCCCUUGAUUCCCUUCUCACCAGCAAACCACACCAAUGCUCUAACUAGUGUACAUAAUUCAUUCACCAUGACCACAUUUUCUUUUCUUUAUACAGAAGCCUUUCACUAUAACUGUCUGAUCCUAGCAAAGACAUGCAUGACACAUAACCACUCCCACCAAACCUGCAGAAGUGCAAUAACUAAAAACGCUGAAGUUCUCAGCAUGAAGAAUCACACAACACAGCACCUACAUUAUGAUGAUACAUUUGGAUCUUCAUAGGAGCAUACAACAAUGCAGGGAAAAAGAAGGGACUUAAUUUCGAUAGUAAUUUGACCAAGUUGUGUUAUAAAAUGCGGACCGAGUAUCACAGAGCAAACAUGAUACUACCACAAAACCUAUAGUUCUUGCAAAAGUGGAAGAAAAGUAUGGGAGGCAAAGCAAGUUCAUUGAUCACAAUAUGAUAUAUAAAAUUAUCAACUGCAGACCUGAAUGCAUGCAAUUCGGCCUUUCCCAAGCAGUGAUGGUAACUGAAAGUAUAACAACUAAAAACUCUGCUCUAGUGCAUGUGUCCAAUAGUGCCAUCAUAACAGAACUUGGAAAACUUUUCCCAAGGAAUGAGAGAAACUGAAAGUAGCAAGUAAAAACUCUGCUCAUCAUAACAGAGCUUGGAAAAUUUAUAGGUCAUUUCAUACUACAUUCAAUUAAAAACAGAUGCAGGAAGACAAGAGAAUCUUGUCCUACACUAAACUAAUACAACCAAACAAAUUAAUUGAAGAAAAACUACUGAAACUAUACAAGCACUACAGUCAGAUUACACAAAAGUACUGAUGCAAGCAGUAUAGUACACAAAACUUGCAAACUUACAAGCACUACUGCAACUUAAUUAAGCUACUGGAGUAAGUGAAUCAACUGCACUUAAUUAAGCUACUGGAGUAAGUAACUCCAUGGAGUACUCACUGGAGUACAGCUAAAUUUUCAGGAGUACUUCUCUAGCAUAAGCAACUGCUGACAACUUUCAUACUCCAAUGAGCAGUGGGUACACAAUUCAUAGUUUGUACAACACAAUUCAUACUUACUAUUAGUUUGUACAACUACUGUAUAAUAUAGGAGUAUGUGUGAAGAACUGCCACUUAAUAUAGGAGUAGUAGAAAAAGAAAAAGAAAAAAGCUGCCUUGCAGCAUAAUGCUCCAUCCAUAUAUAAGGACCACUAAUCAUUUACUCUACUUAAUUACCCAGAUUAACUAGUUGAUGAUGAGAGAAUUAUAUAUAAAUGCAUCCAUCCAUCAUCAUUCAAUUCAAUUAAAGAGGAUGACAAUGUCUCAAGAUAUCAUCAUGCAUGAUCUGCUCUGGUCUGGUCUGGUGUACUUAAGCCCUAGUUAGUGGAGAGCGCUUGGUUUUAGUUCAACUGACUGACUGACUGAAUUCAGCUGAACUAGCUUGACUAGCUUUACAGGCAGGCAGAGGCAGGUACAGUAACUAGAACAUGUCACUGUCUGUCUCUGUCACCUCUUCUUCUACUACUACUACACUACACUAGUUGUACUACGUAGUUGGCAGCAGACCGAUAGACAGACUCUGCACUUCACUGCAUGCCAGUAUCAAUUAAAAGUAGCGGGAAAAAAAGAUGCACCGACAAAUCAGAAUGCAAGAAAAAUAUGCACAAGUAAUCCUGUUGAACUUGAAGCCAGUUUCAGAUGGGUAAUUAAGUAGAGUAAAUUAAGUGGCAGUUCUUCAUACAUACUCCUAUAUUAUACAGUAGCAAGCAUCACAUGUUUCAGAUGGUUUUCUAGCAAGUAUUUUCCAGAAAAGUGGAUUGGUGGCACACAAUUGCUGCACUCGGUCGAUCUACCAAGCAUUAUCAGCAUGGAUACCAUUGAGACAUGAACAGAAACUCUUGGAUAAAAAACAAGAACAGCCAAAUUAGUUGGGAUCCGGCUUAGAUUAGAUAAGCAAGAAGGAGAAGGGGACGAACUGGGGUAACUGCGCUGACCUGCGGUGGUUAAGGAGCUGGAUCCGGCAGCGGAGCCCAAGGGGGGUCAUCGGAAUGGCGCCUGCGGCAGUGCCGGAGACGAGGAACUGGGGAAGGGAAGGGAAAUCCGGUGAGACGGCAGCAGGGAGCGAACGGAAGGAGAGGAAAGGCGGAUCCUUUAGUACCUGGCUUGCUCGGAGCCGAACAGGAAACCCUGGCCCUUGUGGCACGACGACGGCGACGGCGAGGAGGCGGGGCGAGAAGGAGAUGAAGCGAAGCAGCUUGUUGCGGCGGGGGCAGGGGGUCGUCGGCGGCGAGGUGGAGCGGGGGAGGGUGUGGGNNNNNNNNNNNNNNNNNNNNNNNNNNNNNNNNNNNNNNNNNNNNNNNNNNNNNNNNNNNNNNNNNNNNNNNNNNNNNNNNNNNNNNNNNNNNNNNNNNNNNNNNNNNNNNNNNNNNNNNNNNNNNNNNNNNNNNNNNNNNNNNNNNNNNNNNNNNNNNNNNNNNNNNNNNNNNNNNNNNNNNNNNNNNNNNNNNNNNNNNNNNNNNNNNNNNNNNNNNNNNNNNNNNNNNNNNNNNNNNNNNNNNNNNNNNNNNNNNNNNNNNNNNNNNNNNNNNNNNNNNNNNNNNNNNNNNNNNNNNNNNNNNNNNNNNNNNNNNNNNNNNNNNNNNNNNNNNNNNNNNNNNNNNNNNNNNNNNNNNNNNNNNNNNNNNNNNNNNNNNUGAGAGAGAUGUGAGAUUGGGGAUCGGGGAUUGGGGAUUUUAGUCGGGGGAGGGAUAGCAAUGGCGCACCACCUAGCGGUGCGCCAUUAGUAAAUUUCUUUGGAUAGCAAUGGCGCACCACCCAUUAGAAAAUUUUUUUGGAUUUUUUGUUGCAUUAAUUUGUGAAUUGGUAAAACAUUUAUGAAUAUGAAAAAAUAUCAUCAAAUUUCAAAAAAUAUUCAUGAAUUCAAAAAAUGCCCAUGAAAUUUAAGCAGGAAAAUGAACACUGCAAAAUAAAAUACAAGAAUAAAUAUAAAUAAAAAUGUGUAUAUCAAUGGCGCACCUCAUUCGGGUGCGCCAUAAAUACCUUCAUAGCAAUGGCGCACCCUCCCCUGGUGCACCAUUACUAUCUGUUUUUUAUUUAUUUUUAGUUGCAUCUAAUAAUUUUUUAGAAAAUGACGAUCAAAUUUGAAAACAUUUAUGAAUAUGAAAAAAUAUCAUCAAAUUUGUUAUUUGAAUUUUUUUUGAAUUUUUAGUUGCAUCUAAUAAUUUUUUAGAAAACAUUUAUGAAUAUGAAAAAAUAUCAUCAGAUUUCAAAAUAUUCAUGAAUUCAAAAAGUGCCGCCCAUUUCCAUAUGUCAAAAUACAAUCGAGAAAUGAAGACUGCGAUUUAAAUACAAUCGAUCUUAGCUAGCUAUCUUUUCACAAUCUUCUUGCCCUUCUUUUUCGCAAAUGGAGUUCUUCUGUUGAACGGACGUCCUUUAGGUAGGGUGGUCCUGCUUCUUCUUGUGGUGUAUGACACUUCAUCGUCGCCGUCAUGUUCCAUCUUCGGGUCGCCGUACUUGUCGAAGUCUUGCUCAUUGGCGACUCCAUCCAUAUAGAUGAUCUUCCUUUUGCCUCUCCUCACGACUGGGCUUUGACGGGUCUGUAAUGAAGAAGCAUUGGUCCACUUGGGAAGCCAGUACCCAUGGCUUAUUUUUCGCGGUGACGUUUGCGUCCGCGGUCUUGGAUUUAGCUUCGGGUAUAACCAUGGUGGUGAAAUACCGGUCUUCUUUUAUGACGCUCUUGGCCCAUCUGACACGGAACAUCGGGACCUUCUCUCCAGCGUAGCUCAGCUCCCAGAUCUCCUCAAUCCUUCCGUAGUAUCUAUCAUUGUCGUUACCGGUGUAGGAUUCCAUCGUUACCCCGGAGUUCUGAUAACCAUCGCUCUUCAUGUCCUUGUCCUCGGUGUAGAAUGUGUAGCCAUUGAUAUCGUACGCCUCAUAGGUCAUCAGGUUGUGCUCGAUGCCCUGUGACAAGGCGAAUAUGAGUUUUUCUUCCGCGGAAGAAUCCUCAUGUAAAGGGUACGACAGAAGCUUCUCCUUGAACCAACGCGUGAAACAUGAGUUGUGCUCUUUGAUUAUAUCUUCGUCCGUCCUCUGUUGGCCUCGGUCAUUGUACGUCUUCUCAAUAAAGGUUUUGUGCUCUACCACCCAAGAAUCGACCACGUCUAUGUGUUGUAGCGCGACUAGGUUUGCUCUUUCAAAGUCGGCGAGUUGACCCUCGAAGUCGACAUGCAUUUCGCGGCGACCAUCGCGGUGACCCCAUGCAGCGAGCCUGCCGAGGUGCCUGUUGACGGGCAGACCAACGGGGUUCUCGAUGCCUAGAUAAUUCGUGCAGUAGGAGAUGCACUCUUCGGUCAGAAAGCCCCUGGCUAUGCUUCCCUCUGGACGUGACAUGUUGCGAACGUAUCCUUUGAUGACACCAUUCAUCCUUUCGAACGGCAUCAUGCUGUGCAGGAACGUCGGCCCGAAUUGGAUGAUAUCCUCCACGAUAUGGACCAGCAGAUGCACCAUAACAUCGAAGAAUGCGGGCGGGAAGUACAUCUCAAGCUCGCAUAGUAUCACCACGAUCUCUUCCUGUAGCCUUCUGAGUUGCCUCACGCCAACCGACUUCCGAGAGAUGACGUCGAAAAAGUUGCAUAGGCCAAAUAGCGUUUCACGGACGUGCGCGUCCAUGAUCCCACGGAUUGCAACUGGAAGUAUCUGCGUCAUCAGCACGUGACAGUCGUGAGACUUCAUCCUGCUGAACUUCUGCUUCGUUGAGUCUAGGUAUCUGCUUAUCUUCCCCGCAUAACCGUAAGGAAGUUUUACUCCUACGAGGCAAGUGAAAAACUGCUCGAUCUCCUACUGACUUAGAGUGAAGCACGCGGGAGGGUAGUCAUUUCCGAUCUUCUUGGCCUUUUUGCCUUUGCGAUGACUUUCCGUGUCCUGCUGCGCCUCAUCAUCAUCAUCAUUAGCGUGAAGCUCCUCCCUGAUGCCCCAUUGAUUUCAAGUCUGCCCUUGCUUUCGGCCCAUCUUUGGUCCUCUCUGGCAUGUUGAGCAGGGUACCAAGCAGACUCUCGCACUUCGUGAUAUGCAUGACAUCAAGGCUGUGAGGCACAAGGUGGAUCUUCCAGUAUGGCAAGUCCCAGAAAACAGACCUCGUUUUCCAUACCUUCAGCAGCGGCUCUGCCGCCUUUCGCUUCUUUCCCGGCUCUGGCGCCUUUUGCUUCUUUUCCGGCAGUGGGCAAUCUUUCCAAUUUUUCAACAGCUCGUCUAUUUCCUCGCCGCUCCUCGUACGCGGGCGUCUUCGGGGUUCGGUUUCACCAUCGAACAUAUCCUUGCGUUUUCUCCAUGGGUCAUCGUCGCGAAGCCACCUUCGAUGUCCCAUGAACACGGUUUUCGAAGACCCGGGAUCUCUAUCUAGCUGGCAAUACGUUGUGUCAUCCAUGCACCUGACGCAUCCAGAAAAUCCGUGGACCACCUGCCCCGCGAGAUAUCCGUAACCGAGAUAGUCGUGCACCGUCGUGAGCAGUGCGGCUCUCAUCGGGAAAUAUUCUUUCUCUGCGGCGUCCCAUGUAUUGGCUGGCGUUUUCCACAGCGUGUCUAGCUCCUCUUUCAGAAGCCCCAGAUACAGAUUGAUGUCGUUCCCUGGUUGUUUCGGUCCUUCAAUUAGCAUACUCAUGUGAAUGUACUUCCUCUUCAUGCACAACCAGGGGGGAAGGUUGUACAUCCACACAAACACAGGCCAGGUGCUAUGUGUGCUUCUCUGGCUGCCAAACGGAUUGAAUCCAUCGGUGCUCGCGCCCAGCACGAUGUUCCUUGGAUCGUGCCCAAAUUCUGGGUGUUCGAAGUUCAACGCUUGCCAUUGGCUCACAUCCUUAGGGUGACUCAGCAUCUUGUCUUUUUUUAUUUAUCUCCGGAUCAUUUCCGUCAUCUUCUCGCUUCUUCUCCUCCCUAUCCGCGUGCCAACGCAUGAGCUUUGCUAGCUUAGGGUCCGCGAAAUACCGCUGCAGAUGAGGAGUGGUCGGAAAGUACCACACCACUUUUCGAGGAGCUUUCUUCCUCUUCUUGUAUCGAGUGACGCUGCACACCGGACAGAUGGUAGACUCCGCGUGCUCGUCCCGAUAAAUGAUGCAAUUGUUCAUGCACACAUGGUAUUUCAGGUGUGGUAAAUCCAGAGGUCACGAUUUUCUUCGCCUCCUCGAAACUGGUCGGGCACUUGUUCCCCUUGGGAAGACAUUCGUGCGAGAAUGACAUGUUCUCGUCGAAGCAUGCGUCGGUCAUUUUGUGUUUUACCUUCAUCUCCAGAUCCAUGAGCGUUACUUUUAGGCGGGUAUCCUCGGGCCUGCAUCCUUCAUACAAUGGAGUAACCGCGUCUAUCUCCAGUUGAUACAGCUUGGCUUUCUCUCGGGCGGUAGCUCUUGCGUUAUCCGUCUGCUUGAGAAGCAGCUCUUGAAUAUGAGGGUCUUGCACCCAGCCCAUCGAUGGUCCAUCGUCGUCUGCUCCGGCAUCUUCAUCUUCAUGAUCAUGCCCUUCGUCUUGAUCUUCCUCAUCAUCAUGUCCGGCAUCUUCUACAUGAUGACUGUGUACUGCAUCACCGUCGUGAUCAUGUCCUGGAGAUUCUUCGUCUUCUCGCCCGCCCUCGCCGCGGUUGUCUUGCUGCCCUUCCUCAUUUCUUGCCCUGCCCCCAUGGACGACUUCAUAGUCAUCUUCAUCACCUUGCCACCGAUAGCCAUCCAUGAAACCACGCAAGAGCAGGUGGUCCCACACCUGUCCGGAAUCCGGGUCCGCAAUAAGGCUCUUCAGCUUGCAUCUUCGACACGGACAUCUUAUCUCCGUCUCGUUUUUUUGAAGCAUCUCGGCCUUCGCGGAGCUCAAAAAUCUAUUCACGAUGCCUUCGGUCAUCGUACGGACCAUGGUCGCCUGCGGGGUAGAGCAAAACGAUAUUUUAGAACCAAGAAAAAAUUUGGCAUGACUUUGCCUAAAAAUAGGACCAAAAAGAAUGCAUAGUGCCAAAUUCUCAUCGAAACGAAAAUGAAUCAACAUUCCGGCAAAAUAUUGGCAACUAUCGCAUUUCAAAUACCGGUACCUGCAAACACAAAUAUAUAUGCAACACCACAAACAUGCGUAGAUCUAGCUAGGCCAUAAAAAGUGCAUUUGCACGUUGUUGGAGGGAGAAAAAAGUAGAUCUACAACAUAAAGAAAGCUUUCCCCUUACUUACCUAUCAAAAAAAGGUAAUUUAACCACUUAAGUUGGGUGAAUCUAUGGUGCAAAUGAGGUGAGGAGGAGGAGGCAGCCGAGACAAGCUUGGAGGAGAAGGUGGAGAGAAUGAAGUAGGGAAAGUGAGUGUGGUAGGUGGCUUUCCAAAAUAUCUAGCUGGUCUCAGGUUACUAAUGGCGCACCACCUAAAAAUGCGCCAUUAAUAACCCUGGUUACUAAUGGCGCACCUAUUACGUGGUGUGCCAUUACUAGUUUUGCAAAAAAAUUAAAAAAAUUGUUAGUAGUGGCGCACCGUGAUGUGGUGCGUCAUUACUAGUUUGAACUAGUAAUGGCGCACUUUACACAGGUGCGCCAUUACUAGUUUUGAAAAAAAGUAAAAAAAAAUUGUUAGUAGUGGCGCACAGAGCUUGUGGUGCGCCAUUACUAGUUAAAACUAGUAAUGGCGCACUGUGCCCUGGUGCGCCAUUAAUAGUUUUGAAAAAAUAAAAUUUGCUAGUAAUGGCGCACCGUGUGUCUGGUGCGCCAUUAGUAAUGAGGACACUAAUGGCGCACCACAUACAUGGUGCGCCAUUAAUGUCCAUAUUAGCUAUAACCCUUUUCCUAGUAGUGCGGGGAGGGGGGCUCCCCACCUGAAUAUAUUUCAAAAGGAGAUUGGGUUUUACGCACGUCACACAUUGCGUGAUGAGAGGUAAUCACGCCACAAACCGGCGUGAUCCAUAAGUGUUGCCGUCUUUAGGCGGUGAGCCCAAAUCUAGGAUAGCUUUAGGCGGGUAGCUUCUAGCAUUCCAGAUAUUCCUUAAUGUGAGCAGCAACAUGAAGGGGCGGACCAUCGUGGGAAGUGCGUCAGGAAUCGUUGUGUUGAAGAAAUCCGUGGUAGGGCUGAAACGGGGGGCGGAUUCCGGUGGCACGCCACACCCGACGAGCUGCUGGGCAAGUGAAGAACAAGUGGUUGCGGUCCUCCACCGCAUGAUCACAUCUCGGGCAGGUCUCUCUCAUAGCUGAGAAUGUGCUUCUUAUGGAGGUUCUUCCUGGUGUUCAUGCGAUCGAGGUAGAACAACCACCCGAAGAUCAUCGCCUUCUUCGGCAGCUUGGAGUCCCAAAUCAGAACGAGAGAGCAUGUACAUUUAAAAAGGUUCACAUAUAAAAAAGAUGAAUUCUUAAAUGAAAGAGAAAAAGAGGGAAAGAAAAGGUCAAAAAAAUACAAAAUAGGCUACAACUCGAACAUGCCAUUGCACUGAGAAUGACACGUUAAUCUUUAUCUGUCUUGGAAAAUAGACUUAUAUAAGAGUCAUUUCAAAAAAAAAGAGGAUAAGAUGAUAGAGAUGGUCGUGUUCCGCUACUUCUUCGAGUUCCACAAGAUGAAUGAGGGUUAUGAGCGACGCUGCUACUCUUUUCCCUCAUCUCAAAAGGCACAAUUUUUUCUUUCUUCAAUGUGUUCGUGCUUCACUCUCUUUGUGAUGCGAUGAGGUGGUGCUGGUGUCAUCAAACAUUGCUUUGUCACCUUUCAAUAACACCGUCGGCACCCCAUUGCCCGAUAGUUGAGUGUGUCCCUUGUUUGUCAACUCUAUUUGUGACACUGGCUUUGUUUCUUGGAUAUCCUUGAUGGUGAGAAAACAAAGAAGCCGUCUAGGCCCUUUAAAUACGAGGUCAUCACCUUCUUGGGUGGAGUUUCCAACUCUUAAGCUGACAUGAAUGUGAUUAUAAAUCAAUGACCACAUUUUUCCAUCGCCCCAUUUUUCUCGUGCAGGUUCUUGGUAAUGACCCAACUCGCUCAUUGUCAGGCAUGUAUAUUACAUUGUAAACUUCUUAUCUGACAUCUGUGUUCUGAUGCCAUGGUUAAUAAGUCCUUAUCAUGUUUUGUUCUGAUGCCAUGGUUAAUAAGUCCUUAUCAUGUUUUGUUCUAAGAUGGGUCUUAUCUUAGCGCUUAUGAUAUCGUGUCGAACCCACUUUGGGGGUUUCUAAGACGAACAAUGUCUGUUUUUGCUUGGUCCUUUUUGUUUCGAACGUGAGGUUUUCUCUUUGAGUUGCUUCAUGCGAGAUUCCUGAUUGCAUAAUCACUAGGUAGUUUCACCACGAGAGCUAAGCGUUGUGGUGCCGAUGGACGCGGCGGCAAUCGCAGAGGAGAACCAAUUCUAGUGACUCAAAUCUGACGUGAAUGUGUGAGGUCCCAUCACCGUACGUGCCUAUGCGGUCCUUUACUAAAGGUGGUACGUAGGGAUGCCUGUUGGCGGUUUCAAUGUCGACAUCGUUAUCACGGGAGAUGGUGAAUUCCACCCUAUUUAUACUAAACUCUUUUGCUUCGUGGGAGCUUUUCUACCAUGUAAGUGUAGUCUUUUUUAUGGAUACAUCUUUUGACAUAUCAGAUUACUUCAUAAAUUGUUGUACACAUUUAUCAAUGUAUUACAGUGUGUUUUUAUAUAUCCUUGCACACAAUAUCUUUGAUAUAUCUAGAGAAAUUUCUAGAGUGUUGCGUUUAUCAGUUUAGCCAAUAAAUAUUAGGGAGAAUAACAUGAAAAGUGUUUUUUUAGAUCAUGUUUGGUCAUGUGAGAAGCCUGUGGGAAAAAAAAUUGGCCCCUCAAAGAAACAAAUCUUAUAAAAUGAACAUAUUGUUAGCGUGUUAGAGCAUCUACACCCCGCGCCCGGACGCGUCCACGGAAGUGACCGGCCACCCCUCAAAAAACACAUUUCACAUCCGGAUAUCUCAAAUUAGAAACCUCAAUUCCAUAUUAUUACAUGCAACGCAGCGAUCUUUGACGGGAGCUUCGUCCGGUUCUGCUCCUCGCUCGCCCGGCUCCGCCCUGGCCAUGUCCGCCGCCGGCUGUGCUCCUCAGAAUGUUGAUUCGGUCGCCGGCAAGGUAGAGUAGGGCAUGGGACACGAGCUGGCUCGGGACUCAAGGCGUCGCCGUCUCCCAUGCCUUACUCUUCCUCGUCGAAGACCGGAACCCGAACGGUGCCGGUGGAUGUCAGAUCAAUGACGGAUCCGUCCGGAGACGAGCCGCCGGCGUCCACCAUGAUGUGGUUGCGGCGCCCGAACUGAUGCAUCAUACGGGGUGCCGGAGAAUGCGACUCCGCCUCGCCAACGUCCACUGCCGCCUCCCGCGCCUAGUGCGCCAUGGCCUCGUGGGACGAUGGUGCGUCCCGAACAUCGGCGCGCCACCGGAGGGAUUAUGAGUCUGCCAGCGUGUUCGGACGCCAGACGGACCGCAUAGUCUCCGACGAGGUAGCUACGGCCAGCCUAGCGCCGGAUCCAUGCGGCAUUUGGGCGAACGCAAUGGAUUCCCGGCGGAUGGAGUCUGAGCGCAGCCGUGCACAGGCCUUCUCCCAAGCGUUUCAAGGCCGUUUGAGGGAUCCUUCUGGGUCAAAAAAUCAUGACCGGACAGUGACCGGACGGCUCGUCCGGACGCAUGAGGUGGGUUUGAGGCGCCCGGCUGUAGAUGCUCUUUGUUUAAGUUUUAGUGUUCACUAGAGUAGGCUGUAGCAUAUGCAUGCGUGCACCACUACCGGUGCCGGACGCUAUAAGACGACGCUAGCUAUAGCUACCCCAAACAUUUUCACGUGUAGACCAGCACGCAUGCGUGCAGAUAUCCUCCUAUCCCCAGCAUCGCUCGAUCCAGAGGAACACUGUGCAUGAUGCCGGCGAGGGGCGGGGCACGCACAUACGCUCCCCGGCCGUGAAGCGGCAAACAUACACAUCUACAGUGUUCCCCGCAUUGUAGAGGGUCUUUUCUUCCGGAAGCGGCGCGGCAUGGCGUUUGGGCGCCGCGAGAUUCGACAGAUCGUUGUCCCGUCUUCCUGUGUUUUUUUGAACCAAAAGGGGUUUCCCCUCACCCCAACUUUAUAUAAAGCUAAGGCAAAACGUCAACCAACAUAAACUGUUAACAGCGUUCGGCGGCAAUCAGAGUAGCUGCCAUAGACAGAAAGCAGAGAUUAAAUUGCCCUAUUACAAGUCUUUUUGGGCGGGUCUAGCCAGAAAUACAUAGCCAGGGAUGCAACAUGCCAGCCUACUUUAAUAAGAUCAAAGCAAAGACAUGUAAGCUAGCAGAGCAUAACUCAGCGAUGCCCCUGACCGCAGUAUCAGCGCCAGGCAAUCCUAAGCAAUUCUCUUCUUCGGUGGUCCAACAGCCUUAAACAUCGGAGAAGAAGCGCAUCCUGAGCCUCUGAACACAGUGUUUUUCAUUGUCUGAUCGUUGCCCCCAACAAGUCCAGGACACAACGUAUACUUCGCCAUCUUCUCCCCUGGAAAACAAAGUUAUUUCGAAAACGCCAUAAGCUCCACAAGGUAGCAGCAGUAACAAUGUUUAAUGCUUCAAAAUAUUUUCUCCUCUUCCAGAAGGAAGCCAACAGAACAAAUGAAUCAAGCACAGUAACAUUAAAGCUAUCAGCUACCAGAUCCCAGAUGUGUCUAGCAACAAUACAAUCAAAGAAUAAAUGUUGGAUAGUUUCAGGUUCACUGCAAAAGACACAUGACAUGUCAUCUACAUGCCUGUGCUUGGCAAGAUUAUCUCUGGUUAAGCUCUUAUUAUAGUAUAUCAGCCAGAGAAACACAUGGAUAUUAGGUGGAACUUUAAUUUUCCAGAUAUCAUCUUUAAUUACAGAUCCUAUUCCUCCAAAGUUUAUCAACUUAUAAAAGGAUUUCACAGAGUAUUUGCUAGACGAAUCUAGGAUCCAAAUAGGCUGAUCUGGAGAGCCAGAAAGACACACUGGUUCAACAACCUUGGUGAGCUCCUUCCAUCUAACUAAAGUACUUUCCCCAACACAUCUUCUAAAAGUCAAGCAUAAUUCACCAUCCACCCAGACCUGUGCAAGGGUAGAGUCUUGUUGUUGACAAAUGGUGUAUAAGUCCCAAAAGGUAGUUUUAAGAGAACAAUCCCCAACCCAGAUGUCAUGCCAGAAGGCAAUGCUUACCAUCACCAGGAAUCCAUCUAUAAAAAAAUUUAGAAGCUGCAAGAGCCCAUGAUAGACUUUUCAUAAAUGGAGACCCUAGGGUUACCCUAGUAUUAAAAAAUUGGGGCUGGAAGUGUUAUACUUGUAAGUCAGUAUCUUCUUCCAGUCACUAUCCCUGUCAUCAUAAAAUCUUUUUCCCCAUGAGGCCAAAAGGGCUAUGUUGAAUUCUCUACGGUUGGGAACCCCCAUACCCCCAAACUCUUUCCUCCUAGAGAUCAAUCCUCAGUUAGCAAGGUGAUAUUUAUGGUUAUCACCCAUAUUCCCCCAGAAGAAGUGAGACAUUUGAGAGGUGAUCAUAUAAUAGCCAAUUUGGGAAAUUUUACAAUAGACAUUAGAUAAGCAGGAAUGCUGGCAAUACAGGUAGUAAGCAGGAUCAGUUUUCCCCUAUAUGAGAGAAAUCUCCCCAACAAUCCAGAAAUGUUUUUGAUAAUCCUAUCAAUAAUGGGUUGGAGGUCCUCCCUCCUAAGUUUUUUAAAGUGAAGGGGAACACCUAAAUAUUUGAAGGGGAAAUCCCCAAGCUGGCAGCAGAAAACCUAAGCAAAACCAUUAGAUAAUUGCUCAGAAAUGUUAAUAGCAUGCAGAUCACUUUUAUGAAAAAUAAUCUUCGAGCCACAUAGAUUUUCAAAGCAUUAGAGAAUCCAUUUCAAAUUCCUGGCAUAAUCUAGUGAGUUAUCCAAGAAUAGAAUGGUAUCAUCAGCAUACUGUAGGCUGACUACCCCACCUGGGAAGGCAUGAGGUAGCAGACCACAAAUUAAACGAUUACUGGCAGCCUUAUGAAGCAUUUUAAAAAAUACAUCAGCUACCAAAUAGAACAAAAGGGGUGACUGAGGGUCACCCUGUUUCAAACCAUUCCCCCCAGAGAACUGGGGACCAGUAGAAUCAUUAAUUCUAAUCUGAAAAGUCUCUUGGUGAAUGGUAGACAUCACCCACUCCACCCAUUUAUUACCAAAGCCUCUAGAUAGAAGCAUUUCUUUUAAAAAUUCGUAGCUAACCCUAUCAUAUGCUUUCUCAUAGUCUAGUUUAAGAAUCAACCCAGCAGACCCAGACCUAUGAAUUUCAUGAAUGACCUCAUGAGCCAUAACCACACUUUCCAGAAUGAAUCUACCCUUAAUAAAUGCAGUUUGGUUAGAGGAGAUAAGCUUGUCACAUAAGGGGGAGACCCUAGUAGUCAUAGCUUUUGAGAAGAUUUUAACAACACAAUUGCUUAGGCUGAUAGGCCUAAAGUUCAUCAUAUCUUUAGCCAUAGGAAUUUUAGGAAUAAGAGUAAUAAUGGCAUGAUUCAACUUAUAUAUAUCAAGCUUACCAUUCUCAAAAUCUCUAAUCAUCCACAUAAAAUCUUUUUUAAUCAGAUCCCAAAAGGUUUGGUAAAAUAGAAAGGAUAGCCCAUCAGAGCCAGGAGCACCACUAGCAUAAGAGCUCAUCACAGCUUGUUUAAUUUCCUCUUCAGAAAAAGGUUUCUCAAGCUGCUCCCUCUCAGCAUUACUAACCAUUUCAUCUUCAGACCAAAAGUCAGCAUCCAAAUGGAUGUCAGGUUUAGGUUCAAAAGCAAACAACUCUUUAUAAAAAGAGGUGGCAACCUCAAGCAUCUCCUUGGUCGAAGUGACCACACCAGUAGGACUAUUUAAUUCAGAGAGAUGGUUUUUCCUAUGUCUGUGGUUAGCCAGGGUUUGGAAAUAAGCAUUAUUCCUAUCCCCCUCUAAAUUUUUUUUGUCCCUGGAUCUCUGCCAAAGAGCAGUCUCCUCUUUUUUCCACACUUCAUCUAAUUCUUUCUUAAUCUCCUUCAUUCUGUCGUAGUCAGACACAAAUAAUUGUUGGGUUUCAGACAUGACAUCAAGGAUGUCAAACUCCAGAAGGAGUGCCCUCUUCUUUUUCUUCAAAGCUGCCUCUCUAUUAAUAUUCCACCCUUUAGUUUUCUUUCUGAGCACUCUAGUCUUAAGCAUCCAAUUAUCAGCUGAGGAUUUGGAAGAGCACACAGAGUUCCAAGUUUCUGUGACCAUUUGAUGGAAGUCUGGUUGGGAGAGCCACCAUUUCUCAAACCUAAAAGGUUUGGGGUUGGAUGGGGCUCUAGCACCAGUGUCCAAGACCAGUGGAGUAUGAUCACUCCCUACCCUCGGCAAGGCUGACAAGGUGGAAAAGGGGAAAUGGGUGUCGCAGUCCACAGAAAUGAACACUCUAUCCAGUACAGCAAACACAGGGAGAUCUGGUUAUUAGACCAGGUAAACACCCUAUUAGAGACAGAAAUCUCCAUCAAGGCCCAUAUGUUGAUCCAAUCAUUAAACAGAAAUGCAGUUUGUUGAUUUACUAAGCCACUACUUUUCUCCUUUUCAUUCCUAAUCAGGUUAAAAUCACCACAGAUCAUGAUAGGAUAGGAAGCAUUUGAUAAAAUAUCAUGCAGUUCAGCUACAAAAUCCAUCUUAAGUUUAGGGUAGGCAGACCCAUACACUAACACCAUUUGCCAAACAAAGCCAUCAGAUUUAUUUUUAACAGUAGCAAUAAUAGAAAAUCUUUGGUUAAUAAAACCAACUACCUCAAAAAUCAUCUUCUUCAAACCCACAAGGAUCCCCGAGCAGUAUUUUCAGCUGGCAGGAAAUGCCACACAAAAUUGUCAAAUCUAUCAAUAGCUUUGAGAAAACCCUCAGAAAUAUUCUCCUUCUUUGUUUCUUGAAAACCAAUAAAGUCAGGAUCAGACUUAGCAAUAGUAUCACAAAGGCACUGUCUCUUCUCAUGUUGCCCUAGACCUCUAAUAGUCCAAAUAAGACCUAUCAUUAAUUAAUUUUGAAAGGAUGGGAUAAGCCACAAGGCUUAACUUUAGUUAGAACAGCAGGCGUUUCCCUAGUAGCAUCAGCAGUGCCCACUGGCUCCAGGGGGAAGACACCAUCAGGUGUACUAACUAAUUCAUUAGAGUCAAUGUCAAGAUUGACAGGAAGGACAAUUUCAGGGUUAUUAUUGGCAAACACCAAACAUCUCUCUUUCUCCACAGCUAUUAUCUCAUCAAUAGCAAGAUUCUUUUGGAUAUCAUCCCCCCCCCCCAAUUAUCAAGUUCAUUUGGCUCAUUUGAUUAGUAAGGAUGGAUUUAUCCAUAGUAGAGAAGGAUUUACCUUUGAAAGUUUGUGGUAUCUCCAAGUUCUUCUUCCUCUUCUAUGCAGCAGCCUUUUCCAUGAUGUUAACAUUACCAUGGCCUCUAGUAGCAGGCCUUUGAACUAGCACAGGCCCCCAUCUUGUUUUCUUCUCAUGGAUGGUUUCCUCACUUUGGGUCUGGUUAAGUGAUUCCAGCAGGGACCUCCUCCAGGUCUCACUUUGUAGGAUUUGGAUAACCUCAAGAGGGAGAACCCCGAAUUCUUCUUCUUUUGGUCCCUCAUCUUCAGAAUCAUAAACAUCCACUGAUCUUAACAGAUCCUCACAAUAUUCCAUACUAUCACCAUUCUUCUCAGGAGUUGUGUGAGUAACACACUUCCCAGAGGGAGAAGGGGUUUUGUGGAUAACCACUCCUUCAUUCCUCUUCUCCUCCUCAUCAGUAUUUUUGUUCUGUUCUGUAAGGAUACCAACAUAGCCAGCCCUAGAUUCAUGCCCAUCAGAAGAUGCACCCCUAAGGUCAACAGCAGCCAAAGCACAUUCCAGGAUGAAUUCCUCCUGAUCAAGAUCAUUUCCAUAUUCCACGGUUGUAUCCACCAUCUUCUUUUGAACACCACACUUGUUUGUAGAUCCAUGUUUGGUUGAGAAGUUAGCUUUAUCUAAUUCAUCAAUGGCCAAAUCACCUCCAUAUGACCCAUCAGCAGCAUGUUCUCCAUGAGAUCCAUUAUCUUUUCCAGCAUUUUCUUUCUCAGUUCUCUCAUCCUCCUCAUUACCAUCUUCAUCCUCAUCUACAUCAAUGACAGAGUCAACCCCACCUGCUUGUUCAAAGCCCUCAACAGUGAAACCAAGUAGAAACAGUUUCUUCUUCAUCUCAAUCAGUCUCUCAAAAGGAAUGUUGGUUGGAUUUCUGCAGGCUAUUUUGAUUCUGACAUUCUCAAAAAAGGAUCUGAACAUUCCAUUCCAAUCCACAUCUGUAAGUACCCCAAAUAGGGAAGCAAUUUGGACAAACACUUUCCAAGUGCACCACUUUGGGGGAAUCCCCUCAAUCAGUACCCAGGCUUCAAUUAGCUCUCCAAAAGGUUCACGUACAUGUCAUGGUUUCUUGACUGUAAAUGCUGCCGUCUAGAAAUAUACAUAUGGCAUGCAUAGUGAUCGCCCUUAGUUUCUGAAGGGGCCUAAUUUUGAUCGCUAGCUUGCUGGACAGGAGGCCUUUUUUUCCAUGCAGCCGCACAUGGCAUGCCUCGGACCAAACCAAGUAUAGUUCGUACGCGGACACCGAUCAGUCGAGCGAGCAAGGACAAAUUAAACAUCUGAUUUUCACAACAGUGCAAUGCAGUGUCUGUGUUGGGUCACUUGACGGGAAUUUAUUCAACUCAAAACAUGCAUGCAUCAUGCAUGAUGAGCAAGAGCAACACUGAGCUACACUUUGAGUGAGAAGAAAUGAGAAGGCUAUGCCAGCUUGUACUGCCUUUUCAUCAAUUGUUCUUAAUCAGUUCAAUGGCUUCGAUCGAUCCUAUAUGUCCAUAUAUUGCAUAGUAACUCAUAGCACUGUAGACUAAUCGUCCAAGAGUAGUGGGCAGCGUAGUAAUUUGAGCGCAGUGGUAAGAAUUGAAAGAUUGCGUGGAAGCGUAUGCCUCUGGCAGGGACGUGUUGCGUGUUAUAUAGCCAAGGAUAAGUUACAAAGAUACGGUAGUUAGGUCGUGGAUUAAUACUCAAGAAAACUAUACAAGAUAUAAGGAGAAACCCUAACAACCUAACUACUAGAUUACAACAACACACGCAUGCAAUCUAACCCUACCGGGCGGUGCAUACGGUUUAUACAAUACCGUAUACACAUAGUACAAUACUUUCUAACACGCCCCCUCAAUCACAGCUUCACCAAGUUGAGAUUGGUCUUGAAGUCUUCUAACUUCCGCCAUGAUAAGGCUUUGGUAAAACCGUCUGCAAGUUGAUCACCUGUGGGAAUAAAAUGAAUGUCCAGCAGUUUGCUAGCUACUCUCUCUUGAACAAAAUGAUAGUCAACUUCUAUGUGUUUUGUCCUUGCAUGAAAUACUGGAUUUGCUGAUAGAUAUGUAGCGCCAAUGUUAUCACACCAGAGGCGUGCAACUGGUGAAUGCAUAACUCCAAGUUCACGUAGCAAAGUUUGAACCCAAAUAAUUUCAGCAAUAGCAUUAGCUAAAGAUUUGUACUAUGCCUCUGUACUGGACCUAGAGACAGUAGCUUGCUUACGUGCACUCCAGGAAAUCAAAUUAGGACCGAAGAACACACAGAAACCUCCUGUUGACCUUCUGUCAUCUGGACAUCCUGCCCAGUCAGCAUCUGAGAAAGCACUAACAAUAUUGAAGGUUGACUUGGUAAAUUUCAGACAUGUACUCAUAGUACCUCUGAGAUAUCUCAAAAUUCUCUUAACUGCUGUCAAAUGCUGAGAAGUGGGAGAAUGCAAGUACUGGCAUACCUUGUUGACAGGAAAACAAAUGUCAGGUCUUGCAAGUGUAAGUACUGCAAAGCACCUACCAUACUCCUGUACUUUGUUGACUCCUCGGCCCCCAAGGGCUCUCCUUCUUCUCUUGACAGUUUUUCUGGCAUAGAGAGAAGCAUGUUUGAAACCUUGCAAUUUACCAUUCAUGCACGCUUAAGCAUAUCCAAGACAUAUUUUUCUUGGAUGAGAAGUAUUCCAUCUUUCACCUUUUUAACUUCAAUUCCCAAGAAGUAGUGUAGAUCACCUAAAUCUUUCAAGGCAAAGUCCUUCUUGAGAUCUGCUAACAAUGCUACGGUUGCAUCUUGUGAUGAGCUAGCAACAAUAAUAUCAUCAACAUAGACCAACAUAAAAAUAGUGAUAUUUCCUUUUCUAUAGAAGAACAAAGAAGUAUCUCCCUUGGAUGAUUUGAAACCAAGUGCUUGAAGUUUUUCACUUAACUUGGAGUACCAAGCCCUAGGUGCUUGUUUUAAUCCAUAUAGGUCCUUAUCAAGUUUGCAAAGAUAAUUUUCCUUGCCUUUUAUCUCAUAACCAGGUCGUUGUCUCAUAUAAACUUCUUUCUCUAGAACACCGUGAAGGAACACAUUCUGUACAUCCAAUUGCCUCAAGGUCCAGUUUCUUGAUACUGCAACAGAAAUAAAAAGUCUGAUAGUAGCUGCUUUCACAACAGGACUAAAGGUAUCUUCAUAGUCUAUACCAUAUCUCUGUUUAAACCCCUUUGCUACUAGCCUUGCCUUAUACCUAUCAACUUGACCAUCUGCCUUUCUCUUAAUUCUGUAGACCCACUUGCAAUCAAUAACAUUUUUGUUUUGUGUUGGUGGAACUAGGUGCCAUGUCUUAUUUUUAAUAAGAGCACCAUACUCAUCAUUCAUAGCCAUUUUCCACUUAGUCUCACCUAGAGCUUCAUGUAAACUACUUGGUUCACCAGUAGUCGUUAAACCUCCAAAACGAACCUUAAGCUUGUCAUACCUGACCGUACCAUCUGUACAAACUUGUGGUUUUAUAAUACCAUGUUGCGAUCUUUUUCUCCGAGUCGGCACAUCAGCAGCUGUAUGCGGUUGCGGCGCAGAGGAUCCGGCGGAAUGAGACACAGCCGCACGAUAUCCCACGUCGAUCCCGCCAUCAGCCGCGCGAGAUCCCACAUCGAUCCCGCUGUCAGCGGCAGGGGACCCGCCAUCCCACCUUGUCGCUUCUGCGCCAUCUGCGGCAGUUGAUGCUCCCGCGCCAGGUUGGGCCACCUGGCAGUCAUCGAGAGGCGGCGUGUGACGCGAGGAGUUGGUCGGCUGGUCCCGCGACAUAUGCCCGCCAGCGGUUGGCCCACCUGGGGAACCGGUGCCCGCCAGUCGUUCUCUAGGUGGAGUGCGCAGACCCGAGGCAGAUUCGCCUGGACUGCCUGCGCCAGAAUCAGACUCGGGAUCGGCGCUGGCAGCACCUGAAUCUGCUCCGUGUCGUUUUCGUCUUGUUCUGUCUGCAUAAAAUGAUGCACAGGAGCUGGAUUUUCACCAGGAUUAGCAGGAAACUUAGCAUGUUGAUCAAAAUACACAUUCACCCCUGUGAUCAAUAGGCUCAGAAGGAAUAGUUUCAGGAAGCAACAAGACUUCAGAGCGAAGAGGGGUGCCUGCAUUUGGAUUUAAAGCCUUGAAAGGAAAAACCAUCUCAUCAAAAAUAACAUCACUAGAUAUAUAAACUCGGCAGGCAGCAACAUCAAGACACUUGAAGCCUUUGUGAAGGUUACUAUAUCCGAGGAAAACACAUUGUUUGGAUCGGAAUUCUAAUUUUCCAGAAUUAUAUGGACGGAUAUUUGGCCAACAAGCAAAUCCAAAAAACUCGAAGUGAAUGAUAGUUUGGCUGUUCAUGAAACAAACGACCCAAGGGACUUUCAAAGUUGAUCAAUUUGCUAGGUGUGUGAUUUAUCAGAUAUGUGGCAGAAAGAAAUGCCUCGUCCCAGAAUUUGAGGGGCAUAGAGGCAUGAGCCAAGAGGGAAAGUCCCACGUCUACAAUGUGGCGAUGUUUUCUUUCAACUGAUUCGUUCUGCUGGUGAGCAUGUGGACAGGAGACAUGGUGGGCGAUUCCUAGUUGGCGAAAAAAGGAAUCUAGGCGUUCAUAUUCGCCUCCCCAGUCUGUUUGCAUGGUGAUAAUUUUUCUAUUGAACAAUCUUUCAACUAACGCUUGGAAUUCAUGAAAGAUCUUAAAAACUUCAGAUUUGUACUUGAGAAGAUAGAUCCACGUGAAUUUGCUAUAAUCAUCAAUAAAGGACACAUAUAGUUUUUCCUAUUGAUAGAAUCACGGGCAGGCGCCCAUACAUCGGAGAAAAUUUGCUCUAAAGGAGCUUUAGAUACACUGAACGAACUAGGGUAGGGAAGUUGAUGACUCUUGCCCAAUUGGCAAGCAUCACAAACACCUUAUUUAUUCAACUCGCUACUUGAGAAAGGAAUAUUGUUGUGGCUAAGGACAUGACGAACUAUGGUGGAUGAAGGAUGCCCUAGCCGACUAUGCCACCUGUCCGUGGACACUUUAUUGACACCAAAUGCGUGCUUGCUUGAAUUCAACGGAGCCGGUGAUAGGGGGUAGAGACCAUGUCUACACCUGCCGUGGAGAAGGGUUUUCCUCGUUCCCUGUUCCUUAACGAAAAAGAAACGUGGGUGAACUUUAAGAAAAGUAUUGUUGUCAGUGGACAAACGAUGAGCUGAAAUAAGAUUUUUGGUGGCAUCGGGGUACAUGCAAUAUGUUUUUGAGAAGAAGAUCACGAGUAGGGGUUCGAACAGUGGAUUGACCAAUAUGACUAAUUUCCAUACCUUCUUCGUUUGCGCUGUGGACUUGCUCGUUGCCGUUGUACUUGUUGUGGACAGUCAGCUUAUCAAGCUCGCUGGUGAUGUGAUCUGUGGCCCCCGUGUCGAGGUACCAGUUGGUGUCCAGUCCAUAGGACGAGGUGGUGGCUGAUCCGGCACUCUUUUCAUUCUUGGCGAAGGAGAUGCCGAAGAGGCGGUAGCACUCGACGCCGGUGUGGUUUGGCUUCUUGCAGAUCUGGCAGACAACCUCAGGGAGAUCGUUGCCUCCUCCAUUGCCGUUGCCACGGCCUCCAUUGCCGCGACCGCCACCUCCGUUGCCACGGCCACCAUUGCCGCGACCGCCACCUCCGUUGCCACGGCCGCCUCCGCGACCUAAGCCACCACGGCCACGGGAAACGGCGUUGGCCGAGGACUGAGAGGACUGGUUUCCUCCUUCAAACAUGGCAAGGCGCUUUUCAAAACCGAUCAGCUGGGAGUAAAGUUUAGCUACCUUGAUGGGCUCGGUCCUUGCAGCGCAGAUGGACGAGACGAACGAGAUGUAGUCGAAGUCGAGUCCGGCGAGGAUGUAGGAGACCAUGUCAUCAUCGUCGAGCGGCUUCCCUGCUGAAGCCAUCUCAUCGCCCAGCGCUUUCAUGCGCCCGAUGUACUCGGCGAUGGUCGCGGUGCCCUUUUUGGUGGUGGAGAGGGCGAUCCGCGUGUUGAUGAUGUUGGCCUGCGCUUGGGAGAGAAACAUCUCCCUGAUCGCGGUCCAUGCUGCGGCGGCCUUGGUGCAGUGGGCGACUUGGAUCAUCACAGGAGCAGAGAUCGAAUUGAAGAUAAAACUCAGCACCUGGGAGUCUUGCGCCAGAGCAAUCUGAUACGUCGGGUUUGGCACAUCGGUGGGCUUGCCGUCCUUGUCUGCAAGCUUGGGCUCCGGGAACGGGUGAUCGGGGUUGAGGUGGUCGAUCAGUUGGGCUCCGCAGAUGGUGGCUAAAGCCUGCGCGCGCCACACGAGAUAGUUGCCGCGGUGAAGCUUGUCAGCGAUGGGAAUGAGGGCAUAUGGAGCGGCGGCGGUGCUGGAGCUAGCCAUGACUACUAGAUUGGAUGCGGUAGAGGAACUAGGGUCUGAUACCAUGAAAGAUUGCGUGGAAGCGUAUGCCUCUGGCGGGGACGCGCUGCGUGUUAUAUAGCCAAGGAUAAGUUACAAAGAUACGGUAGUUAGGUGGUGGAUUAAUCCUCAAGAAAAUUAUACAAGAUAUGAGGAGAAACCCUAACAACCUAACUAUCAGAUUACAACAACACACGCACGCAAUCUAACCCUACCGGGCGGUGCAUACGGUUUAUACAAUACCAUAUACACAUAGUACAAUACUUUCUAACAAGAAUGUGCUCCUCUUCCUCCACGUACUCGUGACCGUACAGAUAAAAGGCACGCACGACGGCUCCACCAAGCUGGCUGAACUGCACACACAGGCCUCCUAACCGGUACCGGCCGCACCGUCGGUACGCGAACACUAUCGCAGACUGCACCGCGCUGACGUGGGACCCACACGUCAGUGGAAGUAGAAAGUAAAACAAGGCAGAGCGAUAGAGGUAGGCACCAGUGAGACAGCGACACAGUUACCGACCUACAGCAGCCUAUUCCUAGGUAGGUGUACUGUACAUAUGAUGCAUUUGUUGGGGCCUGGGCGUCAGUCACGGGCGCACCGAAAGGGCAAAGGAGGUGUCCAAACAGCGAGUUGGAUCUACUCUAGACGAUGGUGCUACUGCUGUGUCCAUGAUGCGGUCCACGUUGUGUGCUCUUCUGGACAUGGCGUUCGCAUGCAGGCACAGUCUCCCACUCCUUGUGACCGAGGUCUCAGAAAGGUUCGCGGCUUCCGAGGCGAUCGUGCCCAAGAGCUCGCCGAUGUGGAGUCGGAUACGGUGCUCGAAUGGAUCCAAGUGGUACAAUAGUGCUCGAUCCGUGUCAUGGUUUUCAGACACUUUUCUUUUGCAUGUUUUCUGACACUUUGUUGUACCGUAUCGGGUACGCGUACGAAGUACGGUACGUGGUGCACCGAUCGCUUUUGACCCAUGCAUGUGCAGGCAUGCGGGAAGCUCACAUGGUACUUGGACUAUGCCUAGUAGCAUCGGUCAGAAAGGGAUUUAGAGCAAGCAAGCGUGAGCACAAGAGAUGAGGAGAAAGGUGGCAUGGCAAGCCGACAGGAGUGAACGGGGUGCGUUCGUCCAGCUGUUGAGCCAUGCACGUCCACGUGGGACGAGCCCCACGAUGGUCCGGCCGGCCGGAGCCCUGCCCCUCGGCCCUCGCAUGCAUCGCUCCGUAUAGCACAAUAUACUUAUCCCUAACCGGACCGCGUACGGCGACCGCCACUUGCCGUGCAUGUUGCACUAUUCUAGCGCAUGCUUUGUUGGGACGAACAGGGAGUAUAUCAAUUGACGCAGUACGGAAAAGAUAUGAGCCCCUCCAACUUUCACAGUCAGAGCCAAGUAUAAGAGCGCUGGUAUGUUGAUAGUGAUACAGGAACGUGAUCCUGAAAAUGAGCCAGUCAGCUGCACGUCGGUCGCCAUUGUGCCCCCUCGCUAGCUGGGCCGGCACCGUCGCGUGGAUGUAUGGGCGUGUUUGGUUGCUCGUAUUGAGCCCAACCAGGCCCGCGCGGGAUGGGAGAGGCCUGUUUGGUUGCCCGGUUUUCCUGUUGGGCCUGCAUCGCACGCUCCUCAAAGCAGCCUAGAGCCUGGCUCGCUGGAAAUGCUCGGAUCGGCAGUUUCUCGCGAGUCAGGCUGAGUGCAACGCGAGGUCGCACGGGCGGGAGCGAGGCGAGGGCGAGGGGGGAUGGCGGGAGAUGGAAAUCUGGCGCGCCGUCCCGGCACCAAAUUAGCCUCACCAACCUUUCACUCGCUCACCCAUAGCCACUGCCCCCCUUUCUUCCCUACCGCCUCACCACCGGCGGCGGCUGCGAUUUCAGAUCUGAGCUAUAGGAGGCGGCGGCGGCGGAAGAGGCGGCGGCGUUUGCGGCGGAUCUGGUGCUGCCCUUGCUGUUGGCCACCGUCUGGUCGACCUAGUAUGUGCCAUGGCUCCCCCUACGCCGUCCUUGUCUCCGAUGCCGGUAAGCAGCACCCCCUCCCCCCUUUAUUAGCUCAGUGGUUAGGCCGUUAAGCUAGGUGUAGGAUCGAUUUCCUACUGAACGAACCGUCGAUGUCGACUAGGUUAUGGACGCACGGAUGAGGCUGAUAAUCCAGGCAGCAGCACUGAUUAGUGUGAUUCAGGCAUGGGUCAUGUUCAUGCACCAGAGAGCUAUUCGUCGUGCUGGGAGACCUUUGAUCCGCUAUGGUCCAUUGUUUCCCCGAGAACAGGAGAGGAUCCAAAAGCUGAACUACAUCCACAACUGCAAUGACGUCGAGGCUCUGUGGAUGCUUAGAAUAAAAAGAGCACCAUUUGCCAUGCUUGUCGAGACCUUCAGGAGCAGGGGGCUGUUACAAGAUAGCAUCAACACCAGUGUCGAAGAGCAAGUGGCCAUGUUCCUCCAUGUUGUUGGCCAUAACCAGAGGUUCAGGGUCAUUCACAACAUGUUCAGGAGAUCAAUGGAUACCAUCUCUAGGUACUUCAAGCAGGUGCUUUAUGCUGUUGGGGAGCUUAGAGGAGAGAUGAUCAGGAGACCAUCUGGCCAGACUCCAUCCAAGAUUCGCGGAAGCCUAAGAUGGUAUCCAUACUUCAAGGUGAGCAUUGACAAUAUACACUUUUCAUGGCUUGAUAUGCUUGUAUUGUUCAAGUUGAGCACUAACACAGGCUUGUGAUGCCAUUUUCAGGAUUGCAUUGGGGCAGUAGAUGGUACUCAUGUCACUGUCGGAGUUCCUAGGAAGCACUACAUAAGCCAGAAUGUGCUUGCUGCUGUUGACUGGCUGGGAGGGGUCAACGCAUGAUGCUAACAUUCUCACUAACAGCAUGAGUCAACCUGAUGGGAUCAACAUCCCCGACGACAAGUUCUACCUUCGAGAUGCUGGCUAUGCAUGUCGGCCGGGUAUUCUUCCACCCUUCAGGAAAACAAGGUACCAUCUCAACGAGUUCUCUGGUAGGAACUAUCCUAGGACUGCACAUGAGCUGUUUAAUCUCAGACACUCUAGCCUUAGAGUAACUGUUAGAGGGCAUUUGGAGCUCUGAAGAAUAGGUUUAAGAUCCUGGAUCAGAAGCCAUUCCACCCAUACUCCACUCAGGUUAAGCUAGUUCUUGCUUGUUGCAUUCUGCAUAACUGGAUCCUCCAGUGGGGCUUUGAUGAACACAUGCCUGAGGAGGAAGAUGUCGAGCCUGACGAUGUUGUUAGCUCCGGCCAUGGUGUGGAGGCAUUUGACAAUGACGCUUGGAAGAAGAAAAGGUUGGAGUGGACAAAGGCGAUGUGGCUUAACAAAGGUCAGUGCAGGAUUUGAAGAAGAUGGAAGAAGAAUAAGAAGAAGCAGCAGUAGUAGCAGAAGCAGAAGUAGAAGAAGAGGAGAGGAAGAGGAAGAUCUGGUAGCACCGAUGAACUAGCCCCUAUUUAGCCAAUGGCUCUUAAUAAUUUGAACUGUCAUUUGAUAGUAGUUAGGAUGAAUUAUCAUUUGUUUAAGUAGAUGGCGCUACAUGUUCAGAUUCUGUGUGAUAAGCUCACCACUAGUUAGAAGUGGUGACAACACCUUAUACAGGUUGCAACCAAACACCAUGUCAUAUGUGCGCCUAAUGCAAUGCGGGCAACCAAACGCCGGGUCGAAAAUAGUUGUCUCAUGCAAGUAGGAGCAUGCAGGCAACCAAACUAUGUGCAUCUAGGGUUUUUUAGCCUGCAUCCCCUGAAACCGGCUCAAUAAAACCAGACUUGUCGGGCCAGGCUGAAUCAGCAAUGUAAGCAAACACGGCCUAUAUGAAUGGGUCGCGGAAGGUACAGACAGCCCCGCCGCCCGACAUAUUUUACGAGUCCGCGUAUCGCCGUGUACAGCUCGAUCACGCGCACGAACAUGUGGUUCGACCAGCCCCUGGUUUCCAUGCGGCGCUGCCCGUCUGUUGUCCGCCGCACAACCGUCGUCGACCCAGCAUGAUCAUCACGUAUGCUUCCCAGCUGUACUAGCAACCGUUGCUUUCUCAGUGGCGGUUCGCUUUUGCCGCGGGGAGACGACUUGCAUUUGCACUCACUUAAUGGGUCCUUUCUCUCACCGGGCCAUACAAUCUCCCCCAAUGGCGCAGCUGUGUUCGCGCUAGCAUGUUCCUUAAUUCUCGUCCAAGUUGUGUCCUGUGCAAAGCGCGUACGUAAGUUGCGUUGCUGGCGACGAUGAUAUAAUCUAAGCUAGUAAAAGUUUGUAGCCAUAACUGGUAAUGCAAAGUUGUGCGUCCGUACCACUCUACGCUGCCCAUAGAAAAAACAAUUUUGCUAAAGCACAUCUACAUGUGCCUUAAGUAUUGCACAUCUAAAUCCUAUACCAUUAAUUUUACAUGAAGAUUCGUGCAAAUAUUUUCAUUAGUCUCUUUCUUUUUUUUUCUAAUUUGAUUGAGUCACUUCAGUGGCGGAGCCACCAUCGGCUACCAUGGGCAACUGCCCAGGCUCUGUCACUGAUUCUAGUUUAAACAAUAGUAGUAAAUGGAGAGCUAGCCAUCGUUUUGUAGGGGCAACCAACCAAUAGACGAGAGUGUAGUGUACUUUGCCCAGGCUCUCCGGCUAAGCUGGCUCCGCCACUGGGUCACUUAGAUGUGCAAUAACCAGAGCACAUCUAGAUGUGUGCUACACAGAUUCAUACAAAAUGAGAGACGGCCAGCUAGCAAGGCGGUUUGAUGCCGCGUUCGUCUGUUGGUUCCAAUUAUUUUUUGGGCACGACCGAGUCCGCCGCUCAGCACCAUGCAUGCUUCCAUGCAUAAUGCUCAUUCACAUAGAAGUACUCAGGGGCGGAUCUGGGCCCCAGGCCCCCAGGGCCCAGGCCCGGGGCAUGGCAAUUUUUUUAGUUAUUACCUAUGCAUAUUUUUGAAUGGGCCCAGGGCUUAGCCCAACACAUACCCAGCCAUCCAGGGCCCAGGCAGCAAGGCCAGGUUGUCCAUCUUCCCCACCGCACGGUCGCAUCAGCCCACCGCUCGCCCGCCCCAGACCUAGCGAUAGCGACGUGACCGACGCAGGCAGCAGCCGCCACCCGCCGGUGACUCCCCUCCGCCCUGGCGCUCCCUGCUCGCCUACUCUGUCGCUCCCCACCCACUCGCCUGCUCCGCGCCUCCGCCUGCUACGCCGCCCGCCCGCGCUCUCCGCCACUAGCCCAGCCUGGGCUGGUCUCCUACUGCUCCGGCCUCUGGCGCUCGCCGGCUCGCCACCUCGACCUCUCCUGGCUCCACACGGCCACGCCGUCUUCCCUCUGUUGACUGCUGCCCAUAAUUGGUAAUGGGGUAAUGCUUGUUGUCUGUUGAUACAAAUUUCAAAGUUUAAACAUUUUUAUCUGUAAUCUGCUUAUGAAGUUGGUUGAUGCUGCUGCCAAACAUUCAGUUUCACUUGAAUUAUAUUUGAAUGUGAAUGUUGUUGUUGCUACUGUUAAUGUCAAAGGAAUUUGCAAAGGUGGAUGAUGAUGCUAUUACAUAUCGCUUUCAAUCCUAUAGAUCUUGCAAAGGAAUUUUACCUCGUCGUAGUAGUAAGUUUUCAACUCUGUACAAUGUUAAUUCUUUCACUUGAUGAUUAUUUCUUCUCUUAUGAAAUUUUGCUUUUCAUUUCUCUAAGGUGUUGGCUCUUCUUCAACUGUUGAUCAAGUUAUGGAAGACACUGAUGAAGCAAGCCAUUGAUUUGGUACUCUUUUUACUGCACGUAUUGUUGUUUUUGUCAUCUUUUUUAUCUAUUUUGUUGUAUCUUUAAGCAUUGAAUUUAAAUUCUAAUUUUUUGAUGCAAUUGAGCCAUAUUUGAGCUAGCUAUAGUUUGAUGCACAUUAAGUUUUUCUCUACAAAAAUUAUUUUUUGGGUCCGGGGCUUGCUCCAAUCCUGGAUCCGCCACUGGAAGUACUGCUAGUCAAGCAUCCAGUAAACAAAACGAGGUCGCGCGGGUGCAGAGAUGCCAAUCUACGGUAUGGUACGGCUAACCCUAGUACCAAAAGCUUUGCCCUACCUAGUUUAUGCCAAAACUAUCACAUCUCCCGUGGGGCCCAUGCCGUACAGCCCGGAAUCACGGGAAGCUCUCCAGGAGUGGGAGAGCUGCUUUAAUUUUCCGUUAUAGUGGACUCCGUUCUGUACUCCAAUAAUGGUGUCCACCAUGCCAUAUUUUAGGCCUGUUUUGUCAUUGUUUGUGCUUAUGUGUGUUUUGGUUGUACUCUGCUUGAUGUCAGUCUCGAUCCCCCACCUUUGGAGCUUACUCGUGAUCGCUCCUGUUAAAUAAUCACUCCUGCACAAACCCUGAGUAGAUGUUAAAUAUUGAUGUGCUAUAUACCAUCGUACAACAUGACUAGUGAUCCGUACAAUGAUUAUCGCUUAACAAUGAUGUUACUAUGUUAUUAACUUUUGUUGGCACAUGCAUAGUGGUGUACGUACGUACGUAGUAUUCACGUGAAAGUGGAUUUUUGUGGCCAGCCAGCAAACAGUUUAAGAAUUCAUCCAUCUUCACAAUCACUCUCUCUCUAUAUAAAAUCGUAGUGAUGACAAGUUCAAAGUUGAACUUAUCUCGGCGUACAUGUCAAAGUAGACGGACAUUCUUAGAGUUUGACGAAAAUCGCUCAGUUGUUACCUGGGCUACUCGUCAGUGGCCACGCAAGCAUGCAUCGGUCGAUCGAGAUAGGCAUGUCCUUAUCAGGUUCUCGAAGGUUCUGCUGAAGAUCCUGACCGAAAUUCAAAAGCCCGGCACCCCACGCAAUUAGGACGCAAUUAUUGACGACGACGAUAAUGUCAUCGAGACAGUCUACUUACAAAACGUAACACUAUAAUCCAGCCCGACUGAUGACCUAAGCAAACUAAUCAAGUUGCAGUCAAGGCAAGAAACUGAAGUUGACUGGUCGGAUUGGAUGAUUGGAUCAGCAACGUUUAAAAAAUCCCAAACAUUUUCGCCCUAAGUAGCCAAUCCCGUGGAACUAAUCAACGGUUUUGGCGUUGCUUUCCGGCGGUUUUGUCCAUGUAUGUACGGCACGUGUAGUGGUGGGGCAUUUCUUCCCGUUCACGUUCACACGCAAGCAACGACCGCGGAGAUUUGCCUAAUUCUUGAUGUAACAGAUGGCCUAAGGAAGAGUUUGUCUAGCUCCAAGAACUUGCACAUAUAUGCAAGUAAAUUUAGCAGGAAAAACUAGUGCCUUCGCACCCACUUACAGAGAAGCCAAAGAGCGGUUGUGCCGAGUGACUGCACACACUGCAGCUACUGGACUUUCAGUUUCAUCUCUUGUGCUCUUGUGCCGACGUAUUACACUUUCAGUUUCGUCGAUUUCGAUCGUACUCUGUCUCAGCAGCUGCUUUGAACCUGUAAUUUACAUUGGACCGAUCGAGGGACAUCGUCGCCGGCCACUGUCACUGAGCUGGCUGCGACGGAGACAAGCAAGAGCUCCUAGAGCACGCGUACACUUACGUACGUACGCCGAUCCGUACGCAUUUCAAUCUUCUUAUUCCUAAUAGUGACACGGCACUUAGUUAAGUACGUACGUGUCCAAACAAAGUGCAGAGACCAGACCGAAUGUUCUUCUGGCCUCCGGGUCCAUGGGAAGGCCGAGCACACCUGUACACGUAGGACACAGCUAAGAUAGCCACCGCGACUGAAUCAACCAAGUGCGUAACUGAAGGGCACCGCCUCAUCAUUGUGUCCUUGAUUCCAAUCAUUAGCGGCCCGUACAAUACGUACGUCGCUCCCAUGUGGUUGCCUAGCUACUCACACGACGAGCAAAGCUUCUCCUCAAGCCCAACCGAAAGCGAGUAUAUCAAAUCAAACCAAUUGAACUAAACUAAUAAACUAACUAAACCAAGCACGACUCGGCGCCUAUGCACGUACAUAGGUACAUACAGUUGUGUUUUUGCUGCGCUGCACAUGGCGUCUCUUUUAUCCGACCCCAAAUGGCUGAUCUUGAUACGUACAGCACUCGACGGACACGGUGAAUCUAAUUGUUUUUCUAGAGAAUGUGACGACUAGUUCUGAAGCAAUACAAAUUCUUCAAGUUGUCCCUUGCUCGAGGACAAAUGAUGGCGAUGACACCUGCUUGGAGAGAAAGUGAUGAAGAGUGCUAUCUGGACGAGACUCUCUUCACAGAGUACGUGGACUAUCCUAUGUGCGCUGUUCAACUGACUGAGUUCUAACCUGUUUUUUUUUUGUUAAUUACCUUGACAGUUUUAUUAUACUUAAUGGAUGAGGCACAUUUUUUGACUCCAUUUUGCAAAAAAAGUUCUGGAAAAUCCUAUACACACGAACUGUAUGGCUCUAUAUGCACGCAGCUAUUUUGAGCCUGCCCAUAAAACCUAGAUUUUCAUGUUAAAAAAAAACAUCCACAGGCCCAAGUAGUUUAGUAGUAUUAUCAAAUGGUCAAUCAUUGUAGUACACCAUUGUCCUCCAUGACAGGCUGCCUGAACUGCUAGAGCUAGCUGGAGAUCCAUGGAAGUGCAUUGCAUUUUACACCACCAGAUCCUGGAUCAAACAUUUGCAGUGGCAAAAUCAUCCAUAUCACUCACAUGAGGCCAACCUUGCGGCUUACAUGAUGUGUUAUCAAGACCUCAAAAUCCCUAGCAAAAGAAGAGGAAGAAGAAGCUCCAUUGCAGCUACCAGAGCUUGAUCUAGAGCUAGCUAGAAGAACACUAAGAAGAAGAAGAAGAAGAAGAAGAAGAAUUCCCACAAGACAGCAGGUCCUAAAAUUGUUGAGCUGCAGUAGAAAAUGCGGCGGAAUCCCCGUCCUACCCUCCACCAACCUUCCUAUGCACAUCAUCCACGCAGGGGCAGAUCGGUCAGAACGC